GUAAAUUUUAUCUACGAGAUGAUUUAUUAGGUUCUGUUUGAACGUGAGACUAAGUUGGUGAUCAUUUAUUCAAUAAGAAGAUUUUUUUUGCAUUAUUGAAAGUUGGAAGUUUGACUUUUGCUCUAUGAAAGAUCUUGUUAUUUAUGAAUUCAUAGGGCAAUAUAUUUGUUUACAAGAUGAUUUACUUUAUUUUGAAAAAAGAUAUUUCCAAAGCUUAAUUUUCAGCUUCAGACAGAAUCUGCUGGAUUACUAAUUAAUUAUCAAAUUCCUGAUCUCUGAUUCUCAAUUUGUGGAGAAGCUGAUCGGAAUGCAUCUCCAAACAAGUUGAUAUUUUACUAAUUAUUAAUGUUAUGAAUAAUUCUAUUAAUAAAUUCGAAUUUAUCACCGCUAGAUUGGAUUCAUUAAACUAACACCUAAUUUUAGCACGUACAGCGAACUCAAAAUCUACUCUUAUUAGGGACUAAAUGGUUUUAUGCAAUUGUAGUUAAUGCAGUUGUACCUACGUAUAGAUCCAUGUUUUGUAUUUGGUUCUGAUAUAUUGGAUUCAAUUGCUACAGUCAGAAUUGUAUGAGGAGGUUUAAUUGGAACACUUAGGGUGCGUUUGGUUCGCAUUAUGAAAGAUUACUAUGAAUAAAAGAUAUUCAAAAAUUUUAUUCCUAUUCAUUCUAUUACUAAGAAUGUGAAAUUCCUGUGUUUGGUUCGCACAGUAAUAUUAAUUAGUCAUGUUAUUUAAUAUUACAAAAAAUAUAUAAUUAAUUAAUUAAUUAAUUUAAUUAAUUUUAGAUAAUGUUAUCAAAAGUUUCAACAUCUUUUUAGAAAAAAGGGAGAGAGGGUAUAAGUUAGAGAGAGCAUAAUUAAAAAAAAAGAAAGAAAAAUAUAGUCGAAUUUUAGAGAGAAAAAAGAAGUUGAAUUUUAGAGAGAAAAAUAAAUUUAGAGAGAGAUAUAAGAUUAGAGUGUAAAGAAAAAUAAUAUCAAUUAGCCGGCGGAUAGGAAGAAAGAAAGAGAUUAGAUAUAUUAUGAUUACCCCAAUCCAUUAAUAUGAGGAUACCCACCCUCCCUCAAGGAAAUGAGAUUAGUACUUUGGGGUGAAUCUUAUUCCCAAGUGAAUCCAAUAUUACCAACUAGAUUACUUAGUGCGUUUAGCCAAACACCGUCAUAUUUUUUUAUUCCCAUUGGAUUACUAGAAAUCUUUAAAAGAUAGUGCGAACCAAACGCACCCUUAGAAGUAUGCUCAAAUUGACCAUCCUUUCAACCGUUCGGUAUUUGGUUUUGAUACAUUUAGAUUAAACAAUUAUUUAUAUUUGUAGUAUUUUCUCCCACAUCCAAUCAAACAAAAUAUAUACAGUUAUAACUACCGUAUUUUUAACUUUAUAUAAUUUUAGCCACACUAUAUUUUUAAUUCCAUCCAACCAAAUGAACCGUCAAUGCUGUCACUUCGAUUGUUUUCGUUUGGUAAUAAAAUUUGAAGUUAUUUCAAAUUUGAAGUUAGUUUAGUAGCUGUGGCAUGUAGUAGUACCCUUUAAAAGAAAACGAAAUACUUGAUUUAGAUUGUCAAAAUUAUCUUUACAUAUUUUUAAUAGGCUAAAUUAUAUAAAACCCUACUGUCAAAACACGAUUUUUCACUUUUUUUUCCUGUCAUUUAAAAACCUAUACUUUACUCUCUUGUAAAAUAAAAAAUAUUUACAAAGGGUACGGUGUGUAUUGUGAUAAUAAAAUGACUAUUUUGCCCCUCACCAUAUUCGUCUUCUCCCUCAUCUUCCUCAACAACAGUCUUGAUCGGCCGCGGUUUUUCCGCGGUUCACGCUUUAUCUUCCUCCUGCACCCUCGCCGCCCCUCGAUUUCGGCGACAGUAGGGUGAAAAUCGAGGUGGGGGUGGAUGGAGAGAUGGGUAACGACAACGAGGGCGAAGGCAAGGCAGCGGAGAAGGGUGAAGGGGUGUUUGUGGGUGCGGGCGGGGAUGUGGGCGGGGGCGAGGCAGUGGAGGAGGACGAGGCGGCGAGGCGGUGAGGCGGAGGAAUGCGAGGCAACAGGGAAGAGGGCGGAGGGGUAUUUUGGGCAUAAAAAAAUAUUUUAUAACGGAACCCUAACGGAUCACUAACGGUAGGGAGCGAAGUGUACAUUUUUCAUUUUACAAGGGGGCAAAGUGUAGGUUUUAAAUGACAGCGGAAAAAAGUGAAAAAUCACAUUUUGACAGAGGAUUUUCUGUAAUUUAGCUUUUUUAAUACCCUGGCAAUUUAAUAGAAACCAAUUAAAUUUCACUACAUCAUAAUGCCUAUAUAUAUAUAUAUAUAUAUAUAUAUAGAGCUAGGCUGGUAUACUAUCGGUAGCACGGAGGCCUCCGAACUACCAAGUUAUUUUCAAUGAUGUGGCUUUCAAAUCGACGAUCGGCUCCGUUAGACUUGAUCUACACUAUUAAAAGUAUUUGAAAAUUAAAUUUCAUAAUUUUUCGAUAUCAUUUGGCUAGUGAUCAAAAGGUCUCAAAAUUAACAAUUUUAAUGGUAGAUGUGAUGCGUUUGUAAAUUUAACGGUGUAAAGCAAUCCAAAUCUGAUAAAAUUUUUAUAGAAAAUUUUUUUUACUAUUUAGAGUAAGAUCAGUGCCUCUAAUCUUAAAUUCAAGUCUUUUAUUAUCAUUUUUUAUGAGAUUUUUAUUUUUAGCUGUUCAUUUUUAGACUACUCGUUUGAUAGGAAAAUGAUAUCGAAAAAUUAUGAACUUUAGUUUUUAAAUACUUUCAAUAGUGCAGAUCAAGUCUAAUGGAGCCGAUCGCCUAUUUGAAAGCCGCAUCAUUGAAAAUAAUUUGGUAAUAUGGAGGCCUCCGUGCUACCGAUAGUAUACCAGCCUAGCUCUAUUAGAUGUAGGCUGGAAUACUAUCGGUAGCCGGAGGCUCGUCGUACCAAAUUGUUUUCAAUGAUGCGGCUUUCAAACGACGAUCUGUCGUUAAACUUGAUCUGCAUACUGAAAGUAUUUGGAAACUAAAUUUUAAUUUUUCGACAUCAUUUGAUAGUGAUCAAAGGUCUCAAAAUUGACAAUUUUAAUGUAGAUUUAAUGCGUUUGUGAAUGUAGCUGGUAUAAACUAAUCUAAUUUGAUGAAAUUUUUAUAGAAAAUUCUUUUAACUAUUUAGAGGAAGAUCAGUAUCUAUAAUCUUAAAUUCAAGUCUUUUAUCAUCAUUUUUUAUGAUAUUUUUAUUUUCAGCCGUUUAUUUUUAGACUAUUUAUUUGAUGGGUAAAUGAUACAGAAAAAUUAUGAAGUUUAGUUUCAAAUGAUUUUAAUAGUGUAGAUCAAGUCUAACGGAGCCGAUCGUCGAUUUGGAAACUGCAACAUUAAAAACAACUUGGUAGCAUGGAGAGUUCCAUGCUACCGAUAGUAUACCAGCCUAGCUCUCUCUCUCACUCUCUAUAUAUAUAUAUUUAUUGGAACAACAUAUAAAAAUAAUAAUAUGAGGUAAUAUUAUAAAUACUCGUAGCAGUACUAAAACAAUGUGUAAUCUUACCACAGGACGCCUGCUUCUCAAUAGAUUACACACAAGGUUACACCUAAGCUUAGUCCACCACUAUUACUCUACCCCACAUAGACCCCUCAACGUACCUUCUCAAAACAAACAUGCCUACUAAUUACCCCUUACUUAGGGUUACCUAAAUGCUCUAAUUACAAACGCAUACUAAUAAUAAUAAUAAUAAUCACCAUGAAAAUUACAACAAAUACAUAUAUGUAUAUAAAUAUAUAUAGCACUAGUGAUUCAGCCUUGCUUUAAGGUUCAUGCAUGGAGCUCUCUACUGGGUUGCGAUCGGCGGCGCAGCGACGGCUUUCAUGGCCUCGAAUCGGGGCUCCUUCGCCUGGAACUUCUGCCUGACGUACAAAUUCAUGUAAUCCUCGAACACGAAUUUCGGAUACACCUCGUCCUUCUCUGCCGCCGCCUUCUCUACCAGGUCGGGCGCCGGGAAGAUCACGGCGUCGCUCCCGGGGUUGUAGAAUGACGCGAUCGACAUCCGGUUGCCGUCGGUCUGGGCCACCACGCGGUGCAUUACGCUCUUGUAACUGCACGUAUGUUGAACGUACAUUCCUAAAAAAUACUGUUCUCUGACAACUUAAGUUAACUUUUAGGGACAGUCGGUAUAGAAUCUUUUAUACGAUACCUACCUGCCGUUGGUGAUCACCUCGAGCUGGUCUCCGAGGUUGACGACGAUAGAGUACGGGGUCGGGGGCACGUCGACCCACUCGCCGUCCUUGAGGAGCUGGAGACCGCUGACGCGGUCGUCCUGGAAGAGGAGGAUGAUGCCACCGGCGUCGGUGUGGGCGCGGAGGCCCUUGAUCAGGUCGGGGCGCGGGCACGGCGGGUAGCUGCUCACCUUCGUGCCGAAGGUCGGGCCGUUCGACCCGCAGAAGGCCUUCUUCAGGUACCCCUUCUCGAGCCCCAGAUUCUCGCACAGCAGGUCGAGGAGCCGCUCCGCCAGCUUCUCCAGCUCCACCGCGAAUUCCUUCAUCACGUUCCUGCAGUGAGAAUCAGCUCAGGCAACUUUCUUUACACUUCGAAUCCGCAAAGCACUUCCGUAAAGCAGAAGCUUCUGGAAAUCAAAUGCGUAGCUAACCAAUUGUCUGAGGCUUUUCACACAAGCUCUACUUUUUUCGAUAAAAAGUUUUUUUUUGAGAAAUUCUACUCAAAUAACACGGCUGAAUAACAAAAACAUAUGUAGUGCGAAUCACUCUAUUUAACUUGGUACAUAAUAGAGAAUCAAUCCAUGCGGAUAAAAUUAGACUUCUCACUUAUAAAUCUUACCUCUUUUUAUUCAAAAGUUCAUAUUUUAUUUUUUAUCUUGUUAGGUUUUUUAUAUAAAAAAUUUUAAAAAAAUUAUAAAAAUUUAGGAUUAAGAAUAUAAUAUGCAAACUCUUUUUUUCGGAUACACAACUGAUAGCAUAUAUUACUUUUUAUUCACUUUGUUUAAUUACCAUUUUGACCCUACACCUAAUUAUCGAAAAGUUAGAUAGUUAGGCCUUCGAUCAUCAGGGUCCACUUAAUUUGUUAGUAUGUUAUUUUUUCCGCCGUACCACUCUCCGUAUUACAAUACAUUUAAGUAAUUAUAUCUAUUUGCACAAUUUGGUACUGUUCGAAUUUGGUGGACGUUCCGAACCGUUACUAUAAAUAGUACACCUAUAAAUUUCAAAAAAAAAAUAGUAACAAAACCAAAAAUUAUAAUAGUAAUAAUGCACCUGUAGUGGUCAUUAAGAUCGGAAAGUUCGGAGAUGUUGGAGACGGGGAGGUGGCGGACGAAGAAGGUGCUCUCCCAGUCCAAGUUACUGGAGACGUCGACUCCGUUGGUGCCGUCCUCGAGCGCUUUGUUCGCAAACUCCUCGAACCGCUGCUCGCGGCUUCUCCGGUAGUGAUCCUUCGUCAGCCUCUCCACCUCGUCCAUCAUCUCCCGCGUGAUACCGUGGUUCAGAAUCUGCACGUAUAAGAAUUUUUUAUAAGUAUAGUAUUUAGUACGUAUAAAUUUUUUUAAAAAAAAAAUUAAUACAGAUAAAUAUGAUAGAUGAAACAAUCUCACGUUCGAAGUUAUAGCCACCAAACUUUUUGUGUGGCAAAAGAGAGCCCCAGUAACGUGGUCUCCAGUUAAAAUGUGGUAUAGUCCAGAUACCAAAAAUAGUAAUAAUAAUAAUAAUAAUAAAAUGCAAGGUAUAUAUAUAUAUAUGUGUGUGUGUGUGUGUGUGUGUGUGUGUGUNAGCAAUAAGCAGUAAACACUGGAGCCAUUUGUGUAUAAAAAGAAGGGUUAUGUGUGUGUGUGUAUAUAUAUGUGUGUGUGUGUGUGUUUAUAUAUGUAUUUAGCCGUGCAUGCACCUCAAAGAAACCCCAGUUCUCGCACGCAUCACGAAGCAACUCCAUGGCUUGAGCCCUCUCCUCUCCCUCGAGCUUCUCCAUGUUGAUGAUUGGGAACUUACUCUCCAUCUCUACUCUCUCUCUCUCUACUCUUCCACACUCUCUUAUUUUUUUAUCUUUAUAUUUUUAUAUAUUUUUUUCUUUACCGAUCGACUCUAAUAUACAAUGAGAGGUGGGAAGAGGCACCCCUUAUUUAUAGGCGCGAUGGAGAAGGGGAAGGGGAAAAGGAUGAGAGAAACGUAAUGUUGGGGAACCCGUGUCGAAGACGUAUUGGAUCCCAUCUCCAAUAAGAGAGAGAGAGAGAUAGAGAGAGAGAGAGAGAGAUAGCGCGUGCCACUUUCUCUCUCUAGAUGGUAUGUAUACCGGACCCCACGACUUUUGGCCGCUUGUCGCGUGUUAGUUUUUCACACCCGAAAAUUACUCGAGUGCUGCUUUUAGAUUCGGGCAGACUAAUAAGUUGAAUUUGAUGAGCACUGAUCAGCUAAGUGGGACUGCGAUCUUCAACAGAAAUGAACGUAAAAGGAUCAGCGAUAGAUCUAAAAUUUAGGUGGGUCGAGCCAGGAUGAAACGUGCGAGCGCUGUGAUUGAGCCCUUAAAGUCAGCACUUACGAUCCAAAAAAUUAUUUGUUUGUAUAGCUGUAAGUAAGACUGAAAUUUCUCCGAUUUCGUUAUUUGCUUGGUAGGAAAUAAAUGAAAUAAAAACUAAAUGUGUGAGAAAUAAAUUAAUAUUUCAUUAAUAUUUUAUUUUUUAUUUCUAAAUUGAAUUCUCUCUCAGACUGAAGCACUUAUAGUACUUUAGAGAGUUUUAGUUUUUAUUGAAAAAAAAAAAAUAUUUACGAUCAAAAGUGGCUUCACUCUUCUCCACUUUUGGUGAAAUGAACCGCUAUUUACAGCUGUUUUGGAUUCAUGAGUUCACAAAUAAAUAAUUAUAUAUAUAUAGAGUUGAGCUGUAAUGCUAUUAAUAGUGUUUAGACUCUUUUAUUAUCGAUUUUUUAGCUGUCAGAUUUACACUUUAAUUAAUUUUAUCUUUUAGAUAAUACUAUUCAACCAACCUUCUACUCAAUCCUAAGGGGAUCACUAUCAUCUUAAUCUUACAAUUUUUCAUUCAAGAACUAAAAAUUUGAUAGCAAAAAAGUCCAAAUACUAUUAAUAGAUAGUACGUGGAAUAGUGUUUGAUCUAAGGAGUGUUAGUAAUUAAGGAAUGGAUUUAAGAGUUAGAAACCUAGAAGCAACAAGGAGUUGUUGCUUCUAAAAGUAUUCUACCUCAAUUUUAUAUAUAUAUAUAUAAAAAGGUGGGUUUAAGUACAUAAUAAAUUUAAGUUAUUUAUAGAUUUAAACUUGCUAACAUAAACACAGAGUCAUGCCGUAAAGAUCACUCUCUCUCUCUCUCUCUCUCUCUCUCUCUCAUCUUUAAUGUAUUGUCACAAGAAGAAUGGUGGGGGCUGGAGUGGCUGCUUUCUCCGGUCUUGAAGGCUUUGACGAGAAGAGGAAUAAACAGCUUUUCAUUAAAAACGCGUCGGAUUUUCAAAUGCUGUCGUUAUACGCUAUUGAUAUGUUGAUAAUUUUCUUUUGAAUACCGCAACUGUACUAGCCUCAUGCGCUCAUAUAUAAUUGGUUUAUAUAUAUAUAUAUAUAUAUAUAUAUAUAUAUAGCAGGGUUGCUGUGCUCAGGUCUCCGUGCUCCUGAGUCAUUUUUGAUGAUGGAGUUUCCGAAUUGACGAUCAGCUCCGUUAAGCUUGAUCUAGCGUAUUUGAAGUUUCUAGAAAAUAAUUUUUACGAUUUUUCGAUAUCAUUUACCUAGCAAACCUAAGAAUUCAAAAUAAAAAAUUUUUAACGGUUGAAAAUAAAAAUUCAAUAAAAAGUGGUGAUAUAACACUAAAAUUUUCGAUCAGAAAUAUUGAUCUUGUUGUAGAUAGUAAUAAAGAAUUUUGUAUCAAAAUUUCAUCUGAUUUGAAUACUUCUACACCGUUAAACUUGAAAACGACAGAUAUCAACCAUUAAAAAUUAUGGAUUUUGAAUCUUUUCGAUCACUAGGUAAAUGAUAUCAAAAAAUCGCAAAAGUUAUUUUCUAGAAACUUCAAAUGCGCUAGAUCAAGUCUAACGGAGCCGAUCGUCGAUUUGAAAAUUUCAUCAUCGAAAAUGACUCAUGAGUACGGAGGCCUCCGUGCUCCUGAGAGCACAGCAACCCUGCUCUCUCUCUCUCUCUCUCUCUCUCUCUCUAUAUAUAUAUAUAUAUAUAGUAUAAAAAUAUUAGGUUAAAUUACAAAAAAUUUUUAUAAAUAUUUAUUUUUUUAUUUUUGUUUUUAUUUUUCAACAAUUUAUAUUUUAUCCUUCAAUAUUUAAAGUUGUUGCAUUUAAUCUCCUUUUCGUAAGUAUUCUAUCAGUAUUCUAUUAAUUUCUUAUAAUUUAUACUGAAAAUAUUUUUCAAAAAUAAUAUAAAAUAUAUUAAAAAUAAGAGUAAUUUGGUUGUUUAUAGAAAAAGUAAGAGUAAUUUGGUUAUUUGGUCCUUUCUAUUAACGUCGUAUCCUUCUGAAAAUAUUUCUAAAAUUUUAAGAGAGUAAAAUAUAAAAUUUUGAAAAUCAGAAAGGAAAAGUGAAAAGACAGGUAUUUAUAAUAGUAAUUUUUGUAAUUUAGUCAAAAUGUUAUAUGUAUUUUGCGGGUGAGCAAUUUUGUAUGCACGGAACGAGACUAUGAAUAUUAUAUGAACUCAAUAAAUAUUUCACGGCUGUGAUUCAUCUAAUAUACAAAUUUUUACCAAUCAAAGAUGGAUGUAAGUCUUACACAUCUCUUUUUUUCAACUCAUUUUGUGCAUUCUUUUUACAAAUUUUGCUGUGGACGUAGUAAUUAUAUUUUCAAUAAAUCAAUAAUCUAAAAAGAUAAAACAUUCCAAAUUAGAAAGUAAUAUAGAAUAUUAGUUGAUUAUAUGCCAUUUUCAAUUCUAAAUAAGAGCUAGCUUUCAAAAGCGGAGAUUUUUGAACUUUUUAAAUUAUUUCUGAUGAUGGAGUGUCCGAUGCCGCGAUCUAUUUCUUUAGAAGUGACCUACUACGUUGGAGCUAUCUAAAAAAUCAAAUUUCAUAAUUUUUUAACUCAUUUGUCCAGUAAACAAUUAGCCUAAAAAUGAACGAUUGAAAAUAAAAAUUUUAUAUAAAAAAAAGUGAUUGAAGACUUAAAAUUCAGAUAAAAAAUAUGAUCUUGCUCUUGAUAGUAAAUAAAUUUCUAUAUUAAAAUUUCAACUAUUGUAGAUUAUUUUAUACCGUUGCACUUACAAACAUGCCACAUCAGCUAUAAUUAUUUUUAAAAUCUGUUGAUUAUUUGAUAAAUGAUGUCGAAAAAUUAUAAAUUUAAUUUCUAGAUAAUUCUAAUAGUAUAGAUUAUGUCUAACAGAGUUGGUUGUCAAAUUGAAUAUUCCCUUCUUGAAAAUAAUUUAAAACUAUAGAAAUUUCCAUUCUUUUGAAAUCACACAAGUCAUAUCCACUAAAUAGACAUUGUUUAUAGGGCUUUUUUUGCAAAUAGGCCCCUGAGCAAUUUUUAUUUUAAAAAUAGCUCUAUCAAAAUUAAAAUUGCAAAAAUGGCACUGUCUCUGCCACGCAGGCGUCACGUCACCGCCACGCGGGCAGGGCUGGGGCCAGGGUAUUAAGUUGAACACGGUGAAUCAUUCACCGUGUCUAAACACGGUGAAUGACGUAUUUUUUAUAUAUUGAAAAGUGGAAUAAGGAGCAGGGAUGUCAAUAGGUAUGAAUAUCCGAAAUAUUAUCCGAAUCUAAACCCGAAUACAUUAUAUAUAUAUAUAUACAUAUAUACAUAUAUAUAUAUAUAUAUAUACAUAUAUAUAUAUACAUAUAUACAUACAUAUAUACAUAUACAUAUAUAUAUAUAUAAAGUAAUUUAUUUUUGUUUAUUUAUACAAUAUAUAAAUAUUUAAUAAUUUUUAUUUUUUAGAUCUUCAUCCAACGAUUAUAGAUUUUUAAAACCCGUCGGUUGGAUGAAGAUCGGAGAGGGUUUAAAAAUAGUUAAUAUUUUAUAUAUUGUAUAAAUAAAUAAAAAUAAAUUAUGUAUAUAUAUAUAAUUUAUUCGGAUUUGAAUUCGGAUAAUAUUUCGGAUAUCCAUACCUAUUGACAUUCCUAUUCCUUAUUUCUCUUUUUAAUAUAUAAAAAAUACGUACUAAACACGGUGAAUCAUUCACCGUGUUUGAAUACGGUGAAUGGUUCACCGUGUUCAACUUAACACACAAGCUCGGCCCUGCCCGCGUGGCGCUGACGUGGCGCCUGCAUGGCAAAUCCAGGAUCAUUUUUACAAAUUAAAUUUUAAUAGAGCUAUUUUUAAAAUAAAAAUUUACCUGGGGUCUAAAUACAAAAAAAAAAAAUCCUUGUUUAUGUUUUCAACUUUAAGCAAGUAAUGGAACCCAACACCGUUUUUUCCUUUUCCAUGAUUUUUUUUUUUUAUUCAUACCUAGCUACAUACCUAAACUAGGUCACAGUGCAACUACCUGGACCUACAAAAAACUUACCUAUCUAAGCAGUACUAUUGACACCCUAUGCAGGGGUGUAUGAUUUACACUCAUUCAUUAGAUGGAUUGGUGUAAAUUUUACACCCCCAGAUGUGUUCUCAAACUUAUUUUGAUUUUUCAAUCACAUUCUUUUUUUUUUCUUUUUUUCUUUUUUUUUUUAACAAUUGAGUCUUCAAUUUUUAUAAUUUAUUUUAAUUGUGUCCCUGUUCUCCACGACUCCAUUAUCUUUAGUGGAAUUGACAUGUGGCUGCUUGGUUGAAUUUUGGAGGGAAAAUCCCCUCUUCUCCCCAAUUUUUUUUUUUUUUUUUAUCUGGUUAUUUUCUUCUGUCAUCAUAUUCUUCCUCUUUUUCUUCUGCUUCACUUCUCUCCUUUUAUUCUUCUUCCUUUUCUUCUUUUUAUUAUUUUUCUCCUUUUUUUCUUCUUCUUUUCUUCAUCAUUUUAUUUUAUUUUCCUCCAUUUCUUCUUCUUCUUCUUCUUUCUUGUGUUCCUUUUUCUUCAUCCUACGCCAUCAGCAUCAUCUUCUUCUUCGUUCUUUAUAUCAUUUGAGCGCUUACUCUCUUCUUCUUUUCUUAUUUUCUUUUUUUGGGUCUAUUUCUUGUUCUUUAUCAUCGCCUUCUCCUCCUCCUCAUCCUCCUCUUCUUCUUCUACUUCGUGAAGAUAUUAAAAGCUCGCAUAUUGAAUUAUGUCAAAAAUAACAAAUUUAUGAACUAUAAGGGCGCAAUUGAAAUGAAUUGCAAGAGUUGAGGACUCAAUUAACAAAAAAAAAGAAAAAAAGGUUAGGAACCUAACUGAAAAUUUGGGAAAGGUUUGGGGACCAAUAGUGUAAUUAAUCCAACUAAAAUUGUCACAUUAAUUAAUUAAAUCUAAUCUGAAUAAGAUCUAUGGAUUUAUAGGACUUCUUUUCUCAGUGCAUGAAUAUUUGGUAAGUACCUUUUUUUUUUUUCCAAUUUACUUUAGAAGCUUAAAAUAUAAAAUAUUUAGUGGAUGAAAAGUUUAAUCAAAUUUCUAAAAAAAGUAUACUGUAAUCGGCCCUCAAAUUAUGCUCUCAAAAUAAGAUAAGUCACCCCCUAAGUGAAAUACAUUACUCUGAUACAUCAUGAAAGCUAAAACUGUAUAAAGAUUUAAAAUCAAACUAUUAAAUAAUUGCAAUCGUGUAUAAAAGUCAUCAUAAUAUAAAAAUCAUCGCCGAAUAACUUAUACUCAAAUCUAGGCUUUAUUAUGUGCAGCAUAUGUUGGCAAAUCUAUAUCUAUAUAUUUGCUUUUUUUUUUCAUGAGAUGAUUUUCUAAAAUUAUACUUGGUUGUAUACUAGCCAAUCUCUUAUUGCCAUUAAUUGAGGUCCAACUCUUCGCAAAGAAUAGAAAAUUACACAAUUAUACUCUUUUAUUUGACCUCUCUACAAAUAUAUGUAUAAAUAAACAAUGGAGUAAAAUAAUAACUAUAAUAAUAGCUUCCUUAUCUACAGAAUUUGUAUUUUUUGGAUUGACCUAUAUAUUAAAAUACACACCAUGUCAAAAGAAUCUCUACAUAACCUGCUUUAUACGUGGUUUGUCCAAGAAAAAGACAACAAAACUCCCUGUUUGUGGGGAACUCAAAUCCUUCACAAAUUUUCACAUGUCUAACCAAAAAAAAAAAGGAAAGAAAAAGAGAGAGAACAAAUUAUAAUAUCUCCAAAUAUACAGCUCACAAAAAACAUCCUCCCACCACUUAUUUCGCCUGAGAUCCCGAAAUUGGACUGCACCAAUCAAUUGCACUUAAAUUGAUUGAUUAAUAUUUGAGAAGCACUUUCCAUCAGAAUCGAAGAGAUGUGACUUAAUUUGUGUCUAAUUUGAAUUCAAAAUUUUGAUUAUACCCGGAGAGCCCUCGCAGCUGUGCAAAUUCACCAAAGUUUCGAAGACAGAUCGAAUAUAUUGAACAUGCCUGUACUCCGCUUUAUUUCAAUUAUAUUGAAAUUUCACUGUCUUCGUCCAUAGACGCCAUCAGCAGUGGUUAAACUGCAUAAAUUAUUUACUUUCUUUUUGUUAUUCUCUCUGCUGCAUCGAUCAUACCUAACAAAUUAGAAUUUUUCGGCUUUCGUCGAAGCCCUCGCCCUUGCGACGAGGCGUAUAUGGCAAUUUGUGACUGCAUCCAGCUGUUAAAGUUUUCAAAGUGAAGAUCACUGUAGGCUGCCUCAAGAAGCAACUGAGGAGAACAAACCAUGCAAAAAUUAAUGCGGCUUAGAAGGGAAUCUAGUUUCAACUAGGGUUUGGUUGGGAGUUGGCCCACAUUUGACACUUUAUUUUCUUUAGUGGUGAGCUAAGCUUUUAGGGGUGUAUAUUUAGAAUUUCACGGAUUCAACGUUGAAUUGGUGGCCACGUGUGAGAAUUAGAGUCGUAUCAGAAAAUAACAUAAGUUGAUUUAUAUAAACGUGGGCUUAAUUAGCUUUCACAUUGAUAAGUCUUAGUUUUGUUAGAAAAAGUAGACGGUAGCUAGAUGCAUACAAAUUAGAUGGCCAAUUCAUUUAUAUCGAAUUGGAUUGCUUUUUUAAGAUCGUCCUUACCUUGGAUGCUUACAAAUCUUUCACGAGCCGUCUCGUCCUAGACGUCGCAUCUCGUAUAUAUGAAAAAAAUUAUUAAGGUUCACAUUUUAAAAUUUGAAAACGUUGAUAGUGUUUUUAAAGAAAUAGAAAAAUCAGCCGAGAAAAAAAAGAAAGAUUGAGAUUUUCUUUUUUUUUCCUUUUUUUUUUUUGGUAAAUAUAUCAAUCAACCUUCCCAAACAAAUUGGAAAGGGAUAGAUCAAACAAGUGGAUAAGGUCUAAUGUUCCGUCCAUUUCAUGGUUAUUGCAAUUAACUUUGCUAGUGAUUAUGCUAGCAUAUUGCUUGGUUUGGAAAAAAAAACAUAAAAAUUAAAAAGAGUUGUUGUUAAUUGACAUAGAUUUUCUUAUGGAAUAUAUAGAGUUUUUGCCAUGUAAAAAAUUAAGAAGUUUUUGUCGAAUCAUUGGUUAUCAUGCUAUGUAUAUUAUUAUUAUAAUUUAUAUUUAUAAAUAAAAUAUAUUUAAAAAAUAUUAUAUAAUAUAUAAGUACGUGAAAUAAUAUGUAAUAGAAUAUACUUAACACUAUAAAAUAAAGUACUAUAUAUUUAUAAAUAAUAUUCAUAAAUAAAAUAUUCGAUAAGAAUUUAUAGAGGGAGAGAGAGAGGUCCACCAUGGACUCUCUCUCACGUGGUCUACGAGGUGAAGUGGACCCCGUGCUGAGCUCAAGAUGAGCUGCAUUUUUUUUGUUUUCUUGCUCACAGAGAGGGGAAAACAAAAACCCAAUAUUUUUAGAAUUUUUUUUUACAGACAAUUAAAUAUCUCAAAAAUUACUUUUCAAAUGAAAAAUAAUUUUCGGAGUAGUUUUGUAAGGAAUCAAACACACCCUAAAUAGCUCACAACUUAUUACAAAACUAGAAUCACACAUUGCGAUUUUCGUUAAUAUUGAAAACAAAAUAUAAAAUAUUAUAUUUUAAAUACCUUGAAUAAAUUUUAGAAAGAAUUAAUGGUAGCGUACUAUCACUUUGUUUAUUUUUAUAAAAUUGAACUUAGCUAGAAAUAUGAAUCAACUAGACUUCGAACUUGGAACCUCAAGUACCAAUCAUCAGAUCCUUUGUCACUUGCACUGAGAACAGCCAGUAAUACGCUUAAUGGUUGAUACCUCGAGAUUUUCAAUUAGAAUCCUAAUUGCUUCACAUUUUCAGCUAAGUUUAUUCAUAAAAAAAAAAUAACAUGCUGCCGCGUUCUCUUAGAAUAAAAAGAAAAAAAAAAAGGUCUUCAAUGAUUGUUGGUCAAAAUUGAUAGGGAGGAAUGAAACAAUUGUCCUACUCUCUUUUCAACAAGUUUUGACCACUUCUCUUUGCAUCCUAAGCUUAGUUAGAACCAACCUUAAUUAAUCUCUCCUCUUAAUAGCAUCCUAAAUCAUAUUUAAACCAACUUUAGUUAACUAAAUCCACAGCACUAACUCACUUAAUUAAGUCCCUUUCCUUCAUCCUUCUUAUGCCUUCAACCUGCAAGAAAAAACCCCCAAAUCUCUGACCAAUUUUCGCACUAUUUUUGUUAGCUAAUGAUAAGUUGUCAUUCAAAAAAGAACUCCAUGCUAUGUGGUUCAAAAUGUUUGACAUUUAUUUUCACUAUGGAUCUUUGUGUAAUUUGUCGUAGUUCUCCUAAUACUACUUGGACUUUAAUUAAUGUGUACUUUUGAGGAUCGAAGAGGAAAAAAAAAUGUCAAAGAAACAUUAUUAAUUGAUCAAAUGUUAGGGGGUCGAAUUCCAAUUGGAAACUCUCAAUCAAGACACUAGUAGAGGAUUAUUUGUGGAGGAGAAAGAGAGUUUUUUUUCUUUCCUUUUUUGCUCUUGUCAUUUAUUUCACAUUCCUACGAAGUAACCGCGAAAAAAUGGUAAAGAGAAAAGGGUUUUCUCUUGGAUCAGUACAUAAAGAAUAAGGUCCAACACGAAAUAGAUACAAUUUUGAUAAGGACGUAUCGGAGCCAUUUGCUUAUAUUCAUUGAAUAAAAAUAGUAACCGACAUGAAUUGCUUCUAUCGAAAGUGCAUCCGCUAACUUCAUUUGUUUCACCCGUUUAUAACAUUGAUCAAGAGUAUCUUUUGUUAGUAAGUAACUACGACACCGGAGUUGAGAAUUUGUUUGGAGCUUGUACAUCGAUCUUUGUUAAUAGAGUAUUUAUUAUGAUUCGCAUCUAGUAUGGAAAUGACAAAACCUCCUGAUCGAUAGUAUUAUAAUUAUUUUAUUAGUUGAAAAACUAUGUGGAUUAAUUUCCACAACUUUACUAAUAUCUUUUAAAACAUUCUAAUUGAAGUUGCACAAUAGUAGUGCAAUGCAGGUAACUUGUGGGCUCAACCUGAGAUCAGUUUGGUGCAUGUAGCUUGUCUUUUUCCUUCUCUUUGACCUGCUUUUUCAGGUCAUGACCAGUCACAUGGAGCUUGGUUUGAGUGGAUCCAACUCAGGGAUAGGCCCAAACCCCUACUUAGCCCUGUGGUGGUAGAUGCCAUAUAACAAGUGGGUGGAGUACCCUCCUUUAGUCCCUUUUUUUUUAUAAAAAAAAGAUUGGGGCAAUUUCAAACACAACCUUAUGAAACUUAAAAUAUCAUACUUUGUCCUUUCAAAAUCUAAAAUAUUUUUGAAAAAUAGGUAGUAUUCUACCCGCUUCGUUUACUUCAUUUAGAAAUAAACUUAGCUAAAAAUGUGAAUCAAUUAGGAUUCGAACUUGAGAUCUCGGUUACCAACCACCAAGCCAUUUACCAUUUGCUCUAGAGACGGUCGGUUUCAAAAUCUAAAAUAUUAUUAACAUUCUUUUAAAUAUAUAAAUAUAUUACAAAUGCCUCUCUGAAUUCCAAACCCAAAAUCUAAACCCUAAAUCCUUUAAGGUGAAAACGUAAAAUCUAAACCCUUAAUCCUUUAAGGUGAAAACGUACAGAGCUUACAUGAACUAUGAACCAUUUUGAAUCAGCUGCUUAAUUUUUAAAAUUUUAAUUUUUUUACUAUCCAGCCUUUCAAUUUACUUGAUUUAAGUCAGUCAUAAUAUUUCGACUUCAAUAAUUGAAUGUGACGUUUAUCUUUAUAGAUUUAAUUAGUAUUACUUUAUAUAAUUUUCGUAACUACAAAUUUUUUUAAAUAAGUAAUUAGCUUAAAUUGACAAAUUGAAAUAUUGUAAAGAAAAAUCAAAAUUUUAAAAGAUUGCUUAGACAACUCAAUAUGAUCCAUAGUUCAUAUAAAUUGGGUAUGAUUUUGUCAUUCUUUAAUGUUUUUAAAGGCACUAAUGAUAUUUUAAAUUCGAACGAAUCUUUAUAAAAUUACAACCUAUUUUUAAAUUAGGGUAAACUUCAAAUACCAUCCAUGUGGUUCCGCACUUUCUCACUUUAGUACCCUAUAGUUUAAAGUGUAUCAAUUUAGUAUCCUAUGGUUUUAUUUUUAUUUUUUCGUCAGUUUUUUUGUUAAUAUUUUGUUAAAUUAUAUACAAGAAACUUCAGAUACCGCACCUAGGUUUAUUGAAUACUCACUUUAGUACCCAUUUCAGAUACUCCAUCUAGGUUUAUCGAAUAUUCACUUAGUACUCUUUAGCUUUAACUUCGUCACUGAUUUAAUAAAAAAAAUUAAUAAAAUCGAUAAUAAAAAAUAAAAAUAAAAAUAAAACCACAGGACACUAAAUUAAUAUUCUUUAAACCAUAUUGUACUAAAGUGAGAAAAUACGAAACCACAUGAAUGGUAUUCGAAGUUUUCCCUUUAAUCGCAGCGUUUCAUCUUUUCUUUUGUUUUCUUGCUUUACUUGUGUUAUAUAGAGAUAAAUUAAUAAAGGAGGUGAUGUGUGAAGAUAAUAAAGCUAAGCUUUAAGGAAACAAACGAAGCGAGCAUGAUUUGAUCUACAAGAUUAGAAUGUCGGCAUGGUGUAGUUGUCAAUGUUAUUCAUGUUGUGGUAUGAUGAUGUUUUGAGAAUAAGUAAGAUACUUUCUAUGGACAAAACUUUAGUGGCGAUCUCCCUAACGAGGCGUGCUCGUAGGGGAGCUUUCGAUUUGCUACCGCAUGUUACUUUUAUUUUAAUCCAAAAAUUUAUUAGAUGUUUUUUAAUACUAAAAUUUAUUUUUUCAAAAAAAAAUUUAGAUAAAGAAUUAUGAGUUUUGGACAGAGAUAAAAAAAUAAUACAUGGUGACAGAUUAGAACUCCUUAACGAGAUAUUGUUGGAGAGCUCUCCACAUAAACUUUUUUUUCACUUUCUAGUAAUAUUGUCAGAUGUGUCUCAAGUUUAUUUUAAAAAGUAACUGAAUGAAUAAUAUUAUGAAAGUACGAAGUUAUAGUAAGCCUAGCCAGUUUUCACCGCUUAUUUAUUUGCCUCCUUCACAUGUGUGUUAUAAGUACUAUAUAAGUAAAUUUGGAUUAAAUGAGAGGUAAAUAGGUUCUUACAUAACAUUUUCCUCAUGACUUGGUUCCAGACUUUUUGUAAGGCCUAUAAUAUAAAUUUGGAUUAAAUGAGAGGAAAUUAAUAAUACUACAAGUCUAACAAGGCUUCAAAUUUGAGACUGUUGGAUUAUUAGCGCUAAUCAUUAGUCCCAAAAGCUCAAACUGUUAGAAAUAUACAACAAAUUUACUUAAAGCGUACAAACAUAACGUCUAGCAGUCUCGCUUUUAACUUGGUUUAAUCAGUCUCAUGCCACUUCAAAUAUGAUUCGACAUAAUCUGAUUUUCGCUACAGGACAGGACACUUCGCCUUUUAAGCUAACAAAGAGGUAUUCGGUACCAACCAUUAAACUUUUAGCCAGCUGCUCUAAAUACGGUAGGUGAUUUCGUGUUAAACUGUAGGAGCAAUUGAAGACCUGUUUUGUUUAGAGUACCGAAUUGUAGUUCUUUAAUUAAGAAUUGUGAACAAAAUUUUCCCUUCGUGGCCAGUUUUAAUAAAAAUAAUUUUUAUAUAAAUUCCUUACUUUUCAGAUAAUUUUAAAAGAGUUCUGAACUUUUCUAUGUCCUCACGUAAUUAGUUGGGAAAUGUUGACUUUUUAUUCGAAAAGUCAUGAAAAAUAUCUUUCAGUGAAAUCUACGUGUACUAUCACAACUUUUAAUUUUUGUCCCUUUUGUAUAGCUUCAUCCUUUUAAGGCUAUUAAAUUAGAUAUGCUUAUGCAUGCAUAUAAAAUUUUGAACAAACUUCAAAUAUCACCCCAUAUAGUUUCACACGUUCUCACUUUAGUAUUUUAUAGUUUAAAAUAUAUCAUUUUAAUACCUUGUGCUUUCAUUUUUCUCUUUUUAUCAACUUCUCCGUUAACAUUUCGUUAAAUUAUAUACAAAAAACUUCAAAUACAUCACCUAGGUUUAUCGAUUAUUCACUUUAGUACCUUUUAGUCUUAACUUUGUCGUUGAUUUAACGAAAAAAAUUAGUGAAAAAGAUAAUAAAAAAAACAAAAAUGAAACUAUGGGGUACUAAAUCGGUACACUGUAAACCAUAAAGUACCAAAGUGAGAACGUAUGAAAUCAUAGGACUGGUAUUUAAAAUUUUUCCUAAAAUUUUUAAGAAUAGAAUGCUACAUGUUGUAGGAUAUAACUCAGUUAUGUUUACAAUAAUAAAUCUAUGAAAUUGGGACAAAAGUUAAAGAUAUUCUUAGAUUUCUCUAAAAUAUGCUAAACAAAGGCUAUUAAUAAUAAUAAUAAAAAGAAUAGCCCAGAAAAUUAUAUAAAAAAAAUUUAAAAAAUUAUAUGCAAUUUUAUCCUUUCGAAUAACUUCUGUUGCAAAUGGGAGGCAAGGGGAUUUCUUUUUCUUUUUUUUUUUUCCUAGCUGCCUUUUGGAAAGCUAAAAGAGAAUAUUAUUUUAUAUUUUAAUAUUUUAUACAAUACAUGAAAGAGGAACCCGAAAAAUGAACGACCGUGCUUCCCGGGUCGAGGAAUUCUACACUAUCACACUUGCACCAUAUCAUUAAUAAUAAGUCAAUCAUUUUUUUUUUUUCAAACAAAAAUACAAUAAAAAUAUUUUUUUAUAAUCAUGAUGUGACAUAUAUUUCUAAAAAUUUUUUUUGAUUGAUUUGUUACGCCACAUCACCAAUAUACCCAUUGCAUUCUAGAAUUUUUUCUCUAGGUCUAGGGCAAAUUGAUGGGAUCCAUUUUUUUUCAUUCCUCUCUCAUAUUAAUCAACCCUUUUCUUUUUUUUUUUUUACCUACGCCAUGUCUAAAAAUUCAUUAUAUAAAUUAAGCCUAUUUUAAAAUAAUUAAUAUAAAAAAAAUUAAAAUUUCAUCUGAUAAAUACAAUCUAUAAUAUAUAAAAAAUCUAGAUAUAAAAAUUAAUAGAUUUUUAUAUUUAUAAUAAAAUUUUAUAAAUACAGUGAAACAAAAGUUAUAUACCCCACAAAUUGAUGGGGCCCACUUUUUUCAUUCCUCUCUCCCUCCCAACUCAUAUAAAUUAACUUUUUCUUUUUCUUUUUUUUUUUUGCCUACACCACGUCUAAAAAUUUAUCAUAUGAACCGAAUCUAUUUUUUAAUAAUUAAUAUAAUAAAAUUAAAUUUUCAUAUGAUAAAAUAUAAUCUAUAAUAUAUAAAAAAUCAAGAUAUAAAAAUUAAUAGAUAUUUUUACUUUUAUAAUAAAAUUUUAUAAAUACAGUAUAUAAAAAAUUAUAAGUCCGGUAUAUAAGACAUCCUCACAUAUUUUUCAAUAUGACUUUAACUUUAAUAUAAAUAAAGUUGAGCUUUAAUAAGGUAAAGUCCUCUAAUAUAAGUCUUCCAACUUUAAUUUUUUAGUUAAAACUUUAUUUAUAAAAUAGCUAUCAAAAUUAUUAAAUUUAAUUAAAAUUUUAAAUAAAAUUAUUAGAAUAGUUAACUAUAUAUUAUAAAUAUUAAAAUUAAAAAAACUAUUAAUAAAAAAAUUACUUUUUAUAAUGUACAUAAGAUUGCUUUAUAUAUAUAUAUAUAUAUAAUUUUUAGCUAUAACUUUUUAAAUUUUAAAAUUUUAAAUAAAUAUGUAUAUAUCAAUUGGUUAAAAUACAAUUGACCUGUUGCGAAGCGCCGGCCCUACACUAGUUGAGCAACAAAGGCAAAGUGGAAUCCAUGUGUAACAAAAGGGGAUGGAGCUCUUGGACCAGGGAAUAUUUAAGUCGCUUUGUGGAACUAUAUAUUGUAUUAAUUAAUUAGGAUGUUGCAUAAGGAACUCACCUGGAGCUUUCCUAUUGCAAUGUAACAUAAAUUGAGGAGGAAAAAUUAUUUGGGAUAAUCUAGGAAAGUUCCAGAAUAUUAUGAUCAAUUGGCUUCGUUUGGUUCGGAUAUAAGUAAGAACUAGUUAUUCCAGAAAUAGAUAUAAGAUGAGGUAUAAGGUAGGUAUAAAAUAAUUUUGUGUUUGGUUGAGUAUUGGAUUUAGUCCAGAUAUAAGCAAAAUAGUAUUUGGUUGGAGUACGUGGAAUAAGAAGAAUAGUGGGUGGUUAUAAAUAAAAAAUAAUGAUAUUGUCAUCUUUAUUAUAUUUGAAUUAAAAUUUUUAAAUUUUAUAUUUAAAAUUUUAAAUUUAAAUAUAUAACUCUUAAAUUUCAAAAAUAAAAAAUUAACAUUUAAAUUUAAAAAUCUCAAAUUCGAAAAUUCAAAGUUCUAAAUUUUUAAUUUCAAAUUUUAAAUUUAAGAUCAAAGCUAAAUUUAGAAAUAUAAAAUUUUAAAUUUAGAAAAUUAAAUAUAUCAAUUUAAAAUUUAAAAUUUAAAAUUUAUAAUUUAAAAAUAUAAAUUUUUAUUUUAAGAUAACAAAUUAUAAAUUUUAAAUUUUAAAUUUAAAUUUAAAAUUUAAAAUUUAAUUAGGGAUGGAAAUAGUUAUUCCAUCCCCUAUACCUGGGGAAGAGUUAACGGGUUAUUCCGGGAUAACCCGUUAAUGGGUGGGAUAGCAAUCCCACCCCUCUUAUUUUUGUUGUUUGGGUAUAAGGGGUGGGAUAACCCCUUAUCCCACCUCUUAUAUUCGAACCAAACGGGGGCUAAAAGUAAAACUGUACCAGUUCAUCUGAGAUUUUUCUUUAGUUUAUUGGCGGUUUUGUUUGGUUUGCCAAACUAUUUUAAUACUAAACGAGUUAGAUAUUUCGCAACCGAAAAAUUUAAAACUGAUAGAGUCAUUAAACAAAAGUGCUUUCUGAGCGCCAAAGUUUAAAGAAAAUGAUCAGAAUUAAGAUUCUUGCAACUUCUCAGGCAUCUCAACUGAUGGAAUCCCGUGAUCCCGUCUAAUAAGCAAAAAAAAAAAGUGUUGAAUAAGAUGUUUAUGCAUCCACACAGAGCCGUUGAACAUACUAUCCAGCUAACCAUCGAAAGCCACUUGAUCAUCUUCGCAUGCAACUUCCUCAAAAGAAUAAGGAAGAUCCAAAACAAGAUUCAAAAUAACUAGGGACCAACGCCUAACAAGUCAUAUGCUCAGCAAGGUAAUGCAAUGGCAUUUUCAUGAACUUGUGAGGCCAGGAAAAGGGAAAAUUGACGGAGUAAACAGAGAAACCCGUGACUAAGACGUUACUUGGGAUUACGGAUAGAAUACAUUACACAGCAGGAUUAAAGUGUAAUGCAAAACAAUAUUCCAUUCGUUUUCAUAGGUAACAAGAAGUUGAGUGAGAGGAAUGCUUUGAUACACUAUGUAAGUAUUGAAAAGGAUAUGAUUGUGUUUUAUAUGAAGUAACUUGUUGGACAGGUUACUAAUUUAGAAUAGUCAAGUACAAUAUCGAAAAAAAAAUUUGUGGCAUAUAAUAAAUUUAUCAGGAUCCUAUAAAAUUUUAAAUUUUUUACUUAAUUUUGUUUACUUAAUUAGAUAAUUCCUAAUCUGUUAAGUAUCCAACUCAAAAUGAUAUUGAAUUUAAAUUCAAUUUUUAAAUUCGGUAUCGUAAUGUAAAAUUUUGAUUUUAAAAUUUAAAAUCAUCCCUUAAAUUUGAAUCUAUAUUCCACUUUUAAUCUUGAAAUCACAUUUUAAUGCUUGAUUUAAAUUGAAAAUUUAGAAUUUAUACUAAAAAUUUUAUUUCAAAUUUGUGUUUUAUAUUUAAGAAGAAUUAAAUUUGAUUCAGAAUUAAAUUUCGUAAGUUGUUUCCAAAUUGAAUUCGCAGUCUAGCUGUAAUUUGAAUUCUGAUUUCUUUUGUAGGCACUUGAAAAGUCUAUAAUUUCCUUAGUUGGAUAAGACCAACGAUAGAUCUUAUGGACGAAAACAUUGUACAAAGACCAAAAUAUUCUUCAGACUAAUACAUAUGCCCCUCAAUAACAGAUCACCUUUUAUAAAGUAAUAUUACGUCUCUGACCACGGCCAGAACUUACAUGGUAUAUUGAAGCAUACUGAUCUUUAUAUACUUCCGUCGUAACUCUAUUUUAUCUAAUAGUAUUACGCGACACUCGGGACAAAAUUUUACUAAGCCAUGCAUGAUUGGAGAAUGGGAAAAAGGUGGUGGGAGAGAUACAUGUACACCCAAAGAGAGGAGGAGGUGAUGUUCUAAGUUCUCCCAAAAAGAGCCCAUUCCUGAUCAACCCAUAUUGUAAGGUUGUGCACAUGGGAGUAGCUCCACAGAGUUAUUGCCCGGCACUAAAAUUAAAGAGCUACAUAUCCCCUCCUCUGUUUUUUUCUUGUGUUUUUUUGGGCUAUACGUUGCACCUCUCCAUCAUCCCACGUUUACCCACAGAGCCCCACUUUAAGAGAUUGAGCUCGUAACGUUGCGUUAUUGGCCAUGUCCAUGCACAUAAAUGGUACGAGCGAAUUGAUGAAGGAAACGGAGUUUUGGACAAGACAUUGAGAAUGUACCUGACAAUAUAAAAGAUCUCCCAUGUGAGCAUGAUUGCUCAUGUUCGACAAAAAAAACUUACAACAUUUUGCAUGAUGUCAUUGCAGAAGGUAUUCGAUGCAAAUAUUAGGACAUACAAGAUUUAUUUGAAUAAACUAUUUUGAUUUAACUAUCGAAUCUUUCAAAAAUUUAAUUUUACUAUCCAAUCCAUCGAUUUGUUCGAUCUGAGUGAGUCAAUAGUAUUUUUAGAUUCAAAGUGCCGUUGGCUGACUCAAAUCGAACAAAUUCGAUAGAUUGGAUAGUAAAAUUAAAAAUUUAAAGGUUGAAUAGUUGAAUCAGAAUAGUUCAUAGUUCAAAUAAGUUUUGUGCGUUCUAUCAAAUUUAUGGUUUUAUUAAACUUCUCAUCAUAUAUUUAAGAAAGCAGAAAAAACGAAAAAGAAAAAAAGAAGUAUGCUGUUUGUUUGCUGAAACAAUUUUGGGGAGAAAAAGAAGGAGAGCGUUGCAAGUUGCAAGCUUAACCUAAAAGUAAAUUAUGACUGACGCGGAGAAAAUGCAUUAUGUACGGUUAGAAAGUAUAAUUAAAAAAAUCUAUUUAUUUUUAUAUGUAAUAUUACGUUGUGCAUAUGAUGAUAAUUUAUUUUUUCUAUAGUCCUGGUAAAACUAUAAAAAUAUGUUUUUAUAUACUUUCGUCCUAACUCUGUUUUGCAUACUAAAAAUGAAUUGGGCUUCGUUGUUUGGAUCGGAAAAGAUCGAAAUGUAAAAUGUGAGCCCGAGGCUGAUUCUUUCUGGGCUAAAUCUGCAGUGAUUUUUAGGUUGGACCGGCCCGUUUAUUUAUUUUAAGAAAUGAGAUUGCCCGUAUACAUGCAUAGGUUGAAUACUUGGAUCCCUCUUUUUUCUAAAAUUUUUAUAAUUUUUAAUAUAAAAAUAUAAAAAUACUAUUUUCUACAAUUUAGUUUGGUAUUAGAAUCACAUGUCCUAAGUUCGAGUUCCCUCGGGCUCCUAGAAUUAUUUAGUUUUAUCUCAUUUAAUCAAAUCCACGUCUCGGACGCAAACAUCUGAAUCAUGUAUAUUUUUGGGACUUCUAAUUCCAUCUUCUAUCUUCGUUCUUAGCUUCUUAAUUGAACUAAUUAGGCAUAGUAAACAAGAUCUUGUAGUCCUCUCUUGUAGUGUACAAAUAUGCGAUUAUAAUUUCCAUGGAUUGCUUAAACCGAAUCCUCUGUUCACUUUCACAAUUUUUUAUUUGAGAAAUGAUUCGGUACUUUUUUUAAAAAAAAAUAAAAAAGAUCUUAACCGUUGAUUAAUAGAGGGUAAAAAUGUAACUUUAGGAAAUUAAUUGAUUAACCAAAUUUAUGAAAUUAUUAGGCAUUAAUUUAGGAAUCUACUUUAAAUGUUUUAGUGUUUCUCAAAUUAUCCAUUAAUUUAAAUUAUAGAAAUUUUAGAAAUUGUUUUAUUUCUAAAUACGAUGAAUUUAAAUUUUAAAAAUUAAAUACUUAAAAUUUAAAAGUAAAAUUUAAAUUAGAGGAAUUUCGUAUUACUAUUUAAAAACUAAAUUUCUACCAAGAUUUAAAAUACAGUUUAUUCGCACCAGUUUAAAACGUAAUGCAUAAAAAACUUAGAAAGUAAGAUUUCUACAACUAGAUUUCUUUAGAGGAAUUUUAUAUUACUAUUUAAAUUUUAAAUUCAAUGAUUUAAAAACUAGAUUGAACCGAUUGAUUUGACUGAUCAGACUUUGACCUAUUCUAUCAAGAAUCUGAUUUUAACCUAUUGAACCGAAUAACAUUAAGAACAAUUUGGAACCGGUAAAGAUAAUAAAUAUUUUAAACAGAAUGAUAAUUUAACUGUUAGAGCUAAUAAAUAUUUUAAAUAUAAUUUUAAACAUAUAAAUUAAAAAGAUUAGAAUUAUUGGUGAGAAAAAAAAUAGUUAGGAAUUUGAAUUCGAAUCUGACUAACAAUCACAAAACUUAUUUCCGAACUCGACGGAUUUCAAAAAUCCAUAUCCAAAUUCAAAACUGACCAAUUUUUCGAAACCCAAAAUCAAACCUAAACCAGAAGACUAGAAUUCAAACAAUUAUUUCUGUUUACCAUAUUUCAAAGUAUUUAUAUGAAACUUAAAUUUUUAAAAUAUAAAUUUGAAUAUAAUAUUAAAUUUUAAAUUUAAAAGUGAAAUUUAAAUUAGAGAAAUUUUAUAUUACUAUUUAAAGUUUAAAUUCAAUGAUCAUAUUGUCAAAUCAUUUGAAAUUUUCCUUAUAUGAAAUGCCAAAUUAUGAAAGGAAAGAUAGAGAGAGCAAAAAGAAAUAAAGAAAAAAUAAAAAUUUUGAAAAUAUAGUAGAUGUAAAAUGACUAAAUUGCCCAUGUAUUAAAAGACAAAAAUAUCUUUUUUUGAGGUACCUGGUAACCGGUACCUCUCCCAAAGUGACCUACUAUUGCAGGUCACAAUUUAAAAAAAAUUAAAUCUAAGUCGUUGAAUACGCGUGAAUGAACGGUAACCAAAAAAAAAAAAGUAUAGAAGCAUUACUCUUUUUAUUUUCCUUCUUCGCAACAUUUCAUGUGUUAAUAGAGAUGAAGGUUUAAAUCAGUGUUACCUCUCUGCUACCAAGCAAUGUUUGCUCCUCUUCAUUAUCUCGCGAAGGUUUAAAUGAUUUUACGGAUAUUUGAAUUAAUGUUGCUGCUAUUUACCUACUAAAUCGCAAACUCGAGCUCGAAUAAUGUUUCGAUUAAAUUGGUAUGAUGAGUUAAAUAAAUUUCUGAGCUUAUUUAUUAUUAUAUCGAUCUUUUGGAUAAUAUAGUAUCAUAGUUAAUGUUUCGUAAAUCUCGUUACUUGAAUAGCAUUCUAUGAGAAUUAAUUUUAAAUCUUUUAUUCUGUAAUGCAGGUCGAUCUUGGAAGUAAUAUAUUGAGAGUGGUCAUCAAUUCAAAAUGCUCUAAUCAUCUCCGAAAUUGACGGUGAUCGAUUCAGUUCCCAUGAAUGGUUCUUUAUUAUUAUUUUCUUAAAAAAAAAAAAAGUCGAUUCAACGCCACAAAACAUGUACUACACUUGCAACCACAUUCAAGUCAAACACAAGUGCCUUGAUGAGUUUCUUUAAAAAUUACAACUUUUGAAGUGGAUCAGAAAAUGCAAGUUUAAGUAAUAUUAGAUUUCAACUUCAUGUAGCGUUUGUUUGCUUUCAACUGUAAUGUUAACCUCAUUUCUUGCAGCAACUGGUGAUAGCAGCAGAGUGAAGGUUGUUCACCGGCACGGCCCGUGCUCGCCGCUCAGCCGCCAAAAAGACACCAAUCACGCGCGCAUCCUCCGCCGAGACUGGUCUCGCGUCAAAUCCCUCUCUCCGCCGCAUAUCUUUCUUGUUAACAGCAACACUCAACAGUACGUCGUCGGCCGACACGACAAUCCCUGUCCGCGGUUGCUCCUUAUUUUCCGCCAGCGAGUAUGUCGUCACUGUCGGCGUCGGCUCUCCAAGCCAAGACCUCACCUUCGCCCUCGACACUGCCGCCGACCUCACCUGGGUCCAGUGCAAGCCCUGUGCAGUGUACUGCUACCUGCAAAAGGACCUGCUCUUCGACCCUUCGAAAAUCGACGACGUACUCCAACGUUUCCUGCUACUUCCCGGAAUGAUAUCACUUGUCACGUGUGGCACUCGUCCGUUAUCUGUACGAACGAGCCAGUCAAACCAUUCGGAGGCAUAAAGCCGGCUCACUUAAUAUACGUUCCAAGGUGGAUCUAAAAUUUAGGUAUGGCAUUGCACUGGAAGUUGAUAUAAGUCCGGGAUUCUUCACAUUGCUAGUAUAUCGCAAACUUGUUUCGCAUUUGCGAGCAUUGCGAGCGAGCGCGCGGCAUCGAUGGUAGAAAACACGCAGCAGAGAGGGUUGGAGAUUGUUUACAAUGUGUUCAAGAAGGUGAUUGGAUUUGGAGUGGGCGGUUGUUGUAGGAUGGAAUGUUUGUGGCUCUUGAGAAGGAAUAACUGGAGCAGAAAAAUAAAACUAAUUAUGUGAUCGUCUAUACAUUCGAUGAAGAAACAAUUUCCUGCUAAGUUUAUUUCUAAAUGAAAUAAACGAAGUGGGUAGCGUGCUAUCUAUCUCUCAAAAAAAAAAAGAAAAAUUUCUUUAUUUAAAUUUUGAGAGAGAGAGGGAUAGAAUGCUAGUUGCUUUGUUUGUUUUUUAAGAGAUAAACUUAAUUAAAAAUAUAAAAUAAUUAUAUUUCAAAUUUGAGAUUUCGAAUGUUAAUCAUCUACACUAACUAAUAAGUUGAAAAAAUAUUCACGGUCAAAUCCUUCUACCAGUUCAUCACAGACGCAGGACUGCACAUCCCGAUGAACCAACACAUUUGGAACUUGAAAAUUUCAGUAAAAAUCAAAGUCUUUAUUUGGCUGCUACUUCGGAAGAGAUUACUCACUGCAGAUAGAUUGCUCAACUGAGACAUACUUGUAGACCAAAAUUGUGUUUUCUGUGCGGUUCUCACGGAAAGCUGUGACCAUUUAUUCAGUAAUUGUGUUUGCGUUCGAUACUUUCUCCUCAGUGUGGAAAGAUUGGACGUAACUGACAACAUCAUGGGCGACGUCCGAAGCCUUUGGCCCGGAAUUUCUAACAACCCAGUUGAUUCGUUGAGAACACAAGGCUUGAUCCUUCUGGCUGCGAUUUGGUGGGUGGUUUGGACGGAUAGAAAUAACUCCGUUUUUCGGAGAAAUCCGCCCAACACUACCCGGUCUUUAGAACGUGUUAAAUUACUUAACAGCAAUUAGACCGCACUGCUCUGAUGUGUUACUAGAGCUUCUUUCCCUUUCUUUUCUCACCUUGUCUCUUCCUUUUCGCUUUUUAAUCUUACCUCUUUUUGCCGGUUUCUUAGAGAGGCCUUCGUUACUUCCAUCUUGUAUGCUCAAUUCAUUUUGCUUAAUGAAUGAAGUAGCUAGCUUGUUACCUAUUUCUCAAAAAAAAAAGAAAAAAUGUAAGUGAAAGCGAGCAAUAUUGGAGCCUCAGCAAAUGAAUGUUUAGAAACGGGACUUGUGUUGGACUAUGUCGGGCAUAAGCUUUAGACUUAGAAGAGAAACAGCUAAUCACAGCUCAAAAUCUAGCUUUGUAUGUUUAAUGUGGAUCAUGCCGGGCCGGCCCAUUGCCAGGACGAGGCCCGUGCGGUCCGUAGUAGACCGAGCAGUGGACUGAUCCGAUUAUUUUUUUUACUUUUUAAAUUUUUUAAUUGCUUUAAUCUCACUUUAUUAUUUUUUCUUUUUGGCCUUUUUGCAUAAAAAAUCCACUUAUUUUGGGCUUUUGCAAAACCGGGUCAUCUUUUUCGUUUUUGCAAAUUCGGUCUGCUUUUUCAGCAAACUGACCAAAAUACCCUUAUUACUUUUUCUCUUUCCUCUUUCUCUCUCCUCUUCGUUCUCUCGUUCUUUUUUUUUUCNGAACUUGGCGAGGAGGAUGGAGUAGCGGUCGCGACGCAUGCCGUAGACCCACUCGCGACGCGCGGGGUCGAGGUCGUGGGUGCGGUCGAAGAAGCCGACGAGGGGCGGCGCGGGGCCGGAGCGGGAGGAAGAAGAAGAAGAAGAAGAGGGAAAAAAAAAAAAGUGCUCCAGCAGGAGGAAGAAGAAGAAGAAAAAGAAAAAGAGAAAAAAAAAUUACUCCUGCAGGAAGAAGAAGAAGAAGAGCCCGCCUGGCGGUGCUCCGGCGGCGCGUCCGCCUGGCCUUCGCUUUUUUUUUUCGGUGAAAGAACGAGAGAACGAAGAGGAGAGAGAAAGAGGAAAGAGAAAAAGUAAUAAGGGUAUUUUGGUCAGUUUGCUGAAAAAAUGGACCGAAUUUGCAAAAACGAAAAAGGUGACCCGAUUUUGCAAAAGUCCAAAAUAAGUGAAUUUUUUAUGCAAAUUGGCCUUUCUUUUUUAAAGUUUAUAGUAUUACUCAUUCAGUCGAUAAAAUUUGAAUGGCUUUUUGUUAAUAAAAAAAGGUUAUUUAAAAUUUAAAAUUUAAAUUAUAUUUGAGAGUGGUGUGCUGUGGCCCAGCAAUCCAACAUCCUCAAGCCUACGUGGCUAUGUCCACGUGGAGCACCCCAAUUGGUUCGCACACGCGUCUUAGUCCCUGCGUUUUCCCGAAACUCCAAAACCGAGCUCGCGCUUCGACGAUCUUCGUCCCUUCCUACUGCGAUCGAGAGAAAAAGAAAAAAAAAGAAAAAGAAAAAAGAGAGAGAUCGAAAUUAUUAAGAGCUGCGAAAUGCUCGUCGCCUCUUCCUUCCUCCUCCUCCUCAUCCUCUCCUACGCUUCCUCUGCUGCAUCGCUCUACUCCCCCUCCUCCCCCGUGCUCCAACUCACCCCCUCCAACUUCAAAUCGAAGGUUGUCCCCCGAUCUGAUCCCACUCUGCUUUUCGAUCUCUUCUUCUUCGAGCUCCUUGCGAUUUGAGUGCUGAAUCGAGGGUUUUGGUGCUAGGUUUUGGGAUCCAAUGGGAUCGUCUUGGUGGAGUUCUUCGCGCCCUGGUGCGGCCAUUGCCAAGCCCUAGCUCCCGCGUGGGAGCGCGCCGCCACCGUCCUCAAGGGCGUCGCCACCGUCGCGGCCGUCGACGCCGACGCUCACCAAUCGCUCGCUCAGGUGUGGAAUCAUCGCCAUGUUUGUGCUUAAUUUUGUGGUGUUGUUUAUUUGUGAUUGUGAUUGUGGUGGACUAAUAUGAAUCGGAGAAUGUAUGCAUCGCAUGUCGAACUUUAGUCUGUAGAUUUAGUAUCGGUGAGUUGCUUGAUCAGAGCGGUCGCUUUGUUACCCAACAUUUUGGGCAAAUUUGAUCCUAUUAAUGUAGCGGCAAAUGCAAAUAUAUUCCUGUGAAACUGUUGCAAGUUGACUUCAAUUGAGUAUUAUGAAUGGGUGAAAUUAUGCCUUGUACGUCAAACUGUAGUUGAUAGACCGCAUCAGCUAGUUGCCUAGUCUGUUCUUGAACUUCUUUUAGGAUUUUUGAAGGAUUUAUGAUUCAGGGUUUGCAUAAAACAGGAGGUUGAAUAGAGAGACAAUUGAAUUGAAAAAUGAGAGUAAAGUAUUUAGGCGGACACUUAUUAUGGUGGAAUAGCCAUUUUUGCAAGGAAUAUUCGACUUUACCUGGUGAACUGAAGAAGAGGAAUUGCAAAUUUUGAACAUAGAGAGGGAUAUAUUUGAUAAUUUAACUUUUGAAUGACAAAUCUGCAAUUUCGAUACAUUUGGAUUACAUAAGAUAGCUACCUCAAAAAUUUACUGUUCCUCAUUCAUAUAUUAAUUCUGUUGCAACUUUUUUGUUCAACUUUAUUUUAAAUUCAUUGUUUUUUCCUACAUGAUUUGGUGCUGUUUUGAUGACUUAACUCUGCAUGGUUAUAUUGCUGGAGCAGACUAUAAAUUAAGAAAUUGUCAAAAAUACACUUCUGGCAUCACAUUAAAAGCUUUUACGUCCUGCCAUACCCUUUUCUAUAUUUGAAUAAAUGGAAGUGACAAUGCAUGAUAUAUAUGCAGGAAUAUGGAAUUCAAGGAUUCCCUACAAUCAAAGUGUUUUCACCUGGUAAGCCUCCAGUGGAUUAUCAAGGAGCGAGGGAAGUAAAGCCAAUUGCAGAAUUUGCUCUAAAACAGGUUUUGAAACUCAGAACAAAUCCUUUAAAUUCUUUCUAUUUAAUGAACCCACCAUAUGGUCUUCUCUUCUAAAAGUUUCAUUAGUCAUUGGAUUUUUGGUCUCUUUGUAUCUUGCACCAGAAUCAUCUUAUUGUAUGUCUCUUUAAUCUAAUUAUUAUUAUUAAUAGUAGCACUAUCUAGAUGUAUGGCAUGCUACCAUUCUGUUCACAGAAAAGCCUUUUAACUUGUCGAAAAUUUUUGAUAUUUUGUUUACAUUGAGCUUUAGGGGAAAUCGCUAUUUGGUAUUCAUUGAUUUUGAAAUUACUGGCAGCAUUCUUCAGUCAUACAUGUAUGGGAAGCGCAAAGAGUCAAUGCAAGUGUCAUAGCAAUUUUGUUGCUUAGCUGCUUUUGUCCCCCUCAAUUAUUUACAAAUACAUGUAGGAGUUGUGUAAUAAUUUUUGUUUCAGCCUUUGGGUAGUUAGCUUAGAUUAGGUUCAUAAGGAAAAGUUGAUCGUAACUUGCACUUAUUGAAUCCUCCAUGUAAGUCGGCUAGUUUAUUUAAGUUUGCUAGUUUAAUUCCAUAUGAAAACCUUAUGUUAACUACCUGUCAAUCGCAAAAUUCAUCAUAAAUCCUAACUAAGGUGGGUCCAGUAACUCCAGUUUGUAACACUUUGGUGAUAGUUAUUGGUCGACCAUAUAGACUUUUUUUUUUUGUUUCAUUUGAGGCUCAAACCAAGAUGCUUUCGGUUGGUUGACUUUCCAUGGUAGUAUUGUUAAUAAUUCACAUGAUGCCAGAGUAGCUUUUUCGUCUAUCAUAUGAGUACAAAUAAAAAGAAAUUAAUCUUAUUCACAGGUUAAGGCACUCCUGAAGGAAAGGUUGGAGGGCAAGACUUCAGGAGGUUCAAAUGAGAAAUCUGACACAAGCGCUUCAAUUGAACUGACUUCUCGUAACUUUGAUGAGCUUGUCCUUAAAAGUAAGGACCUCUGGAUAGUGGAGUUCUUUGCACCAUGGUAUGCAGCUUUGAAACACAUGCAACAGUUAUUGUGUUAACAGUAAAUCGACUGAUCUUAAUGUCCUUUCUAUGUAUGCCUGUUAACCGUAUUUGUUCUUCCAAACUAAUUGCUAAUUUAAGGAUUAUAAUGCUUUAAUUGAGUGGAGUAUAAUAAUAAGCUAUUCAAUCAAUUUGUAGACGCCAAAAAAGUUUAUGUAUGCAAGUGCUUGACAUUUUUAACUAAGGAAGGUCAAACUUUAAAUUUCAAUGAUGGAGGAAUAAAAAAAAUCUCCAUUCCUUGAGCAUGAAAAGUGCUUUAUAUUAGAAACUUUGAUACCUUUUUUCUGUCAUAAGGAUUUCAAAUAUGGCUUAGUUGUUUGGUUGUUUUGCCUCCUUUUUUUAAAACUAUUUUCAGGAUAUUAAGCUUUCUCCCGGUAGUUAUGCUUUUUUUUCAGUUUUUUUUUUUUCCUUUUUUGUUGCUUUUCAAACUAACCAAAUUACAAUCUCAAACAGUUAGUUCUGGAGAAUAUUAUAUUCUAACAUGUGAGAUUGAUAUUUACACCUAAAUUUCUUCAUGCUGUCACAUGUUGAAGACGAUAUUGUUGCAUGCCAAUUAACAUGCUUUUAGCUUUUAUUUCUCGAUUAAGGCAGCCAGAUGCAUGAGACAGCUUCUACUUUAGGAUCUGGCAACAUCUGUAUUUUAUUAUUUAGAGGGUCUUUUUUUCAUGAUUGAAGAUUUAUGGUGCUUAGACUGCAAAGGGUUAACGAACUAUUGCUCCAAGGCCUGCCCUCUAAAUUGAUGUGCUCAUAUAAUUAAGGCUUAGUUUGGUAUUGAGUUUUAUCUAACGCUAUUUGAUAGAAUGGAGUUGAGAAAAAGUAUAUAGGGAUAUGCUUCUGCGUUCUCCGAUGGGAUCGCAGAAAAUAUAUCGUAACCGACUAACCGCAAUAUGCGGAACGCAAUAUUACGUACGGAAACAAACAAGGUAUUUUCCCUUCGUCGUUUCUCACCGCAUGUAAUGCAAUCUCUCUGCAAUCCCAAACGAAGCCUAAAUUGAUUCCAUUUGUUCCAGUCCUAAGAUUAGCUUUUUCUGUUUCAGGUGUGGGCAUUGCAAAAAAUUGGCACCAGAGUGGAAAAAAGCUGCAAAUAACUUGAAGGGCAAGGUGAAACUGGGCCAUGUUGAUUGUGAUGCUGAAAAGGUACGUUAAUCUACAGAUGAGGUUUGUGACGAAUUACAUUAGAUUAUGUGGUUAUGAUAUUGAUGAUACUUUUGGAAAUCACAAAGGCGUUAUCUAGCUAGGAAAAUCAUAAUUGUUCUUUUUCACCCUCGUAUUAUUAAAACAAACAGAUGAGUUUGUUCCGUAAGCUGAUAUGCAAAUUUCUCAGUCCUUAAUGAGCAGGUUCAAUGUACAAGGAUUUCCUACCAUUUUGGUAUUUGGUGCUGACAAGAGCAGCCCUUUUCCCUACGAGGGAGCUCGAGCCGCAGCAGCAAUCGAGUCAUUUGCACUGGAGCAGCUGGAAACCAAUGUGGCUCCACCUGAAGUGACUGAGCUCACUGGCCCAGUAUGAAUUUCUAUCAUUGAUUUAUAUUUGAAGAACAUGCUAAACUUUGGCUACUGCAUAAUCUCACUCAUCUUUUCUGUAGGAUGUGAUGGAAGAGAAGUGUGCGUCAGCUGCCAUAUGUUUUGUGGCCUUCCUCCCUGACAUCCUGGACUCAAAGGCAGAGGGAAGAAACAAAUAUCUUGAGCUUCUAUUAUCUGUUGCUGAGAAAUUCAAACGGAGCCCCUACAGGCAAGUGCUUAUUUAGAAAGCACUUUGUUGCUUCCCUGAAUUAUGAAGUUAUUGGUUUGUAUCUUUUUGAACUCAUAAAUUUUAUACAAGUUGCAACAAGAAGGGGGGAGAAAAUUGCUGAAGCUGAACUUGUAGCUUUAAAUUGAAGCAUUUGCAUUUGGGGCCUUGAAGCUCAUUUCGCGUUCCGACCUAAUUGGCGCACUAAUAUGCAGCGACUAUAUGUUUCCUUUAGAACUUGCUACAAAAGCUUGGCAAUUAAAAAACAUUAUUUCUUCUAAAUCUCGAAUUCAUGAUAAUAUGCUAAUUAUUAUAUAAACUAAGGUAGUGUUGCUUUGCAGCUUCGUGUGGGCAGAAGCUGGCAAACAGGCUGACCUUGAGAAGCAGGUUGGAGUUGGCGGCUAUGGUUACCCAGCUUUGGUAGCUCUGAAUGUUAAGAAAGGUGCAUACGCUCCGCUAAAAAGUGCUUUCCAGCAUGAUCCAAUAAUGUAAGCUCCCCUAUCGAAGUAUUCUUUUGUUUUCUUUGUUUAUAGAAGUUGUUUAAUACGUCCCUCGGCAGAGAACGACUUACUAAAACUUUGUCUCCAGUGAAUUUGUGAAGCAAGCCGGGCUUGGCGGCAAGGGGAAUCUACCUCUAGAGAAAACCCCCACCAUUGUUCAAACAGAACCAUGGGAUGGCAAAGAUGGCGAGAUCCUUGAAGAGGACGAAUUUUCGCUCGAGGAGCUCAUGCGAGAUGACACUGCAACGAAAGACGAGUUGUAACAAACGAUCAUUUCCGCAGGGACGAAGGUGUGAGGAAGUGUGCUCGAAUCUCUCGGGAUUAUUUGCACUGCUCAUGCAGUUUUACACUUAGCUCUCCAAAGACUCGAGUUCUUUUUAGCUAUGUUUAUCUUUAAUAUCAAUUGACAAAAGAACAUUCCCUUUUACGGGGUGCAGAAUGAAACAAAAGGUUAAAUCCAGCAUGAGUUUUAUUAUAAACUUAUAACUCUUGUAGUGAUUUUAUGUUUUUAAUGGCGACGGCGCGAGUUUUUAUUUGAUACUAGUGUGGUGUAGAUUUUGGAAUCAAGUAGGUAUAAUGUAGUAAAUGCCAGCAACACGACCCACAAAUCUAGCAUGCUUCUGUCCACAGAGAUUGUUGAUAGGUUGGUAUCAAUGUAGAAAUUUUUAAUUGAUUAAUACAUUGUCUUCUAUUAUAUAGAUUUGCUAAAUGUAUCAAUAGCUCAAGAGAACUCUUCCGCAGGGUACACAAAAACAUAUGCUUUGCGUAUUCUUUUUUAUUUUCUAUAUGUGAUGUUCGGGGCUGAUAUAAUAUUGAUACUGCAGAAAUUGUUAGUCCUAAUGAAAUUCGGCGUUUCUCUCGACGUCGGCACCGUAUUUGUCUACGCGGCCUACGACUUCCCCCUGUUUGAGCGGUGGCCCCGCGAACGCAUUAUACAAGCGAUCCAGCGCCAACAGGAUGGUCUUAUCGUCACCGUCGAUUGAACCGUCCAAACCACUCCAAAACCCUAAAGAGAAAGAAAAUAAGCCCACAGCCACCCCUCGAGAACACGCACUCUUUCUCUCUCGAACCCUAAUUCCCCUUCCACCCUCGCCCUCUUCUCCCUCUCGCCAUCGCGGAGAUGGCCCCGAAACGCCCCGCCGCUGCGGACCCCGAAUCCUCGUCCUCCGAGGAAGACGAGCAAGAGGAGGAAGAGGACGUGAACCUCUCCUCCCCUCCCCCCAGGAAGCCCCCCUCCUCGUCCUCCUCCAAGAAGCCCGAGAACCCCUCCUCGAAGCCCCCUCGCAAACCUAGCGGCGACGAGGACGAGGAGGACGACGACGAGGACGAUGGCUCCGGCUCCGACGACUCCGAAGACGACGACGACAAGAGCAAGAAGAAGCCCCCUCCCCAAUCCCAAUCCCAAUCCCAAUCCCAAUCCCAAUCCCAGUCCCAACCGCAACCCCAACUCAAACCCCACCAACCCCCGAGGAAGACGACGAGGAGCCCCCCCCGGCCCAGCGCCCGUCCCGCGGCGUCGACCCCUCGAUCAAGCCCAUCAGCUCCCGCCCCAUGGACGCCUCCCCCAAGCCCAAGAAACCCUCCUCCUCCCCCUCCGAGCCCCCUUCCAAGAAGCCCAAGAGCUCCUCCUCCGACGCCCCCCCUUCGGAGCAGAAGCGCCAGCUCUUCCAGCGCCUCUGGGGCCCCGACGACGAGAUCGCCGUCCUCCGCGGCCUCGCCGAGUACCGAUCCAAGAAGGGCUCGCUCCCCUCCUCGUCCCAGGACGUGGACGCCCUCCGCGGCCACAUCCGCGGCGCCCUCCAGCUCGAGGUCACCAACCAGCAGCUCUCCGACAAGAUCCGCCGCCUCAAGAAGAAGUUCGCCACGAACUCCGCCCGCGGCAGGAGCGGCGCCGACCCCAAAUUCACCAAGGACCACGAGCGCGCCGCCUUCGAGAUGUCCAAGAAGAUUUGGGGCGCGGCGAGCAAGAGCUCCCCCUCCGCGAAUGCCGCGGCGGAUGCCGACACCGACGAGGAAAAGAGCGAGGAGAGCGACGACGAGGCGGGCAGCGAGCAGAACGCCAAGGAGGAGAACAACAACAACAGGACGCGGCUUGCGGCGGUGGCGUCCGUGGCCAACGGCAAAGCGGAGCACGAAAGGGGGAAGUUUCCGCUCCCGUACCUCAAGGAGGCGGUCGACGAGCUCGCCAAGGAGCACCCUUGCGGGGCCGCCUUCAAAAGGGCUUUCGAGUUCCUCGACGAGCCAAAGGCGAAGGGGAUGGAAGAGAAGCUCAAGAAGCUUAGAAUGGAGGAGAUCAAGCAGCAUUUGCGGCGGAUGGAUCUGAUGAAGGAGACCGUGAAGAUGAUGCUCGAAGCUCUCGCAAAAUCUGAUUGAUGGGCAAGUUGGAAAUUCCUCCUCCUCUGUUCUCUCUUUCCUUUUGUGCAAUUACUCUUUCUAGUUCUUGUUGAUGGACUCGUAAGUGCUUUGUAGGUUGAUGGGAUUUUCCGCCUAAAAUUUCUCUGCUUCUGUAUCGCUUAGAUAUGUCCUUGUUCUUGUUACAUAUAGCAAGAUGUGUCUUAUUCCAUGGAUCUUCACUCACUAAUGUUUAGGAACCGGCGAUUUAUUGUUAAAGUAUUUGGUUUACUCCUGUUCCUCAUCUGAAGUAUAGUCAUGAAUUUACAUCUUGUUCGGGAUGUUUUCUUAAAUCACUAAUUUGCACAAAUUAGUAUUUAUUUAGUGGGUGUUAUUUCAAUUGAUUUGUGAUGAUUUUAGAAUGAUUUCAGUAAGCGUAAGUAAAUCUGAUGGUUGAAGUCUUGCUAUCGUUUAUGUUUCUCACACAUGGUUUUUUGGGUAUGUUAUGAAACUAAGAACAGAGCAUGGAAAGUAAACAUGGAAUUCAAUCCAACACCAUUCAUUCCAAACAAAAGAAUUCAGGCCCAAAAUCAGUUCACUUGAAUUCAAGAAAUUUACAAACCAAUUCAAUUCCAUCUUGAUUUGAUACCAAACCUCUUGCUAAUAUUGAAAUGACUAUCAAAUAGUGUAUGUUUGUUUUUUUUUUCUCUUGCCAUAUUAGGUUUUAUGCCAGUUUUACAAGUAUUAAUUAAUCUGAAGAUCCUGUAAAUCUUUACUAGAUAAAAGAUCUUAUUAUGUAAUUUCUGUGUACUGUGGGAUUAAGGUAUUACAAUUGUAGUUGUGAGCUCUUUUUUUUUUUUUUUUUUUUUUGAAACUACACUGAAAUGCAUUGCCUAUUCAACCCCAUUUUAUUCAACUCCAUUUCGUAGGGAAUAGUUCAGACGNUUUUUUUCUUUUUCUGCAUUAUUUUAUUGUAGUUCACUGUACUUAUGAAUCAUUACGUUUGUACUGUUUUGUGUAUUCUUUAUUUGUUGCUCGAGGUAUCUUCUGGGUUUUGCGCUAAUUAAGUUGUACUGUGAGUGCAGGUACGUAAAAUUUGUUUGGAUCAAUGAAUAGGUAUACCAUGUUAUCUAGUCAUCAUAGUAGUUUUCUCUCAGUCCAAUUGUGCUCUCUCAUAUAUCUAGGAAACAGUUUAAAUUUGUUAGCAAGCAAUUUGGCCAUAGAAAAUUUGUUUGAAGUUUUCUAGUAUUUAAAGGAUUGCUUAAAAUGUGAAAUGGGUUUCUUUCUCGGAUAGGUUUUGGGAGAAACUUACGAUUUCCGAUACUUCUGUAUAUCUUUAUUCAUGAUAUUAGCAAAGUUUAGCCAUCAUUUCUGGUAUCUCAAGUUCUCAACCAUGAGAAUGCCUUCAUUUUAGAGAACUAAUUUUACUGUCAUUUUUUAUUUAAGGGAACUUAGCCUCCGUUUGGUUCGGGGUUAAGGAAAAAAUAACUAUUCCAGAAAUAGAGUUAAGUUCAGGGUUAAAGUGGGGUUAAACUUUUUUUGUGUUUGGUUGGGGGUUGGAGUUAGUCUAGAAUAAUGAAAAACAGUGUUUGGUUGGAGUAGGUGGGAUAAGAAGAUAAUGAUUGAUAAAGAAGGAUAAUGAUUGGUUGGAGUAGGUGAGAUAAGAAAGAUAGUGGGUUAUUAUGAAUAAAAAAUAGUGUUUGGUUGGAGUUUGGUGGGAUUAGGUGGGGUUAGCUAAUCCGGGAUAAUUUAUUUGAGGUGGGGUUAGGUGGGGUUAGCUAACCCCACCUAUUUUUUAGGAUGUUUGGGGAUAAUAUAGGGGUUAAGGGAUUAUUCCACCCCUUAACCCCCAACCAAACAAGGGCUUAGGGAAUAAAGGUAGAAUAUUUUUACAAGUAAACUGAGUCUUUUUUACUUUCCCUGUGGGACAUCCGAAUCAAGGAUCAAUAUGUUGAUCGUAUGUUAUAUACGAUUUAGGCUAUUUGUAAUUCUGGAAUCUGCUUUUAAUUUUUAGUAGUAGUCUAGCUUUAUUGGGAGCUCAUAUAUUCCCAAAAGGAUAAAUAAUUUUACAUGUGCGCUGAUAUGUAACCUCCCUGUAAAAGUAUGAAUAUUGUCAUCAGUUAGAGGGACUCGAAAUUGGAUUCUGAAGCUUGAGUUGAUAUAAGAUCUGUUCUUUCGGAAUUCCAUAGAUCUGAUCCUGUACUUUCUAUCUUGGGAUGAUUGAUUGAUGUGAAAUAUUCAAAGUUUCCCGGCUCCAGGUUUAUAAUUUUUGUAAUGAUCUACUCUCUUCUCUUUUUUGUUGGGAGGUAAAGGCCCUUAGGCAUUAUUAAUUAGUUUUGUUAAAAGUUCAUUAAAUUUAAUAUUUUAAUUAUUUCUUACUAGUUAAUUGUUGUUGCUUUAUUUAUUUAAAAAAAUAUAUAUAUAACCUUUAAAUUUGAUGAAAAUAGGUGAUAAAAUUUGAUAAAAUUUUAAUUUAUUGGGAACUUUUGCUCUCUCUUUUUUUUAAAUAUUAAAAAGUUUAAAAGAAUUGAUUAAACUCUAUGGAGUUUUUAAGGAUAAAGGGUUGUAAUCAAUGUCAAAAUAGCUUAUAAUUGACUGGGCUUUCAUGCAAUUUUACCCAGCCUGUAUGAACAAAAGGAGAUAUAAAACGAUCAGUGAUUAUUACCUCCUCUUACCCGUGAAUUUGAAGGGGGUGUUCGAGAACCACGUUAAAUUUCUUUUUACUAAAUACAUGUAGCAUUAUAUUAUUAGAUCUAAAAAAACAUAUAAAAACAGGAAAUAGAGUGCAAAUCUCUGAGUUCUUGUUUGUUUCAUCAAAGGUGGAAACUCAUGUUGAAAUAAACUUUUCAACAAACUAAAGUUCAGGUAACGAUUACUCCAUUUUUGUUGUUUGUUUGUAUUGCUAUGGAUCUAAAGUCUUUUUAGUUUUACUGGUUUGUUUGUAUUGCUAAAGUUUUUUUAGUUUUACUGGUUGCUUGGCAGGAACUAGGAAGUUGAUAUGCUAAUAUUUAUUAUAGUUUUGGUUAAAAUAUAUAGACACUCCUGAACUUUACCCCAUUUAGAAAUUGAUCCCUAAUUUUUUUUAAAUUUGAAUUACACUCCCCUACUUAUUAAUUUAAGCUCUCUUCUUUGCAAUUUUUGAAAUUCAGUUAAAAUGAAAAAAAAAGGCCAAUAAAAUACAAAGCAAUAAAAUACAUUUGCAGUUUAAAUUUGAUCAACAUAUGAGAUCCAAGUUCGAAUCCUAGUUGAUUCACAUUUUCAGCUUCGUUUAUUUCUAAAUGAAAUAAACGAAGCAGGUACCGUGCUACCUAUCUCUCUCAAAAAAAAAUUUGAUCAACAUAUUUUAGUUAUAAUUAGUAUAAAUAUAAUGCCCAUAAAAUAGUGGGUUAUAAGUUAGGAAGUUAAACAAUAUUAAGUAUAUUAGAAUUUACAUAAAAAUUACAUCUUAGAAAGUUAAUGGUCCUUCAAUUUUUCUAAAAUACUACUUAUUUAUUGGCUUAUCAAGAAAAAUUCGACUGAAACAAUAAAUCCUAAAAUUACUGAAGAAGCGUUUAAAUCAAACUUUUAGUAAGUAGAGAGGCUGUAAAUCAAAUAAAAAAAAUUCAGGAGGUAAUUUCAAAUUCUGCUAAAAUUUAGAAGUUGUCUAUACAUUUUUAACCUUUUUUUUCUUCACAUAUUUUUUUUCAUAAGUAAUUUCUCUCUAGAAUGAGUCUGAGACAAUUAUAAUUUUUUUAAAAAUUUAAAUUUUAACUGAAAAUAAAGUUAUGACUUAAAGUGAAAGAAUACACAGGUACUCCAAUUUGGUCUGUUUGGUUAAGGAAUAAAGCGGGGAUAACGAAAGUUAUUUCUACUAUUACAUCAAUCGAGUGAUUUUUAUCCAAAAUUUACUGUUUUUGACUAUUCCAACAUAACUUUUGAUAAACUAUUCCAUUUUUUUUUUUGGAUAAUAUUAUUUUAAUAUUUAAUUUUAAGUUUUAUUAAAAUUAUAAAUUGAAUUAAAAUUAAAUAAUGUAAACAUAAUAUAUUCUAUAUGAGCAAUGCUACUAACACAUCCCAAAAUAGGAACUAGGCUGGAAUACUAUCAAUAUCACAAAUCUAUUGGUUCUAUUAGUUUUUUAACCUUUGGAUUGAAAAAUGUACGGCUAGAAUGACGUGGGCCCCCUAGGGUUGAGUCGGUGGUUGGUUGAAUAGUAUAAUCUAAUGGGUAAAAAUAAUCAAAUGGUUAAAUCUAAGGGUUAAAAAACUAAUAGCACCAAUAAGUUGAUGCUAUCGAUAGUAUUCCAGCUGAACUCUCCAAAAUAGAAUAUACAUCUUACACCCACUAUAUCUAAGGGCUAAAAAUUAUUUAGAUUUUUGUGAAUCUUAGGAUGGAGCUGUAAGAUCUACACUCUUCAAAACACAACUAGAAUUUCUCAUUAUAUAUUAUAAUAAAUUAUUUUUAUUAUAAAAUUAUUUAUAAUAAAUUCAACUCUUAUUUUCUUUCACUAUUCUCUACUAUUCUAUCAAAUUAAUCAUAUAUAAUAAUUUUAGUUAUUUUUAAAAAUAGCAGCGUCAUCAACUAAAUAAGAUUUUAAUUUUAUUGCUGAAUAUUUCAAAAUUAUUUGAGAGGUAAAAAAUUAUAUCUAAUAUUCUUAAUCCUUGGGAAAAAAAAAGAUAAAAAAAAAAAACGGGGCCUAAAAGAUCGGCAUUUGCGCUCGCCUCCCCAGUUCCCAGUUCCCACUCCGCACUUCUCUCCACCAUCCAACCAACGCUCUCCACCCGACGUGGUCCGUUUCUACCCAUACAUACAUAAAUACAUCAUAAUACAUAACACACAUAACACAUAACACAUAACACAUUACAUCAACACCGCUUCCUCUCUCUCUCUCUCUCUUUCUCUCUCUUGCUCACCGCUCGUCUCCACCUUCCUCGUCCACACACGCGCGCGCACACAAACCCACGCCCAAGAGCGUCCAAAGAAGGGGGUGGGGUGGCGGGGGGGGAGGAGGAAUCGAUCGAUCGAUGGGGGACUCGUCGGUGGGCGCCCUCGUCCCCUCCGUGGUGAAGGCGGAGGCGGCGGCGGCGGCUCCCGCGACCUCCGCAUCCGCCCCGGCGCCGUCCUUCUCGGAGACCACGGACGCCGCCGGGGGCGCCGCGGCGGCUGCGGCGGCGGCGGCGGCGGCGGCGGCGGAGGAGGAGAGGGGCCCGGCCAUGGCGGUGGAUGCGGCGGCGGCGGCGGCGGAGCUCGACAAGGACCUGCUUUGCCCCAUAUGCAUGGGGAUGAUCAAGGACGCGUUCUUGACCGCGUGCGGCCACAGCUUCUGCUACAUGUGCAUCGUCACCCACCUCAACAACAAGAGCGAUUGCCCCUGUUGUUCUCACUACCUCACCAAGAACCACCUCUUCCCCAAUUUCCUCCUCGAUAAGGUUUGAAUUUGUCCCUAUAAUUUGUUUCUGAGUUCAAAUUGGGUUUUUUGAGUGAGGUGCGGUUGGAAUUUUUGUAAAGAUCGCAUCUUUCUUGAUCGUGUGGGCUUAGAACUCGUCUCCCUUUUUCUCUGAUCUGGUCUAUGGUGCACUUGGUGAAUCCAUUUUUGGGAUUAUACCUAUACAAGUGAACGAACUGCUAAUGCACAAAUAGAGGCUAAGAAUUUCACACCAAUUUGAACAAUUACUUGUGCACUAUAGAUUGAAUUGUUGAAUAAUCAGGGACAAGGGUGACCAAACUACUACUUGGUCGGAUUGGUAUGUAAUUCUUAGAAUUGAAUGAAAGUAGGCAUGCGUAUUAGAAAUCCACCUAGUAUGUUUUACAAGUAUUGAAGGAGGAAAGAAAUCUCAAUUAAAGUGUUCAUUUGACUUGUAUGGUAGAUUGGUGCUUAAAGCAGUAAUUUCUUGUAGGUACUGAAAAAGACCGCAGCCCGUCAAAUUGCAAAAACUGCAUCACCUAUGGAGCAUCUUCGUCUAGCACUGCAACAGGUCAGUGGUUACUUCACAUUGAUACAUGGGUGUUGCUGGUGCACAAUGUUGGAAGUGCUGCUAUGAAACUUCUGUUCCGUAUACUAAACAGGGAUUUAUCAUGUUUUGGCACAUAUCAGGAGGUAGUAUGGAGUUUUUGCUAUCUUGCUUUGUGCUGAAAUUCUUGCCCAUGGCUUCAUAUAUGAUGGUUAAUAAUAUGUUCAGCUGUUUGAGUAUGACUAAAAUUUACACUUUUCGAUACCUAUUUUUUUUAUAAUGACAGGAUUUUAGAAGAUUCUUCUAUCAUAAGUUUUCUUACUAUAUUUACAGCCUUUGAGCAAACGAAGUGAGAGACUAACAUCAUUCAGCUCUAUGGCAUGUAGAACAUUAUACUUUUAUGUAUACCUUAGUUGGAUUUUUAUCAUUCAACAUUUGGCGAUGUUUGCAUCUUUCUCUAUCUUGGUAUUACUUUUGUUUAAUGUAUUAUCCGAUAGAUUGUUUAUUUAUUUUUUUAAUAACUAUUCUACUGAAAUCGGUGAAUAUAUUCAUCACUCAUGUGACAGUCCAUAUAUGCAGGACUUUUUUCUAGCUUCUCAGCUUCCAUCUACUAGGUUUACAGCCUUUUUUCAUGUUUGUCAUACUGUAUGGAGACAACAGCCAUUGUUUUUUUCUAUGGGUCAAUCCAAAACAACCAUAAGGCUAUCUUUAAAGUUGUGAUAAGACUCUCUGACCCAUCAUAUCUCAUAAUGCUUAGAAUAUCUGUGUUCUUCAGCGGAAUGGAAGCCUGUUCACUUUUUGUUAUCUGGAAGAAACUGUUCUCUAACUUUUCUCGGUAAUGUUUCUAGUGUUGUGGGCAACUGAGCAUGCCAACUUCCAUCCUAUAUAGAAUUUAUUCUUAAAUGAAUUAAUUUAAGUGGGAGUGUCAGUCCAGGUGCCGGAUUUGUGCUUGGAGAUUACUAUAAGCAAUUUCUUCUUCGAAUAUUGGUCGGAUGGUUGGUUGGUUGCUUGGAUAGCUAAUUAUAGGAAAACUAGUCCAUUCGAUGUUAUAUCGAUCCGGUCGAUCUUUUUUGUGAAACAAGGUUUUAAGUGCCCGUCGGCACGGGCCGUAUCCACUGUACCGCACCAUGCCAAUAAUAUACCGGCACGAUACAGAUCCCGUGCCAAUGGCAUAGCUCAAAACCCUCUAUUCUUUAAAUUAGUAAGUAAUUUUCUCAAUAAAGUUCAAAAGAUGUGAUAAAAAGACAUAAUAAAUAGUUAGAAUAUUUUGUUGCUAAAGAAAAUAAAUAUUUCAUGCUAUUAUGUGUCGGCACACAAGAAUUUUUUUGACCGGCACGCAUCAGCACGGCUUGGCGCGCAUCGUGCCGUACUGUGCCGGCAAGUUUCCGGCACGAUCCCGUGUCACGGCACUUAAAUCCUUGUUGUGAAAUUAUAUCGCUUUGUUGCUGAGUAUCUGCAAUUUUAUUCAAAAAGACCAUAGCUUUAGUAACUUUUUAUCAGUAAUGUUCAUGCAGAGGAACUGCAUGUGUUUCAUCAAUUGAAAUUCAACUGUUACCAUUAUUGUAGUCAAGUAGAAUAUUAGUCAUCUUAAAAAUCACGGAUCAUCUUUUGCAGACUUAGAUGGCUCUUUUCUUGUAGACAGGGAUGUGAAAUGUCAGUUAAGGAGCUAGAUGGCCUGUUAAGACUUCUUGCUGAGAAAAAGAGGAAAAUGGAACAACAAGAGGCCGAGACAAACAUGCAAAUACUGCUUGAUUUCUUGCAAUGCCUGAGAAAGCAAAAACUAGACGAGUUGAAUGAGGUUUGCUUUUGUAAAUUUGAUUUUGUUUCUUUUGUAGGCCUUCUGUAUUUCCACCUUCUGUGGCUAUCUUAAAAUCUGAAUUUUCAUAUACGCACUUAAAAAACAUAAUUUCUCAACUAUGUACCAUUCUACUUGCAGAAGAGACCCUCUUUGAAAUGCUUUUUUGCAUAUGAAACCAACCUCCCCUAGUGGGUCGGGGUGAGUCCCCAACUUAUAUGUUGAAACUUAGAUUUACAGUGCUAUAUGUUGUAUUAGAUAAUAAUUUUGUCAAGAUGUAUAUGUAAUAUAUCACUGGUGUUAUUUUAAAACUUUUUGUUAUCUUUUCUUAAUGUUUCUUCGUAGGCCAGUUAGUUCUGCUUCUAAUCUAUAUUGUGAGGCUAGCGUAUCGUACUGGAGUGUAAGUUCAUAUCCCUUUGGUUCUGCAGGUGCAAACUGAUCUACAGUACAUCAAAGAAGAUAUAAGUGCUGUGGAGAGGCACAAAAUAGAAUUGCACCGUGCCAAAGAGAGAUACUCCAUGAAAUUGCGCAUGCUUUUGGAUGAUCCUGUUGCAGCGAAGAUGUGGCCUUCCACAGCUGACAAGAAUAGCAAUCUCUUUCUCUCCAAUGCUCGCAACUCUCUUGUUGGUGUUUGUUCUGGAAAUUUACAGGGUAAGAAAGUUGACAUGAAGGCCCAAAAGAACAAUCAAGGCUUCCAAAGAAGAGAUGGUUUUACCGGUUCAGAGCCACCAAAUCCUCUAAUUCAAUCAGGAGUUGCCAUAGCUAGAAAGAGACGAAUCCAUGCACAGGUUUAAGUCUAUCAUACUUUUUAUUGGAGAUACUUUUUGUAGUAUCUCUCGUCAUUACUUAAGUUAAAAGUGAAUUUUAUAUUAUAUGUCCAAUUUUUUUUAAUAUUUUCUAAUUCUUGCACCUCAUAUUUUGUUAUCGAACUAAUAUAGUUCUUCCAAACUUCUAAAUGAUUAUACCUUUUCAGUAACAUAAUUACCUAAAAGUAAUCUUUGUUGUUCUUGUUUUGUUCGCUCUAAAUUGACCUUAAUUUAUGUACUAUUCUAAUCGUGCAGUUUAGUGAACUCCAAGAAUAUUAUUUGCAAAAACGGCGUCUUGGUGCAAAUCAACAAAGUAGACAAGAAGAAAGAGAGAUUAACAGUAUAAGCAAAGAAGGCUAUCAUGCAGGUCUUGAGGACUUUCAGUCUGUGCUGACAACAUUUACUCGAUACAGGUCCAGCAAUUAAUUGAGUUCUUAGUCAGGUUUUGAAUUUGAUGCUUUUUGCAUUUGGUUGAUAAAAAGAUCAUUGUACAUAUAUAUUUUUUUGCAUUAUUAAUUUCUAAGAUCCUAUUGUGAUUUAUUUCUCCCUGUUUUCUUUUUCAUUCUUGUACACUUUUGUAUAAUUCAGUCGCUUGCGUGUCAUCGCGGAACUUAGACAUGGAGAUCUCUUUCACUCAGCAAAUAUUGUAUCAAGGUGAGUAAACGGUGGAAAGAAUACUUUGAACUUCUGCAUAUAUCUUUUUUUUAGUGUUACUGUUUUUGUUCUUUAACUAGCUUUGCUGGUUUUGCCAUUAGGCUUGCUGCUCAUUUUACAAAUCUUGAUAUUAGAAUUGGCAUAUGUGGCUUUUAUUUUACAAGUUAAAAUGUGUUCAUGUUCCUUCCAUAUGUAGAUUAGUUUACAGCCUUGUAACUUAUAAAAGCUUUAUUGCUUUUUAAAAGCUUUCAGAAACCUUUCACCCGACAAUGGGCUUCCAUCAUUACUUCAAAGGAUCCAGCUGGGUUGAUACCUUUGAAUAUUUGAAUAGAUUACAAGUGCUUGGAGCUAGAAAAUUCAAAAGGAAGAGUUACUUGGCAUGCACCUUUAUAUCAGGCAAAGAAUAUAUUCAUGAACUAGUCAUCCAUCACACUUAUUUCCGUUACAUGCAAUGAAGUUAGUGUUGCUUGUUGUUAUUAAACCAAUCUGCGGGUAACAUGAAAUCCAAAAAGUUUACAAAAUGGAGCCUGAUAUAAUGUCUUAAUUAUGGGAAAUACGUUAUGAAAUAGAACACAACAUUUCUAGCAUUUCUUUUUAUUAUUUUAAAAAUAAAAAGAACAAUGAAAAAAAAAUAAAGUUUGAAAGGAAGAAUAUGUUAUGAAAUAGAACACAUUAUUGGCUUCAACUGUUAGUAGAUCUAAUAGAUCUCCUAGUAGAGAAGUAUAUCAACAUUUCUAAAUAUCUUUUAUUAUUUAAUUUUUUGAAUUAAAAAAAGAGAAUGAAAAAAUAAAAAAGAAAAAUUUGAAAAAAAAAACACUAUGGUUUAUGAAAUUAAACACAUUAUUGGCUUCAAAUGUUAGUAGAUCUAAGAGAUCUACUGCUAUCUCAACAUUCCUAUCCUUUUCUUUUAUUACUUUAAUUUUUGAAAAUUAAAAUAAUAAUAUAGUAAACUAAAUUUAAAAAAAAACAUUAUGCAAUAAAAAUAUUAUUAGCUUCAAAAGUCUAAAUGAUAGUAGAUUUAAGAGAUCAUUAUCUUGGCAUUUCAAAUCGUUUAUUUCUUAUUCUAAUUUUCAGGGUAUAAAAAUAAGAAAAAAGAAUAAUAAAAAAAGAAAAAAAAACUUGUAAAAAAAGAAUAACACAGAAUUGAAAGAUUUUUCAUUAACAGUCAUGAAGAAACCUAAAAAAUCUUGAUCUACAAAUUCUUAAGUUACAUGAUAGAAGUGGCCAAAAAAAGGCUAAAAAGACCAUAGAUCUAUAUCAUGAACAAGGUCAAUGUUAGAAAUUUUACCUUUAAACUUCUUCAAAUGCCAAAAUCCUAUUGUUUUCUGGAGGGAAUAAGAGAAAAAGAAAGAGGAGAUUUCUCUCUCUCUCAAAUUUCACAGCUAUGAUUAGGUCAAACAGGACCAAAAGCGGUCUUUACUGCCUACCUAUACACAUCAUUUGGAGGUCUGUGACCAUCAAAACGUUUCUUUCGACCACCAAAACUGGCAUGGGGCGACACAGAGUGGCACACCGUGAGACAUGGUGGUACACCCAGCAUUUCUGGGUGCCGGGCGACAUGGGCCUAUGUCAUGUGCUGGCACGCCAUUGGCAAGGUAUGGUACGGGCGGCACAGGCCUGUGCUGCUGGCACAGGCAAUCCUUGGUUUCAGACAAGGAAACAUCGAUGUCAAAAUCAUUUGAUAGUUACGAUCCACAGUAAUUGCAGCCCGUUUACAUUUUUGAGUUUCUUUCCUGCUUAAUUGCUAAGUCCAGAGCAAUUUUAUGAUACUUUUUAAGAUGCAGCAUAGAGUUUGAUCGUGAUGAUGAGCUGUUUGCCACUGCUGGAGUUUCAAAACGUAUUAAAGUCUUUGAAUUCUCCACAGUAAGCUUUUCUAUCUUCUUAUCUUGUAAGUACUAGUUUCACCCAAAGAUAUUAACCUCUUUAUCUUGUAUUUUCAACAGGUUGUAAAUGAACCGUCAGAGGUACACUGUCCUGUUGUAGAGAUGUCAACCCGGUCCAAACUUAGUUGCCUAAGUUGGAACAAGUACUCAAAAAACAUUAUUGCAAGCAGUGACUACGAAGGAAUAGUGACUGUUUGGGAUGUAAAUACUCGCCAGGUAUCUAUGUUUGUUUUCAACAGCCUUUCCUUUUCAAUUACCAUCUAAUCCCAUUUUUAGUUUCACUGAUUGCUACAAAUGUGGUGGGUAAGAAAUGUUCAUUACUCUGUAUAUCCAGAGCGUGAUGGAAUAUGAAGAGCACGAAAAGAGAGCAUGGAGUGUUGAUUUUUCACGCACAGAUCCAUCAAUGCUAGUAUCUGGUAGUGAUGAUUGCAAGGUAAUCCAAUACUGCAAAUGUUAUCUAUGUAUUACUACUACUAUUACAUCUUCCUAUGCCUCUUGACAUGUUAACUAUUACAACUGACGAAAUGUGACUUGUUAAUACUGAGACAUUAUCUUAUGUAGUACAUCUUAUCUGAUUUUUAUUUGGCUGCAUCUUACUCCUGACAAACAGGUCAAAGUUUGGUGCACAAAGGAAGAAGCCAGUGUGGUUAAUAUUGAUAUGAAAGCAAAUAUCUGCUCUGUCAAAUAUAACCCUGGAUCAAGCAUUUAUGUUGCUGUAUGUAACUAUAAACUGUUACUUGUUAUGUCUUUUUCUGUUAAUACUUAAUAAAGGCACCGGUAUAGAUAACAUCAUUUUUCAGGUGGGGUCUGCUGAUCAUCACAUUCACUAUUUUGAUUUGAGAAAAACAAGUGCUCCAGUCCACGUUUUUAGAGGGCACAGAAAAGCAGUUUCCUAUGUGAAGUUCUUAUCUACCAGUGAGCUUGCAUCUGCGUCAACAGAUAGUACAUUGCGCUUAUGGGAUGUAAAAGAUAAUUCUCCUGUAUGUGCUUUCAAAGUUGUCCUUAUCUGUGUAGUUAAUUUUAUAUGGCAAUCUUUAUUUUGCAAAGCUGUUUUUGUUUGCCACCUUAUCAGCAGCUUCUUUUGGUUAUUACCAUUUCCAGAUAGAACAAAAUAAAGUACAUGACUCGCAUCAUAUGGACUUGCACAAAUUUCCUAUAUUUCUCCCACGAACUCACAUGUGAGAUACAAAGAAAUUUUCUUCGUUGAAAGAAUUUUUCUACAUUAACAUACCAGUAUAUAGUUAGUGGAGUAAGUUCUGGAAGUUCAAUUUAGGUUGAAAUGUGUUUACUUCUGACUAGUCAAUAUGGCAAGAUGGAAAUUUGAUGCUGAAUCUUGUCGUUGCAUGCUUUCCACAUUUGGUUUUCUUGUUCUUGUAAACCACUCUUUCAUAGAUGGUUACCUCUAUCCAACCUUUAAUGAUUUGAGAUCCUCUAGCUUCUGUACCCUUGCGCAGUUAUUGUAAGUAAUAUCUAACAGUUCUUGGUUUUCUGGCUUUCAAUGUUAAUUCAGAUUUAGGAAAAAAGGGCUGAUAUCACAACUUAUUCUCUCAGGUACGCACAUUCAAAGGCCACACAAAUGAGAAGAAUUUUGUGGGUCUUACGGUAAAUGGUGAAUACAUUGCUUGCGGAAGCGAGACAAACGAUGUUUUUGUUUACCAUAAGGUUAGUCAAACAAACUUCUUAAUCUGCUUCCGAUGCCUCCCACAGUUGGCUCAAAUCAUUUUUGUUCCUCGUUUUCAAAAGCUCUCCUCUCUCCUUCGUAUUUUGCUAAGAGAGGUGGACCCCUCAUUCCAAACUAACUUGCAAACCUCGCAGGCCAUCUCUAAGCCUGCAGCUUGGCAUAGAUUCGUAUCGUCCGAUCUGGACGACGCGGAUGACGAUGCCGGAUCAUACUUCAUAAGUGCUGUUUGCUGGAAAAGUGAUAGCCCUACUAUGUUAACUGCGAACAGUCAGGGGACCAUUAAAGUUCUGGUGCUUGCUGCUUGAUUACCAAUGAGCUUUGUACCGAGGACAAAGCUCGCCUUCUUAUGAUUCACUUGUACAUUACAUGUACUUCGUAAGUGGCUUCGACACGCUUUUCUUUUAAUUUAUUUUCUCAUUCUUAUCUGCUAUUCUUAUAUGGAACAAGAAGGCCUUUAUCAGGUCAUCGAUCCUAGCAGCAGUUUUGAAGAUAAUCAAUCAGGUUUAGGCAGAUUAUGUACAUACAGCAACUUGGUUUACACAGUAUAUUAAUGCACUGUUGUUGAUCUGAUAUAUCAUGCAUUUAACAUUAGUGCAGGUGCUUCCAUUAGUAGUUUCUGAGAUUUUUGUUUUUCGUGGUCGACAAUUAACAAUCUUUUUCUCCAAUUAAAUGUGGACCGUGCUUCUGUGAUGAGAAAUUUUUAUCCAAUUCGCUCGUUGGCUUUGUGAUUGCGCGGGCUGAAAGCAAGAGUGGCUGAAUUUUUCCAUUUGUUUCUUAUGUCGAUGAGAUAGUUAUGAUAUUUUAUUUGCGGUACCACCGAAGAACGGAGGAAUAUAUGAGCUAUUUAAUGUGGUAGGGCCGUAAAAGUCAAAAUCUUAAACAUUUCAUGUUUGGGUCUAGAAGAAUCGCAAUUUUGAUUCAGUUUUAAAGGUUGGGGGUUCAAACCCCCAACCUUUAAAAUAGUCUCUUAGAACAACAACCAACUACCACAGCGGCAGUCAAGAUCAUGCGACGAUGGAUUACUAUCAUAGUAUGAAAUCACUAAUGAUUUUUUAUUUGAUAGUUUACUAGAAUAUUUUUUAUUUUAUGGCAUGUUUGGUCCAUGAUUGAAGUGAGAAUGAGAAAUUUAAUUAUAUUGUUAUUAGAAUGGAAAUCGGAAUGGAUAAUUGAAAGACUUCAACUUUUGAUAGAAUGUUUUAGUUAAGAGGUAGAAAAGUGGUGAAAGGCGAGAGAUGGGGCCAAUUCAGAAUUCAAAGUCGGAUUGUGGUAUAAAUUUAUUGAAUCAUUUCUAUUCUAGAGUGGAAUGGAUAUAGGAAUAAAACAAACAACAACUAUCGAAAUCAGUAAAAUUCUGAUUUUAAAAUUUGAAAUAGGUGUACUAAAUAACCCCUUAAUUCAUUAUGUCAUUACUCUGUUACUAUCUAUACCUAUAUAUUAUUUUUCCUAAAUUUUUGCCACGUGAUGAAUUCUCCUUCACCGCUGGCUUCCCUCUUCCCACUCUCAUUUCCAUCCAAUGCUUCAUUUUUCUAACCCUUACCUUUUAAUUAAUGAAUUUAUAUAGUCCUAUCUUCACCCAAUAUUUUAUCUUCCUAUCCCUCAUCUCUGAAUUAAUGUAUUUAUAUGAUCUUAUCUCCACUCAAUACUUUAUCUUAAUAACUCCCACCUCUCAAUUAAUGUGUUUGUAUGAUUUCAUCUCCAUCUAAUGCUUCAUCUUUUUAGCUUCCACAUCUCAAUUGCUUUCACAAAAAUAAAUAAGUAAAAUAAAAUUUCUUCGUACUUUUUUUUAUAUUGUUUUUUUUUACUUAUUUUCUUGGCGCACAAAAAGGGCUAAUGUUUUGUAAUUUUUUAAAUUUUUUUUUUUAAUUGUGUGUGGAUUGAAAUUAGGAUUCUGAGAAUCGCGACGGGGCGCGGCAGGAGGAAAUGGUGAUGAAUUUGGAGUCAGUAAGGGGAAAAAAAUAAUGGAUGUGGAAGAAUCUAUACAUAAUUAACAUAGUCGUGACGAAGGAAAAAGCUCGAUACUAGCGGUGAAGGCGAUGUAAAGAUCGGAAUUUGCCUCCCCGACGUCAAUAGGGCGAUGAAGGUGUGUUUGGUGUAGAAAUUUUUUUAUUGCUUUUUUUAUUAUUGUUAUGUGUGAUUUAUUUAUCGAAAUUAUAAAUUUUUCUAUAUCUAUACCUAUAUUUGUUUUAUAUCUUAUAUUUGUAUUUAUUGAAGUUUCAUAUCAAAUCAAAAAAUUUAAAAUUUUUAUUUUAUUUAUAUUUUAUCUUUUAUAAUAUCAUUCCGUCGCAAUGCGCAGGUAACUUUACUAAUUAUUACAUAAAAUUCAGAAAAGCUCCUCUCAUAAUACUAUAGAAAAUUUCUCCACUUCGAAUUUUGUUCAGCAACAGGACACAAAUUAACUACAAUAACUUUGCUAAUCGAAAAGAUGUUAAUUUACAACAAUUUGCUCUUAAAUAUUUUUUUUCUAAAAUAUAAGGCUAUUAAGGUACCAAUUGGGAUUGGAAGUAAUAUCCAAUACAAAUGACUCCCACUAAGUAAUUUAGGCCACUAUUUAUACUGGUGCAAACUAUAACCCCAAUUUUUUAUUUUAUUGAAGAGGUAGCAUGUCUAGUUUUUGUAGAGGUAUUUAAAGGUUAAGAUCUCAAAUUUAUUUUAAAAUCACAAUUCAGCUGUCCUUUUCGCAUAUAUGUAAGUGAUGAUCUAUCAAAAAAUAUAUGUAUCACUAAUUAAUUAGAUUUUUUUUUUCCCCUUUUAUUCACUACUAGCUCUGUUUAGUUCGGGUAUAAGCAAGAGCUGUUUAUUCUAGAGAUAGGUAUAAGCUCAGGUAUAAACUUGAAAUAGACUAAUUUUGCAUUUGGAUAUAAAUUAAGUUGUUAUUAAAAAUAAGAAAAAUAAUGUGUGGAUAGAUAAGAUGAAAUAAAAAGAAUAAUGGGUAGUUAUAAAUAGAAAAUAAUAAUAUUACUCCUUAUAUUAUAUUUGAAUUUAAAUUUUAAAAUUUUUAUAUUCGAAAUUUUAAAUUUAAAUACAUAAAUUUUAAAUUUCAAAAAUUCAAAAUUUAAAAUUCAAUUUUUUAAAUCUCAAAUUUGAAAAUUCAAAAUUCAAAGUUCAAAAUUUUAUAUUUUGUAUUUUAUAUUAUUUAAUAUUAAAUCUAAAUUUAAAAAUCUAAAAUAUCAAAUUUUAAAUUUAAAAAAUUUAAAAUAUCAUUUUAAAAAAUCUAAAUUCAAGCGCCUGGCCUCUCGGUUACCGAGAAACCAACGGCAACUUAAAAAAGAAGAACGAGAAUAUUCCGCACUAGUUUCAAAUUCAACACUAUGGGAUACAACCAAAACUCGUUACAAUUUGCGACCACCAAACUUGGAAACAGGAAACCAUGCACCGGGUUCCAUUGAACCGUUGGAGCCUGUGGAAAUUAACCGAUCGAGUCACUUAUGGGGGAAGUGGCGACUCGCUCAAACUGUGGGCCGCGUCACAUUGCCCUUUGUGAUCCGGUCGAGCCACUUUCAAUUUUUCGUCCUUCUCAAAAAUAUUGAGGCCACAAAAAAAUAAAUAAAUAAAUAAAUUAAUUAAUAAACAAAUAAAAGCCACACAAGUGCCCGAUUGGCUACGAGUCCAUUGGAAUUCCCGCAUGCGCCGCUUCACCACCUCCUAAUUGGCUCCUUUUCGAAACCACUUAAUUAGCACACAGUUUUAAAACUAAAAAAAAAAAAAAUCUAAUUUGAUUUAUAGAUUGAUUAGCGAAUCUUAGAUGAUUAUUCCCCAAAAAAAUACUUUAUUUAUAAACAAAUCUUACAAAUUGCAUAAUUCAAUGGAUGAAUUUCAAUCUUAAAAUUAUAAGUCAUGCUUAUAUCUCCGUAAUUUACACUUCUUCACCAAUUAAACACCCUCAUGCAAGCUAAUUUGUAAAGUAUUGUAAAACUAGUGAAGUUACCCGCGCAUGCGGCGGGUUAAUACUAUAAAAGACAGAAGAUUUAUAAAGUAAAAAUUUAAAAUUUUUUUGAUUUGUUAUGAAACAUCAAUAAAUAUAAAUAGUAUGAAAAAAGAGUAUGAGAAAAUCUUAUUUUUCUAAUUAUUUUUUGUGAAAAUAAUUUGUUUAGAUGACAAUAGGCCAUAUGAUCGAAUGUAUUAAUUAGAAAGUAAACGGGAUAGAAGACGAAGCAUCGAGUGGAGAUAUAUGGGACGUGGGAAGGUGAAGGAUCAGGAAAUGAGAAAAAAAGAGAAGGUAAGGGUGAAGAAAAAACUGUCAUGUGGUAAAUGUUAUGAAAAAUAAUGUAUAGCUAUAGAUUAUUUGUAAGUAUAGUUUGCCCUUCUUUCUAGGUUUAAACUGUAAGCGGGAGCCCAGUAGGAUGAGCCGGAGAAAUUAAGCCAUCUCGAUAACCAAUAUACCACAUGAGUUUGUACUGAAUUAAGAAUAAAGCUGUGCUUAUGAAGAUUCUUAUGAACUUUUUGUAUACUUGUUUAGGUAGCUGUACAUCGUUGAUGGAUGUUUACACAUGACCACGAAAUUGAGAGUGUGGAAAUGCAUGACUUUGUAGAAGGUACGUAUGCUUUGCGUAAGCAUAAACAUUACUACUGAAUUGAUUUUAUUAAGCUACAUGAGAUGAUUGAUAAAGAUCCUAAUAAUAAGUAAUUAUUGAGCCAAUUAGGCGCGGAUGAGAUUUAGGUGCGAAUAUUUCCUUCAAAAGUAUCUUUUGGGUCGUGUAUCGAGAGCACCGGAAAAAGGUAUUGCGCCAAUUGAAGAAAGUUACGGCAACCGCAAGCAGUUACAUGCGGUUCCAAUCGGCUAGAAGUGGUCCGAAAUAUGAGGAGAUAGUGGCCGAUCGUAUAAUAACUGACCGAGGGGGGUUAUCUAUAAAUAGGAUAAUAAUACCCCAAAAAGAGGUUUUCGUCCCUGCGCACAAAAAAACACUAUUAUUUUCCUGUAUCUUCCUUCCUCGCAUUUACUGUUUUCCUAGGAGUAGUUGCUGUAACUUAGAUAUUUGGAGUCUGUCUGCUCUCUCGGCAUCACUUCCUUGAAGAAUACACUUAAAGUCUGCCUGCCCCACGGGCAUCACUCUCCUGUUCUUAUACUUUUUCAUUUUCUAUUCAAUAGAAAGUCACGUUCGGCUAUUCAGGCUGAUCAGAUUUCGUAUUGUGCUAGCCAUUCGGCUCAUCUCCCGGCUUAACUUCUGACUUUUCCCGUAUAUUCGGCUCAUCCAGUCGAACCGGAGAGUAAAAAGAGUUUUCGAACCCGGCUGACCCGAUCCCUCGUCAGCCGAAUCGUUUGAUCUGUCGAAUGGCGCAAACUUCGAGGGUCACUAUUUGCAGCCGUUUCGCAUCCCGACGCGCUCUCAGAGGAGGAUCGUUGACUAGGUCCAGGGUCGGAAAAUUUCGGCACCAACAGUAAUAUAAAAAUUUCAUGCUAAAAUAACUUUUAUACUUUUUAUUUAAAUUUUUAUGUAGAAUAAUUAUUAUAAAAAAAAAUUUCCAUGUCGCAUGUGUGUACUUACUUAGGGCAUAGAUUUUGACUGUGUGUGAAGGCUAGGAGGCAGCACGAGGUUUCGCCCAAGUGCUGUUGUUGUUGUUGUUGUUGUACGUAGGAGAAAAGUAAUAAAUAACAAAAAAUAUAUAUAUGGGUGUUGUUAUUGUGUUCUUUUUAUUUUAUAAAAGGUGGGAAAAUGAUAGUUUCCCACUUCAGUAGUGCAAUGCGCGUUCCAAAAUGUUCAAUGUUAAUUAGAAGUGAUGAUAUUUGUGUUUUAAAUGGAGUUGCACUCCUGGGUAUUAUUAAUUACUCAUCUAGACAAUUUAUAGUUUUGAGACUUGUAGAGUAAAAUCAUUUGAUCCAACUGAUUUUUUUUAUAUAAAAUCAAACUAUUUAAUGUAGGAAAGAUUUUUUAGAUAAUAUUAUUUAUGUCUCGACUUCGUUUGUUGCAUAAUGUGUAAAAUAAAAUAAACCAACUAAAAGUACAAGAUAUAACUUUCAUUAAAUGGCUGUUUUGUUUUAUGUGUUCUUUUUGCAAGAAUCAAAUAACUAGCUUUUAGAUCAUCAAAUAUAAAUAUAUUAUGCUUCUAAUUUUCUAGCCAUCCUUUAAUUUUAAUGGGUGGUUAAGAUGAAAGAGAAAAGAAAAAUAAGGAAGAAAUUAAAAAAAAAAAAAAUUAAGACAUCCAAUUUCACUUCAAUUGAGAAAAGAAAAAUUAAUUAUGUAAAAAUUACUUUUCCACGAGCUAUACCAAAGGGGUACUUAUUCUCGUUAGAAAAAAAAAAAAAAAAAUCCUCUAUUAUUACUACAUUAUUAUAAAUAAUAACGACUUAAUCCACCAUGCAUUACUCUUUUAAAACUUAUGUACAGCAUACGAUGAACCGCCGACAAAAACAACUCUAUUAAUAACGAACAUUAAUUAUUACCGCGCACAAGGAUGUGGUUCAUGGCCAGGUGCUCCGCUCCUUCAUCCACGUACACCUGUUCCUAUAUAUAUGACGCCAUCUUCGACUACGAGGCUUAUAAAAGCCCACGCUCGCUCUCGCCGUUCCGCACCUCCAUUUCCUUUUUAUGUGUUCAUACCUUCGCCCCUAGCUAAUUACUCCGCAAAAUUUUUAUUUUUCGUUUUUUGGUUUUGUUUUAUUCAAGUAGGAUUGAAUAUUUGGUAUCAAAUGGGCACCGCGAUCGUCGACCCGGCCCGAACCGCGAUGGCGAAUCACAUGAAUGGCGGCGGAGGCGGAGGCGGAGGCGGAGGCGGUCGCUUCGCUCCGCCGCCUCUUGCGCAGAUCCUCCCGAGGCGUGCGCCUGAUUCCGACGAUGAGGAGGAGGAGGAGGAGGAGGACGACGACGACGUGGAGGACUCGGAUUGGGCGGCGCUGUGCGGGAGCCACGAGGAGGUGGAGCCCUCGGUGCAGGACCCGCGCGACGAGGGGACGUCGGACCGGUGGGUCCGGCGCAACCCCUCGCUGAUCCGGCUCACGGGGAAGCACCCCUUCAACUCCGAGCCCCCGCUCCCGCGGCUCAUGCACCACGGGUUCCUCACCCCGGCGCCGCUCCACUACGUGCGCAACCACGGGCCCGUCCCCCGGGCCGAUUGGUCCGCGUGGACCGUCGAGGUCGCGGGACUGGUCCGGCGCCCGGCGCGGCUCACCAUGGACCAGCUGGUCCGGGACUUCCCCCCGGUCGAGAUCCCCGUCACGCUCGUCUGCGCCGGGAACCGCCGCAAGGAGCACAACAUGGCGCGCCAAACCGUCGGCUUCAGCUGGGGCCCCGGCGCCGUCUCCACGUCCGUGUGGCGCGGGGCCCGCCUCCGCGACGUCCUGCGCCGCUGCGGCAUUGCCGCGCGCGGGAGCGGGGCCCGCCACGUGCGCCUCGAGGGCGCGGAGGACCUCCCCGGCGGCGGCGGCGGCGGGAAGGGGUCCAAGUACGGGACCAGCCUCCGGCGCGAGGUCGCGAUGGACGUGUCGCGCGACGUCUUGCUGGCCUACAUGCAGAACGGAGAAUUGCUGUCCCCCGACCACGGCUUCCCGGUGAGGGUCGUCAUCCCCGGCUUCAUCGGCGGCCGCAUGGUCAAGUGGCUCCGCAAAAUCACCGUCGCCCCAGAGGAGUCCGACAGCUACUACCAUUACCACGAUAACCGCGUCCUCCCCUCCCACGUCGACGCCGAGCUCGCCAACGCAGAAGGUAUCCAAAUUCAAAAUCAUACUGAUAUACUCUCUUCUCUACUUCGACUUCAGUAGAGCUGAAGGACGCACUAAUAAAAUAAAAUUUUUAAACAUAAUUUAUUUUAUUUUAUUUAUUUAUUUAUUUUUUGAUUUGGUGUGGUGGAUGAAUAAAGAUUGGUGGCACAAGCCGGAGUAUAUCAUCAACGAGCUAAACAUUAACUCGGUGAUCACCACGCCGUGUAACGACGAGAUCCUCCCCAUCAACGCAUUAACCACGCUAAGCCCGUAUACCAUCAGGGGCUACGCCUAUUCCGGUGAGUCCGUUAUUUCGCUUAUUAUUUUUAUUUAUUUACUACUGUGGUAAAAAAAAAAUUAAAAAUAAUAAUAUUUAGAAUUGAUUGAGAUGUUUUUUUGGGUUAGGUUGUUUUUUUUUUUUUUUCCUCCCAUAAUUUUGGUGUCCGCUGAAACUUUUAGUUAGUGAAAAAACAAAAAAAAUAAAAAAAUAAAAACGAAAAGAAAUUAACAGAAUUGAUGAUUGUGGUCGAAAUUGCGACCUAGUAAUUUUUAUCCCAUGAAUUUUGACAUUGCGGUUCCUGUGAGCCUUUUGCUUACCAAUUAAGUAAAGGGAAAAAUAUAUGGAUCAGAAAAUAUAUACUUUUUUAAAAUUACUUGCUCUAUGUAUUUGCUAUUAAAUGUAUAGGCAUAUUUCAAAAUAUUUGGCUCAGAAACUUGCGUCAAUAUAAUUCGAAAUUAAGCCCGAGUUUGCUCGAGAAAAAUAACUUAUUUUGUUAUUACUAAACUGAAUUCAUUAAAAUUAGUUAUCAUUUACUAGAGUAAAAAUAUCUCAAUUAAGUAUUCACUUCGCACAGACUAAACGACGCAAGUUCGAAGCAUAAUUAUUUUAUAUUUCAAAUUAAAUUUAUUUUUUUUAAAAGGAUAAAUAAAAUUAAUAGCACAUUAAUUAUCUUCUAUUCACUUCACCUAAGCUAUUACACACGUUCUUUGAAGGCGGCAAUUUAUAUACAUACAGAGAGAGAGGGGGAAGGAGAGAAAGAGUCCUGUCGGAAUACUAUCGAUAGCACCAAAUGCUUAGUGUUACUAAGUUUUCCGCCGUUAGAUUUAACCUUUUGACUAUUUUCAUUCAUUAGAUUAUAUUACUCAACCAAUGAGUCACUCAGCUCCAAGGGGUCCAUAUCAUUCUAAUCGUAUAUUUUUUCAUUUAAGAACCGAAAAUCUAAUAGCACCAAGCGCUUGGUACAAUUAAUAGUAUUUCAGCCUAGUUCUAUAUAUAUAUAUAUAGAGAGAGAGAGAGAGAGAGAGAAUUGAGCUCCUAUAUUUUUAAAAGUAUCAAGUCAUUAGUGCUUGUAAGUUUUUAGCCAUUGGAUUAAAAGAUGUGCGGUUAGAAUGAUAUGCGCCCCCUUGGGUUGAGUGGGUGGUCGGUUGAAUAGUAUAAUCUAACCGGUGAAUAUGAUCAAAGCCAUUCAUUAUCUACUAUUCACUUCACCAAAUUAUUACACACGUUCUUUGAAAGCCGCAAUAUAUAUAUAUAUAUAUAUAAUCUGCUUAUUAUUUAUUACACUGACUCAUGAGAGGAACAACAAAAGAAAUUUGCCUCUUAUUCAGAAUAAUAUAAAGCCUAUUUUAAAUAUUAUUUCGGCUUGUUUACAACAUGCUGUUUUUUUUUCUUUUUUGGCUUUAUUCCCGCCGACUCACAACGCAAAAAGUCGGCAAUUGAAAUAUUAUUAUUAUUAUUAUUAUUAUUGUUACUACUGUGUCCACUGAUAGUUUAGAAUAACUACUUUUUUAUAAAAAAAAAAAUAAAUUAUUAUACUAUUUUUAUAUUUUAUGCUCAACAUAAUAAUUUAUUUAAAGCUGCGUUUUUUGUUUGACAGGGGGAGGUAGGAAGGUGACGAGGGUGGAAGUCACGCUGGACGGCGGCGAGAGUUGGGUGGUGUGCGCAGUCGACCACCGCGAGAAGCCGAACAAGUUCGGCAAGUACUGGUGCUGGUGCUUCUGGUCCGUCGACGUCGAGAUCCUCGACCUCCUCGGCGCCAAGGAGAUCGCCGUCCGAGCAUGGGACGAGUCACUCAACACCCAGCCUGAGAAACUCAUCUGGAACGUCAUGGUACACAACCAAAAAUCAAAAUCAAAAGUUUAAAUUUUGAAUUUGUAAUUAAUGCACUGUUUGUUUUAGUAGGACUGUGGCCACUUGAGCGAUAUAAAAUUAAUAUUCUAAUUAGAUAAAUAAUAAAUUCAAAUUUUACAAAACAGUUGUUGAAUAAUUAGAUAGUAAAUUAAGAAAGUCUAGAGGAUCGUAUUUUCAAAAUGCUUUAUAAUUUAGACGAAGUUUAAGUAAAAAUAUAUAAAAUUUAUCCGUAGUAUGGACUAUUUUGAGUUGAUUACUUAACAUCAAAAAUAAGUUUAAUUUUACUGGUCAACCUUCUAAUUUGUUUAAUUUGAAUCGUUUAAUAAUACUUUGAUUUUAAAAUUUAGAAUAAUUAUAGAUUUUAAUAAAUUUAUAUUUGCGAGAAUUGUAUAUAUGAAGUAUUCUAACUAUAUUUGUAAAGACAAACGAUCCAUUCAGAUUUUAAAAUUAAAAUAUUAUUAACUGACUCAUAUUAAGCAAAAUAAAAUAUUAUUAGACAAUAAAAUUAAAAUUUUUUAAAAAAUUAAAUAGUUGACUUAAAAUAAUACAUAGAUCAGAUAAGUUAUGUAUGUUUGAACCUAAAUUUCAUAAAUUUUUUACCCGAAUAUCUUGCCAUGCAUUUUAAUUUAUGCGACUAAACUGGGAAGACAGUGAGUUAAAUGGUGUGAUCAUUUCGGGGAUGCAGGGCAUGAUGAACAACUGCUGGUUCAGGGUGAAGGUGGCAGGCUGCCGGCCGUACAGGGGCGAGAUCGGGCUGGUCUUCGAGCACCCGACGCAGCCCGGCAACCAGCCCGGCGGCUGGAUGGCCAAGCAGAAGCACCUCGAGACUUCCACCGCCACCGCUGCCGCCGCAGCCGCUCGUCUGCCGACUCUCAAGAAAAGCACGUCGUCCCCCUUCAUGAACACCGCCGCCCAGCAGUUCUCCAUGUCGGAGGUCCGCAAGCACUCGUCGGCCGACUCCGCCUGGAUCGUCAUCCACGGCCACGUCUACGACUGCACCGCCUUUCUCAAAGACCACCCGGGCGGCGCCGACAGCAUCCUCAUCAACGCCGGCACCGACUGCACCGAGGAGUUCGACGCCAUCCACUCCGACAAGGCCCGCGCCAUGCUCGACACCUACCGCAUCGGCGAGCUCGUCGCCGCCGGCUAUGCCUCCGACAACUCGGUGCACGGCGCGUCGGACUUUGCUAACCAUCUGGACACGAUUAGCGAGGCCGCCCGAGCUCCGGCUGCGGCUCUCGUCGAUCGGCGCGAGAAGGUGCGGUGCCGGCUCGUGGCCAAGGCCGUGGUCUCGCGCGACGUGCGGCUCUUCCGAAUUGCUCUCCCGUCGGACGACCAAGUUCUUGGUCUUUCAGUUGGUAAACACAUUUUUCUUUGCGCCACUGUCGACGGAAAGCCGUGCAUGCGCGCCUACACGCCGACGAGCCCCGUCGACACGGUUGGGUACUUCGAGCUCCUCAUCAAGGUUUACUUCAAAGGUGAGCACCCAAAGUUCCCCGACGGCGGAGUCAUGUCGCAGUACCUAGAGUCGCUUCCAAUCGGCUCCGCCAUCGACAUAAAGGGGCCACUCGGGCACAUCGAGUACUCCGGCCGGGGCAAUUUCAUGGUCAACGGGAAACCCCGGUUCGCGCGGCGGCUCGCGAUGAUCGCGGGUGGGACGGGGAUCACGCCAGUGUACCAAGUUAUCCAGGCGGUGCUCCGUGACCAGCCGGACGACCGGACCGAGAUGCACUUAGUCUACACGAACCGGUCGGAGGACAACAUUCUCCUAAGGGACGAAUUGGACUGGUGGGCGGCGGUGUAUCCGGACCGGCUCAGGGUUUGGUAUGUAGUGGACAGGCUCAGCCGGCCCGACAAGGAGUGGCGGUACAGCAUCGGUUUCGUGACGGAGGCCAUAUUACAGGAGCACGUCCCCGCGGGCGGCGCCGACGACACGCUCGCACUCGCGUGCGGGCCGCAGCCGAUGAUACAAUUCGCCGUUUUGCCAAACCUCGAGAAGAUGAAGUAUGAUAAAUCCGACUCCAUCUUUAUUUUUUGAUACGGCACGAUACGAUUCGGACACUGUAAAUAUAUAUGUAUGGAUUUAUUUUGACUACUGUGCUAGUCCUAUUCUUUGGUAAUUUAAGCCAACAAAAGCCUAGAAGAGAGGUCAAAAGCGGAUAAGCAGAUGCGUAUGGAAUCUCCAUUUCCAUUUAUUAAUUUGAUUAAUGCAAUGUGUAUUAUUAUGGUUUGAUGGAAUCUUUGAAACAAGGGGGUUAGUUGUGGGACCAAAAAGUAUAUGAGAAAAUCCUCUUGGAGUGGUACUAAAGGAUAUUCAUUAGAAGUGGUUGAUAGUGAUGGGCACUGAAAAAGAAAAUGUUCUUCAAGUUUGUUUUUUUCUUUUUAAAGAUAAGUGCUAAAUUCAUUGAACUUUAAUAUCAAAUUGUAUGUCAUUGUUAGUCUCUACAUAAUGCAAUUUAAUUUCCGAGUUAAAUGUAUUGUAACAAAUGUAGCUCAUCUAGAAGAACCCCAAUUUUUUUAAAUAAACAUCAAAGCGUGGUCUGUAAGUUUGAGACGAUCAUAUAUACUUUUCAUUGAUCUAGGCUAUAGGUCACACAGUAGCCACCAUCCGUACAAAUAUUUAUUUAUAUUUGUAUUUCUUUGGUUAACAAACUAAAAUUUAAAGGCUAAAUUUAGUCUUACUUAAACUUCAAUACAACUUAAAAGUGAUUUUCAACCUAAAAAGUAGUUGUGCGCAAAGAAAUAGGUUGAUUAAGUUAGUUUUUACCACAAGAAAAUACUCUCUAGUAAGAGCUAAUAAACAUGGUACAAAAGGCUACAAAGGACAUUGACAAAUUUGCUUUUGUUUAAAGUGUAAGAGCAGAUGCGGAAGAGUAAAAUUAAAAGCAUGCAUGGUUGUGAGGAGGUCAAAGUAAUAGUGAAAUGAUAGAUGCAAUGAAUUAAGGAAUCAUUGAAUUUGCCCUCUUUACCUUCAAGGACACAUUACUGUCCUUAAUAGAGUAGAUACUUUCCAAGAAAAACUCUUCAACACUGCAUACAAACCACCCAUGGUUGAGUGUUUACCCACCAACCCUGUUGCUUUUAAGUUUCUCCUUUUGACUUUAAUGACAAGAAGAGACAACAGAGUCCAAUAACAUCAUAGAAUAUUCUAUUAAUACCCCAACAAUAUUUAAUAAUUUUAAUAAAUAAGUUUUUUUUGUUGACAUGCAAAUUACAAAUUAUCCGAAGUGAUAUAAAUGCUACAGAACAGUAUUAUAAUAAGAGAAAUGCUAAGAGUACGCCUCUAGACUAGGUAUAGAUCUUACACCCCUCACAUCCAAGAACUCUUAUUCUCUACUUGUCAUAUUAAUUUUUUUUAACUAUGAAUUUAAAGAAGUUUAUGAAGCCUAAGAUGCUGGAACUGCUUCAGAUAUAACAGUAAAUAAAGAUGAUGCCAAUGAGAACUAGCAAGUUCAAAGAAUUUCUCAACCAAAUGUGUUAAUGAAUCAUGGCCCUAGCUUGACUUAUUAAUCUAACAUUAUCCAUCAAAUAGUUUUCAGUGUUUGAAAUUUGCUGUAAUUCAAUUAAUCGAAUUGAUCUAUAGUUUUUCAAGCAAAUUUGCAAUGAAAUGUAGUUAAGUAAGGUCCAACCCCACAAAGAACAUGGUGUCACAUUAAGCCUCUUGAGUACUAACAUGCAAAACAAAGAAUACCUACAUGGAUUUCUUGACAAUAAAAAGCAUUCUCAAGGUGAGAUUAGUUGAAGGAAGUUAAUGCAAAGAUGAGAUAACACUCCCCACAGAGGACACAAGAUAAUUGAUUUAAUCUAAUGAUUGAAACCAAGAACAAGCAUUUUGUUCGGUAAUCGAGAAUGUUUACUAGAAACAACAAUAUGACAACAAAGAAAUGAAGAAUACAGAUCAUUCAAAUAAUCUUAAUGCUUCCUAGAAUGAAGCAAAUAAUUUACACCAUAUGCAAAUGUUAAGAAGUGCACAAAUAAACAAAGAUGCAUCAACAUACAUGACAAGAACAACAAUAUUUCAUUUGGGUCUAAAUUACAUGAAUGUAAAUCAGUAAACUAGAGAAGAAAUUCACAAAUAUCUAGCCAUUACCUAUUCAACAGUGUGCCGGUUUCCCUUUGAUCAGCAAUAAACAAGAACGGUACUAGCUUCUGCUCCUCAGCUUACAUCCAUGCCCGAUCUACCCCGGCUUCUUCGUCGGCGGCGCCGUCGUCCCUCCGAUCUCGCCACAUCCAUGCCUCUCCCUUGGGCACUAAUGACAGAAGCCACCGCCUCAUCAUCAACAUCAGCUGAAUACGCAGCACUAACAUCAGGACCGCUAAUUCCAUCUACAGAAUCAUAACCACUCUCUUCUUCCCUUUGUUCCGAUCCUGCGUUCUCUGUUUGAAGCCUCAUAAGUCGCGCACCCUCUUGCAAGAAGAAGUAAAGGAUCCUCCUACUAAUGUCAUGACUUCCCCUUUCAUCGUUCUCUUCGUCGGAACCGUCCAUCUCUAUAACAUAAUCCCCAAACACCACUGCCCUCGGCAUUGACGACCUGAUAGUGCUGAUCACAUCCUGCCGCUCCCUCUCGUGCUCGAGUGUCCUCCACUUCUGCUCAUGUGCAGGAUCCACAUCACGAGGCCUUGCGGAAGGGUGCACAGACUUCACAUGUUUGCGGAGCUCUCUAUAUGAUCCCACGAAAGAGCAAUCAUCCUGCAUACAGCUUCUCUUCUUACUAUUUAAAUAUUCACGAGCUGGUUCCACAACGGUCCAUCCCUUCACCUCGCCCCGGCACAGAGGGCAGGAAAGCUCGAUUGCUUCUGGCUUUUGGCCUGUCUCCUUGGAGUAGGCUUUUCUGAACUGGUCGAGGCAAUUAGAGUGGCGGUCACUGGUCCCGCACAUAUAAGGGCGGCAACCCUUGUCAUGGGACGAACAGAGGAGGAGGACGGCGUUGUGGGGGUACUCCAUACACACCGAGCAGGUGGUGUCUUCCCACUCCCUCUUCUUCUCUGAGCAUAAGAGCCUAUUCUUCUUCCUAUCAGUUACAUCUUCUGUAUUCCAAUGGUAGGAUGGGAUAGAAUAUGGAGUAGACCUGUGCUGACGAGUUGAAAGUCUUCGGCGUCUGACACUUCUUGCCAUUUUAGCAGAAUAUCUGAGGAAAAUAAUUGUUAAAAUCUUAAACCAGUGUUAUAAAAUGCUCUCCUAAUAUUCAUUUAUGGGAUUCUGUUGACAUGUAUGUAAGAAAGGUUGUAACGAAGACCACAUUUUGUGAACCUCUUUCUUUGUUAUGCACUAUCCUUGUUCAAAAAUAUAGAGCAACGUAAGUAAAAUUCCAAUAUCUCGCAACUAAUAGUGUAAUUGUGUGUGGGACUGAAAGAUUUUAUGCUUGCACUUAAAAAUCACAUGAAAAUUUCCAGCUUUACACUUGUAUAAAAUAAUACUGGUUCAUGCAAAUAUGUCUCUGUCUGUGCGAAGAGCAUGUAACUGCAUGCGUGCAAAGAACCACAGACACAUGCGAGAACAAAGAAGACAAUAAGACAGAUAUGACCGAAUUUUCACUCACCACUACUCAACUAGACGACAGAAACUUGUCGUGCAACAAUAGCCUACCUGUGGGAUAAAAAAGUUUUGUAUAACACUCAACAACUUAGUUCUCUAUUCAGGAACAUAAAACAAGCAGUACUAUAGGCCUAGAGACCAUCAACCACCAUUCAAUUAUUUAGACAACUCUACUUCCAAGUUAGAGGUAACAAAGAAUAGCCACAAUAAUAUACGAGGCAAAAUGGAGUUACUUUCAGUCCAAAACAUAUCACAAAUGAAAUAUUUAACAAACAUAAACCGUCCAUCUACUUUACUGGAAGACAAUUUAGGUCCCAAAUAUAUGUAGAUUAGCAUGCGCGCCUUUGAAAACGAUAGAUCAUAAAUCUUUCGAGUCAAGGGAUCUGGAUAAAUCUCAAUUGGCAAAGCUAGAUCCUACGAUUCCUUGGAGACGUAAGGAUUUACACUAGACAUCUCACAUUACGUCUCCAACUUCAAAACAGAUGAUGAAUCCAUAUAGCCAAUUACAGAUGGUAUUGUAAUGAGUGGAUAAUUGUCUUGUAAUACAAUAAUUAUAAGACAAAUAAAAGAUUUAUCUGAUAACUAUGUUGCUUUAAUGUAUCUAUUCAUCUUUGACACCAAGCAUCCUCAGAUCUACAAUUGCCUACAACUUUAUUUUAACAUUCACCAUAACUCAAGGCCAAAAUUAUUCAAUUUAGCUGUUCGAACAGAACCUAAUUUUAGUCCUAAGAAAAACUAAAACAUUUCAACACUAGCACCAACUUGGGUAGAUCAUUGUUAUACUCCAUCUCCCAAAAAACCAAGAACUUGAAAAUCAAGGAUGAACUAAAAAGUGUUGCGAUAAAAUUGAAUUAACUCCAUAUGAAGUGAAAAAUUCAGAAUUCCAAUUGCUACAGAGCAUAAGCCAGGAAUAGUAGCUGUGUCACAAACCUAAAUCAUACAGCAUUAAUUUUUUUUUAAAAAAAAUGGAGGUAAGAGAAUUUAUUUAGAAUUCCCAGGUCAAUUGUUAACAAUUCGUGUAACAAUUUCGCCUUUCCCCAACAAUUUAAAAGCUCAAAUGCCCACUUUGAUAUCUAAACUACUCUCCUAUGAAAUCAUACUCAUGAAUUACCUGUUUUUGAGGAAGCCCCCUCUCAAACAAACAAAUGAGGAAAAUAAAGCAAGAGAUAAUAGAAAAAUGCCAACUUUGUUACUUAAGACAGUUGAGGGAUACAAACAUAUAUAUAGAGAUAAAUAUAUACAGCAAACCCCACAUCAAACAAAGAUAGAAUUUUUAUUAGUGUAUUAUAUAAGAUGCUCUGAUCAACCGAUAACCCCGAUGGGAUCUACCCUAACCACGCAACGCAAGCAUUAUUAAAUUAAAAAAAAAUUAAAAAUAAUUUAAAAAAAAAAAAGGUGGGGGGGGAGACUCACAUGCUCUUACGAUCUCGGCAUCUUACAGCUACUACUCAGAUCUCCCAACCCCCCUCAAACUGGGGACCCCAAAAAAGGGGGAGGAGAAAAAAAGUUAAAAAGAAAAAAAGGGAAAGGUAAAGAGGGAAGGUAAAAGAGAGGGCCCAAAAUUGAACUCGAAUGUUUCGGAAAUUUUUAAAAUUUUGCGAGGAAAACGAAGAAGGGGGAAGGGUCGAAUUGUGUACCUAGGGUUUCCUCGAAUGGCGAUCGAGCUCAAGCAAAUCCUCGCGCUUUUUUUUUUUUUUUUUUUUUUUUUUUUNGGAAGAAGACGAAAUGGUAACGGAGUUGUAGCCACGUUUGUUAUAUAGGGAGGGGACGAGUGGUGUUGAAAAUGGGAAUUAACGUCAUUUGGACCGCGCGAUGAGGACACGAUGUCGAGGAGUUUGGAUGUGGACCGUAAUAGGCCGGGCCUGAUCAACCAGAUCCGGCCCGGUUUGAGUUGAUUAGCUCUUCCUAUAUGGGCCGAAUUAAGCCCACGACAAGCAAGGCCUGUAGUAGGCCUAAAAGUUAUUCAGGCUUGGGACCCCUUUGGUGUGGAGACUAAUGUUAAGUAAAACGGAGUUGGCCAAAAAUAUAUAGGCUUCGUUUAGAAUUACGAGGAGAUUACGUUAUAUAUGGUGAAAAAGUACCAUGAGAAAAUAUCCUAUUUCUUUUCAUAUGUAGAGUCAACCGGAAAACACAGAAGCAUAUCGCUAUAUACUUUUAUCCCAAUUCCAUUUUAUCUAAUAGUAUCAUAUGAGCCUCAAUACCAAACUAAGCUAUAAUAAUAUGUUUCUUCAUUUUUUAAUGAGACAGUAAAAUGUAUAUUAAGUAUAGAAAUAAAUAGAAUAUUUUUCAAAUCUUUUGUUGUUUCAAAAUUCACAAAUAAAUGGUUGGUGUAUUUUCCAGCAUCAUUUUAUGUGGAAUUAGUGAUUUAGAAGCUGUUUGGUUUCUCCAAAAAGCAUGGAAAAAAAAAUUUCAUAAAAAAUCUCUUUAGCUUUCAGUUUUAAAUCCAUGUGAUUGCAAAGAAAACUUGCUUCUUUGGAAAGCUUAUUUUCAAAUUUUAUAGAAAACUAGUAUUUUUGUUUUUCUUAAAAAAUUCUGAAAAAUAAAAAUAUUAAUUUGCUAUGAAAUUUGCAAAAAAGUUUUUUAAAAAAUUAGUUUUUCUUGAAACCAAACGAACGAAAAACUAAAAAAAAAAGUUUUCAUAAAAGUAAAAUUGAACUGUCUACAUAUGUACACGAAUACAUGAGAUGAACGAAGAUCAUAAAGGUUUAAGGCAUUACUUGUUCUUGGGGCUUUUCAAAAUAUUUUCGAACCUCUUUACAGCAUAGAAAAAAAAAAAAAAAAAAAAAAGGAAAAACUGUGGCAGUGUUUGGGUGAAGAACGAGGACCCAGAGAUGACAAUAUAUACGGAAAUACGUGGACCAUUCCUCCAAAUACUACAUACGGUGGUAUACGCUCUACGCUUCGAAAUUAAUGGGCGGAGGAGGAGAUACGUAGAGAAGGCGCAUAUUUUUGUUAGCAAAUUAUAUCAAAGGACAAUAAUUUUAUAGGUAACGGCAAGAAUUUAAUUAUCACGGCGUGCCAAAAAUUUACAGACACGGUAUGAUACGGUGCAUGUCGAAUCAUACCAAUAAAUGUCAAUCAAAGAAAUACAUGUAUACCAACAUAAUAGCAUAAAAUAUUUAUUUUUUAGCAACAAAAUAUUUUAAUUAUUUAUUUAUAUUUUUUAAAAUUUUAUUGAGAAAAUUACUUAUUAUUCUUUUUAAAAAAAUGAGGGUUUUGAAAUGUAUUAUUAGAACGAAAAUUGUAUCGUACUGAUAUAUUAUUAACACGAUAUGACACGGUGAAUGCAGUCUGUAUCGAUAAACACUUAAAUUCUUAAAUAACGGUGAAAUUGUGAUAUUCCAAUAAGUAAUUCUUUACCCUGCUAAAAUUUCUCUAUCACUGUCCAAUAAUAUCCAACUGUAAAAUACUAUUAAUCUUCAUAAUCUUAGUCAAUGUGGCAUCUAUAAUCUAUAAUUUAUAAAAUCUAUUAAUUUAGAUGAAUUCCCAAUGUUUGUUGUCAUAUGGUAAGUUUUUCUUCACCCUCACUAGCAUGUGACUCUUCUUCUUUCCCUCACUAAACUUUCAAUGUACAUUUUAAUGAUUCCACUAACAAAACUUUUAAUUAAUAUAUUUAAAUGGUUCCAUUCACAAAACUUUAAAUUAAUAUAUUUAAAUGACCCCACUAUCAUGUAUCAUUCUAUCAUUUCUAUCUACAAUUAUUCAUUAUUACCAUUUCCAUUCCCUCCACUGUACUUUUAAUUAAUGCAAACGAUUUCACUACCAAACUUUCAAUUAAUAUGUUUAAAUGAUCUCACUACUAUCUUACAAUCCUAACCUCUCUCUAUCUCCAAUUAUUGAUUAUGGCAAUUUUCCUUCCCUCCACCAGACUUUUAAUUUUUUUAUCUCCAACCUAUUCCUCGCUCCCUCCCUGUCUCUCACUAAUACGCGCCCACUUCCCCUCUCCCCAUGACGUUUGGUGGAUAUAUCAAGUGAGAUACAGAAGAGAAUGUUUAAUAUUUUCUUAUUAUUAAUUACUAUUAUAAUUUUUACCUGCUGUAAAGCGCGGGCCCUUCACUAGUUCUAUUGAUUUUCAUAAUCUUAGUCCAUGUGGCAUGCUUUCCUUAAGUUUUACCUAUGGGAUCCACCUUCAGAGUUUCUCCCUCUUCCGAUUUCUAUUCUCCAAUCGCUUCGCUCAUUUUUCGCUCUUCCAUACUGUGCUCGCUCACCUUCCACGUAACUCAUUGCCUCUUCGACUUUCCCUCUCAUUAAUUAAAUGCUACUCUCCAAUCACUUUGCUCUUUGUUCAUUCCUCCGCAGUGUGCCCAUUCGCCUCUUCCGUAAAAUCAUUGCCUCUUCGGUUUCCUGCCUCAUUAAUUUCUACUUUUUACGAGAUGUUGCCUCAUAAUAAAUGAUAAAAAAAGAAAAAAUUAUUUCUAAAGUUUUUUUUCUUUAUUGUACACUACUUUUUAUAAAUAAGUUAUUUGAGUUAUAUAAAAAUUGACAGAGCAAAAUUAUCAAGAACUAAUUAAAUUAUUUUGUUGCACCAACAGACUAAAUAUAAUAUAUAAGCCGUUGGACUCAUGGAUGUAUGAAAAUUAGCUCUUUACAAUUUAGGUAGUUACAACUAAAUAUUAUUAUUUUUAAAAUUUAUUUAUAUGGCUGUCAUAUAUUCCUUGCACUUUUUCUUCAAUUACUUUACAUUCUGUACUAAUUCUAUAAUAGCAUGACAAUUUUGAUAUUUAUAGAUAAAUGCAAUAAUAGUUGGUGUUAAGAGAAAUCUAAUUUGGGUUAAGAAAGAGAAUUGGACAAAUAAAUUUCUUUAUAUGAUUAGUUAAAUAUGAAUUUAAGUCUCUUCAGCAUAAUCUUUUGCCAUUUGUUAUACAUUCUUUAUAAUAUUCUAAAUAAAUAUCUUUUCACUUAUACUUCUUACUUUUUCAUUUCUUACAUUUUUUUUUUCUUAGAUUGUAAUUUCAUUGUAAAAAAAUUUUCUAUAUUUUUUAUAUUAUUAAAUCCUUUCUCACGUUAUUAUUUGUUAUUAAAUUUGUAAAUUUGUACUAAAAUAUUAUUACCCACCGCAUCGCCCGGAUUCUUACACUAGUAAUAACAUGGAAAAAAAAAAAAAACUGAAAUUCUUAUUAGGGGUUUGAAUGAUCACCGUAAUCUCCAAAUCAAAUGCUAUCUAAAAAUUUCAUUUCGCUAAUUAAUGAUAUUGAUCGAUCACCCUAUACAAAGCUAAUUACAUGCGUGUGUGAAUGCAUGUGCACAACAGCAAGUUUUCAUACGUCAAUACCUUUAUUUUAUGAAACUUUUGAAUUAGCACUAUGCAUUUAAAUCGUUAUAAUUCUGAAAAUUAUAUACAAAACUUGUUUUUCAUGCGUACAUAUUAUUCACAACAUAUAUAAAACUAAUUAAAUCACUACAACAAAAACGGUCUAUAGUGACACUUUUAAAUGUAGCUAUAUGUCAAAAAAGUGCUGCUAGCUAAAAUUACCGACACUUUUAAAAAGUGUUGCUAUAUGUGGGGUCGCUAGGUAUAUAGUGACAGUUAAAGAGUGUCGCUAUAACCUAAAAGAGUGCUGCUAAUUUACCAACACUUAUUUAAGCAUUUAGCAACCGCCGAAACUCUAUCUCGUUGGCUGCGGUGGUGGAGGAGGACGACACGAAAGGCUCUUCGUCUAGAAAUUCAGUGGAUUGAGUAAAGAGAGAAGAAAAGAUGGUAAGUGAUUUUUCUUUUUUUUUUCUUUUCUGUUUGUAAUCGGGCCAAAUGGACUGGGUGUGGUGGGUUGAGUAGAGUAAUCUUUUAUUUUUGGUUGGAUUGGGCUUUAUAUUUAGAAUAAAUGGGACACUUACUUAAAAGUGUCCCAAACAUGUGUCCCUAUAACCUAAUUUUGUUAUAGUGAAUACCCACCUUAUUAAUAACGUUUGUUUGACAUUAAAGACAAAACUCUUUUUUUGAUUCUUUUUCCAACUUUUUAGAAUGACUAAAUUCAACGCUUUAGAUUUACCUACCGGUUUAGGUUAACCUAAAAUGAAACGUACAUCCUCUACAUUUCUCCAUAAAAUUUAAAGGGUUAAUUGCGCACUAGUUCCACAAACAUAGAUAGUAAAUUGUAAAUAUAUUCUUGUAAACUUCAACUUUCAUAAAUUAUUCCUACAAAAGUCAUAAUGUUUUCAGAUAUAUUGCUCUUAUUUGUUACAUUAGAAACUGUUAAAAAAUUGUUUAUAUUUUCAAUUUGCUAUCACAAAUAUAUCCCUCCAAAAAUUAUAACAGUAUAAUACAAAAGAGAUAAAAAUGUCAAAAAUUAUAAAAAUUAAUUAGGGUAAAGUAUUUAACCUAUGGUUAACUAAACUUUUCUAACGGAUUUUAACGACAGGAAUAUAUCUGAAAAUAUUAGGACUUUUGCAGGAAUAACUUAUAAAAUUUGAACUUUAUAGAAAUAUAAUUACAAUUCAUUAUGUUUGCGGGAAUCUGUAUGCAAUUAAUCCUUUUUUUUUUAUUUUUGAGAGAAAUGUCGCAUGCUACCCGCUUCGUUUAUUUCAUUUAGAAAUAAACUUAGCUGGAAAUGUGAAUCAACUAGGAUUCGAACUUGGGUCUCGGAUACCAACCAUCAAGCCCUUUUGCCACUUGCAAUUAAUUCAAAUUUAAAAGUCAAUAAAACAUAUUUACGCAUCCUCUUUCUCUAUACAUUUUUCCAUAGAAUUUAAAAGUCUUUACACUAAAAAAGUUAACUAAAUAUCUCUAUUGACGAAGAACUUGUAUUUAUAGACCACAGAAAACUAUAAUAAUAUACUGCUCUUAAGGUUUCAAAUAUUAUUAUUUUUUUUUAAUUUCAUCUUCUGAAUUUAAAUUUUAUUCUAAAUUUUAACUUCCCUUUUAUGAUUUUUUUUUUUUAUAUAGUUUGUUCUUGGCUUUAAUUUUGUUUCUGAACUUUCUUUGUAGCCGUAUAGACGAGACUUUUCCGAACGAUGGACCAAAAAGUAAGUUGAUUAUAACGCAAAUGAAAAUUCGCAAACUAGUGACGAAUAAAAGUAUCAGGAUGCAUGAAAAUCUCGUCAAGCUUUACGACUAGAUCUAUAAUUAACCAAUUGUAGAAUCAACAAACUUUCUAAAUGCAUACGAUGAAAUUAAACAACAAUUAAAUAGCUCAUAUAUGAAAAUGAACUUUUCCAACACUUAAAUAACCUACCAGUAUUAGACUCUUAUAUUCAUCAUUAUGGUGAAUUUUGAACAAGAUUAGUUAGGAGCACAAUAGUUAAAUAGAAUCAAAAUGUGCAAUAUCUAUGGAGAGAGAGUCCGGCUACAGUGCUAUUGAUAGCACCAAGCACUUAGUGCUAUCAAAUUUCUACCGUUAGAUUUAUCUCUUUCACCAUUUUUAUCCGUUAGAUUAUACUAUUCAACCAACCAUGCACCCACUCAACCCUAAGGGACCUCUAUCAUCAUAACCGUACAUUGCUUCAUCCAAGGGUCUAAAACUUAAUAGCAUCAAUGAGUUGGUGCUAUUAAUAAUAUUCCAGCCUAGUUCUAUAUGUAUAGUCCGGCUACAAUGCUAUUGAUAGCACCAAGCACUCGUACGAUCGUCUUCGUACUCAUAAGUCGUUUUCGAUGAUAGAGCUUUUGAAUUGACGAUCCAUACCGUUAAACAUUAUUUAGAGCAUUUAGAACUUCUAGAAAUCAAAUUUAAUAAUUUUUUGACAUCAUUUAUAUUAUAAUCAAAAGAUCUCAAAAUUGACAAAUUUGAACGGUCGGCAUGGGAUACUUGCUAGUUUAACGGUGUAAAAGAAUCGAAAUCGAUUGAAUUUUUGAUAAAAAAUUUUAUUUACUAUCUAGAUAAAGAUCAAUAACUCCGAUCUUAAAUUGAAGGAUCCAAUCAUUCAUUUUUAGAAUGUCGUUCGAUUUUGACCGUUCAUUUUAUGUCCGCUUGAUGGACUUUAUUAUAUUUUCAAAAAAUUACGAAAUUUAUUUUUUAGAAAUUUCUAAUACUCUAUAUCAUAUUUAACAGGGUGGAUCGUUGAUUCUGAACCUCCGUCAUCAAAAAUAAUUUAUGAGUAUAAAGGGCUUUAUACUCAUAAGAGUAUAGUAGCCCUACUAAAUCUAUAUAUAUUUAUGUGUGUGUGUGUGUGUGUGUAAAGGGGGUUGUUUUCUCGUGUUCUUCAAGGUCAAAAUUAUUUUUUGUGCUCUUUUAAGUAGGAUUCUCCAUUCAUUAAUUCUAGAUGUGGGCUUUAAAAGUGUGCUUUAUAAAUAUUUAGCAACUAAAGUUUGGAACCUGGAAUAUAACAAAAGCUCUUUAAGAAUAGAGAUUUAUAUUUGUUUGUAUUCGUAAUUUAUCAAGAUACAUUAUAUAUCUAGCUAGUUAAUAUAUAGCCAUGAUCUUUAGCACGUUAAUAAAUGAUACAUUCCCUGUUAUCUAUAUACCACAUGCAUAUUGUUUACUGCAUAAAACUCGAAUUUAAAAAAUAAUAAUAAGAAGGUCUUGCAGUUCUAGCUAGCUAGUUCAAUUCAACACUUUGAUUUGGUUACAUAAUUCGUGGAUCAUAUGCCUAAUAAAUUAAAUAUUUAUAUAUGAAUUACAAAAAAUUCCAUAUGUAAUCUUCAAUUUGUUAUUGCUUAUUUUUUUCCUAAUGCAGUUGAUUCUCUAUUUUAUCAUCCAUUACUUUACUUUCCAUAUUAGAUUAAGCUUGUAAUUUUAAUCCAACUAAAAGAGAGGGGGGAAAGGGGAAAAAAAAAAGAAUUAAUUAAGGAACAUUAUGUGAUCAUCUAAUUAAUAUUAAAAUGUGUGCAAGCUAGUUUUCAUAAAUAUAAAUAUAUAGAUAUUAAUUGUUGUCUAUUAACUGCAUGCAUGUGGUAACUUAAUUAUAAUUUCGAUUGAUUAUCAUGCACUUUAUUACUUGAAUAUAGCUGUUGUUACAAAUACUCUACAUAUAUUAAGUACUACUGCGUAAGUUUUGCAAGUUAAUCCCAAUAUACGAGUUUCACAGUACAUAAUGAUUGAUGAGGACACCUAGCUACAAUGUGUUGAUAUAUGUUGUUCAAUAAGAACCAUUAAAAUUACGCGUGAUAAACAAUUAAUAAGAUGCUGAAAUUAUUGUUGAUUAGGCAAUUUUCCUUUAAUUUGAAUUAUUUUCAUAAAUCAAGAAGCUCAAUAGUACAAGAAAAUGAUAUUCAAAAUCUAAUCUCAAAGUUGAAAGAACUAGAGGAAAAAGGGCAUCGAUAGCCAAGGGAUAUGAUUAAGUAUAUUUUUUGUGUACAAUUAUCAAUCUAAGGUCCUAAUUCACUGAGGAGAAAGGGAGUCAAUCACCCACUUACUGCUACUUUUACUACUCUCUUCAUCCUUGUUACUCGAAAAGGGGUUGUUCGCGGGCCAUUGAUACUUCAUAUUGUGUGUUUGGAAGUUCGUGGACAUGUCGAAGAUGCCCGAAGUGCUCGGAGAACUUGCGAAGCUAUUCAGAGUUGGUAGAUUGGGCGAAGAAUUCAAAAGAUAUGGGCUUAGAUAUGAAGAAUGUAUUUGGUUAGAGAAGCUUUCAGGAAUGAUAUUGGAUGUCGAAGACGAGUUCGCACCGGACAUUAACAUGUAAUUUGGUCCCGCGGAUGUGGUGGAAGCCAUGGCGGUCGCGCCUACCGGUAAGGGAUGGUUGUGCGUCCCCUCGUACGUCGUUAUGAGUAUCGACAUGUCCUCGAGGCAUCUUUGUACCUAUACAGCACCAGUGAAAAUGCUUAGGAACGAAAAAUUGGCGCAGUAAGGAAAAUUCAGAAGCAAUAUCAUUGAUUCAUAUAUACCUGUUUUCUGACCGGGCAUCCGGGUGCGACCGUGCAUCGGUAGUACGCUCGCGGACACGGGUUCCCUUUCGCGACCUUCUGACCGUAUUUUCUCCAUUGGCACCCAUCAUUCAUCUACAUAUUUCUCAUAGCAAAAGGAAAAUUGAGAACACAAUAAACACUUGGGAGCAUGAUGAAUUGGGCGAAUGAACUUACAGUAGGACCUUGGCACCUGGCUCUCACUGAAACCCUAGUUUUCCUGUUGGCCGGAUUGAUGCUUUGGCUCGUAAUCCCCGCCAAUUCGGCGGCGGUGGCGGCGGCUUGUAGUUUGUUGCUCUCUAGGGUUAACCAACUACUCGCGAGUUCCUUCAUGGACGAAUCCUUUUCAUGCGGUUCCUCAAAUGUUUGCAAGCUCAGCGACAACCCGAGCUCCUUCGCUUCCUUUGUGUCGCCCCCUCGGUAAUUAGAUAACAACAAUGGUUUUGCUUGCUCUUGAUGAUCACCCUCGAUGGUCUCACGAGCCCUCUUUGGCUCUCGGUUAUCGUCACCGCCGAGAGAAAGGAAUACUCGGGGCUCCUAUUCGAAAAAAAUAUGGAUCCAUAUUAAAAGCGAAGCAACGCAAACAAUUAUUACCAGAUCGUAAGUUGAGUGAAGCUAAUUUGGUUAGUUACUCUUUGUUGAUGAUGAUCAGCUUUUUGCACCGCCGCGAACUUCAUUUGCAGAUCGUAGUAAUCCUUCAUGGUGCGGUCGACGGCCUUCCGCAGCAGCUCGUUCUCUUCCUUCAUUCGAUCCAUCUCGGUUUGCAACAUGCACAACUAUAUAUACCAACAACAACAGCAACUCAAGGUCAAAUAAAUAAACAAAUAAAAGAGAAAGAGAGAGAGAGAGAGAGAAUUGGUAUGAAGAAUCUUAGUACGAUAUAGCUAAACCUCAUUAGAUACAAUAUUAUCAACCAUGGGCUUCUCUUGUUUUGCAUCUUGUCCCACCUCUCUCUUGGUUUCUUUAUCUCCCUCUUUAUUGUUUUCAUCUUCUCUUUUCUCUCCAUCUUCUUCGACUACGUUGUGGUCAUCGUCGUCGCUGCCUUCAUCAUUUUCAUCCGCUUUGAUCUCUUCUUCUUCUUCUUCUUCUUCAUGGUGUUCAUCAUCUCCUCUUCUUUUUUGUUCUUCCUCCAUCUUCAACGAGAGAUCUACUUGCAUUAUCUUGAUCUUCUCCCCUUUCUUCUUCUUUGUUGACAUGAUCUCCCUCUCUCUCUCUCUCUCUCUAUGUCUCUCUCUUCCUUUUGGGGUCUUAAUGGCGCCUCCGAGGCAUCCCCAAGUCAAUGUUCUCGCGUGUAAGACGUAUUAAAGGGGGUUACACAAAUUAACAUUAUAUUAUAUUAUAUAAUAUAAUAAUAAUAUGACAAUAUAAUAGAAAGAGAGAUGAGAGAAAUUAUUGCAUGCAACCAGUGCACCAUGCGCCAUGCACCACGUGCCGCGCCAUGUGUUAUAUUUGAUCACUUAUAAUAUAAAAUCAAAUUUUGAUUCAAUAGAUAUAUAUAAUUUAAACAUAAGCAGAAUGCUCUAGUUUAGCUUCGUUUCUGAUUUAAGGAAGCGACGUACACUAGUUUGGUGUUUGACAGAAAAGAAACAUAACAAAAGAUUCUAAUGGCAAACAAAAAAUAAAAUUUUAGUCCUAUAAAACAUAAGAUGUAAUUUGAAUGAUGUCGUUGGUUACAUAGUACUUCUUCUAAUAAUACUGAUUAAUUAAACAAUAUUUUAUCAAACCAAAUGCUAUGUACUCCAUCAUACAAUUAAUAGGGUCCGAACAUCAUGGAUUGCAUCCAUUCAAUUUUCUUUAAGACUUCGAUGCAGGGUGCAUGGGGGGUGCACCUGAUGCAUGCAAAAAAUUAAAAAGAGAGAGUGAGACGACUAGCUCACUUUUGUUAAUCUGUGUGUUUUAUAAUAAUAAUAAUAAUAAUAAUAAUAAUAAUAAUAAAUUAUUAUUAUUAAUUAAUUAUUAUUUUUGGUUCGAGAUGAAAGGUGAGUGCGCACGAAACUCCGAUCCGGGUGACAGGGACACCCAAGUCAAGUGGGCCUCUUGUUGGUCAUGUGACUCCGCCCCGCGCCUCCCACGCUCACCACUUCAUUUUAAUUUCCAAGGUUUUUCUUUUUUAAAAAAGAAAAUGUAUGGAAACCCUCAACUAUAAUCUAGUAUGAAAUAGAUUUUUUUGUACUCAUAAGUAUGAAAUAGAUUUUUUUUUUUAUACUCAUAAGUUUUUGGCUAUUAGAUAAAGAAAUGUACGGUUAGAAUGAUAAUGAUCCCGUGGGGUCCAGUGAAUAGUAGGUUGAAUAGUGUGAUCCGACGGAUGAAAAUGGUCAAAGGAAAAAGAUUUAACGGUCGAAAAUUUAUGAACAUUAAAAGGUUUAUACUUAUGAGAGUGUAGUAGCCGGACUCAUAUAUAGAAUAGGACUGUUAUACUCUUAUUAGUAUAGAUUUUUUUUUUGUAUUCAUAAGUUUUCGGCCGUUGGAUAAAGAAAUGUGCAGUUAAAAUGAUAAUGAUCCCGUGGAUUCGAGUGGGUGGUUGAUUGAAUAGUAUGAUCCAACGGAUGAAAAUUAUCAAAGGGGAUGAUCUAAUAGCCGAAAAUUUAUGAGUAUUGAAAGGUCUAUACUCAUGGGAGAGUAGUAGCCGGACUCUAUAUAGGUAGGGCUAUUAUACUUUUAUGAGUAUAGAUCAUUUUGUAUCCAUAAGUUUUCGGCCGUUAGAUGAAAGGAUUUGCAGUUGUGGCCCCCGGUUAGAAUGAUAGUGGCUCCCUAGGAUUGAGUUGGUUGGUUGAAUAGUAUGAUCGAACAGGUGGAAAUGAUCAAAGUGCUAGAUCUAACGGCCGAAAACUUAUGAGUACAAAAAAAUUUAUACUCACAAGAGUGUAGUAGUCGGACUGUAUACGGGUAGGGCUAUUAUAUACUCUAAUGACCUAUUUUCAUCCAACUAUCUUACAGCCUAAUAUAUAUGGUAAAAAAAAAGUAUGGAACUUAUCCCAACUACUAUGAGUGACCUAUUUUGAUCCAACUAUCUUACAAUCUAAUAUUUUAAUUUAUUUGAUUUGAGCCAUUUAAUGACUUCUAAAUCUUAAAAUUUGAAUACAUUGUUUAAUUUUAUGGACCUGAUUAGUUUACUUCAUUUAAUUUAAAUAACUACAAUUUCAUAAAAGUAAGUGGCAGGUUUAAAAUUUAUAACCGAAGAAUUAUCGAAUAACUUAUAUCAGACAAAUUGAAAAAUUAAGUAUCAAAAUCAAAGUUAUAAAAGGUUGGAUAGUUGAAUCAGCCCGAAUUAAAGUUUGGGUAGCUCUAUACAUUUUUAUUUAUAUACUUUGGCGAAAAUGUAUGGAACUUAAUUAACUUGGUCUGUUUUGAUUCAAUUAUUCAAUUUUAAGAUUGUAACUUGUGUACCCAAUCUAUUAGUUUAUUUGAUUUAAAAUAUUUGUUGGUUCCUCCAAAUCUAGGCCAAUAUUUUUUUAAUGAAAUUUUGGGUGAAUUACAUAUGCCAAAUAUGCUUAUCAAAAGCAAAAAGUAAAUGGGGCAUUGAAAUUUUGAAAUGUAAAGAUUAUUAAAUAGCCAUAAUCAAAUAUAUUAAAUGGGUAGAUUGCAAACCUAAAUUAUAGUUCGAUUAAAAUAAUUUAUAGUUAUGAUUUUUUUUUUGAGAAAUAAUUUAUAGUUAUGAUAAAUCCCAUUUUUUAUCCUUUUUUCUAUAUAUUGAGACCCUCUCUAUCUUUAUUUUUCUAGAAUUAAAUAAUUGCAGCCAAAUUACUAAAUUAAUUGAUAAUUUCAUCACAUUUUACAUUAUUAGAAUACUUUGUAGGUAAUAAAACUAGAUCAAUUAACUGCUAAAGGUAAUUAAGCAACAAUAGAUCUGAUAAAAACUUAUAUAAAAAUAAAAAAUCAAAGAGUCGAUUUCAAAAUAGCUUAUAAUUGAGUGGUCUUUAUAUACUUUUACAAUUUUGUUUUCUUUGCGGUCACCAGUGGGAUCUCAGGUCAACUCUUUGGAAUUUCUCGGCCUAUUAAUUAAGCUAAUACAUAUAUAAAAAAAUAUUAAAUAUAAAUACACAACCCAAAAGAGAAUGACUGCUAAUAAUAAUAGAGAUUAAAUUUGUUAAUCUCUAUUAUUAUCUUAUUAAUUAAAUUCUAAGCCCAACUGUUUCAUUCGUUUUUCUUUUAAUUUUUUUUUUAAAAAAUAAGCUAGAGCUCCAUUAAUUUAAGAUGGAUACAAAUUGAUUGGUCACCUCUGUUAUUUGGUUGUUAGGGUGGGGAACUCAUUGCCAUGAGAGUUGCAUUCUAAUUAAAAAUCUCUAAGUUAAAUAAUUUUAAAAAAGGUAGUUAAAUUUUGACAUUAGUAUUAAUAUAAAUAGUAAUUAUAAAUGUUGCAUUAAUUGAUUUGUGCUCCACAAAGUUUGGAUGGAACGAUUACAUGUUUUAAAUGGUUGAUUGAUAAAAAAUAAUUAUAGUUGAUUAGCUUAAUUAUGAUAUAUCUGAUCAAAUAAUAGAUAAUAACUUGUUUUUAAAAAAUUAGAAACAAAUAAAAUUUAUUUUUAUUUUUUGUUGCCAAAUAAAUAUUUUGGAUGAAAACAUUAUGAAAAAUCCACUUUUCACUCUUACACCUUUUAAAUAUACAAAAUUCUGUUUAGAAUAAUAAAAAAUAGAUACAGUACCAAGCGAGGCUUUAUAUUAUUAUUUUUAUUAAUUUGCUCAGAAUCUUAUUGCACCUACUUGCCCAAGUAAAUAAUCUAAGUCUUCGUUUACUUUUUUUUUUUUUUAACAAAACAAAAAUGAAGCUAAACCAAUCACAAAUGAGAGGGCCAUUUGGUUGACUUGCCAUGCACAGCGGUUGAAGGCUACUGGUUUGGAACUACGACGGCAAUCCUGAAUCAUCAAACCAAAUUAAUGACUAUUUGUGUAAAUUCGCAGCAUAUAAAAAAUUAAACUACUGACCUCUGACUCCGAUAUCACUUAUCGGAUCGUUGACGCUAAUCAUUAAUCGAACUCGUGAUCUCUGAUUCUGAUAUCAUUUGUCAGAUCGCUGGCGCUAACUAUUAAUUUCAAAAGUUCGAACAGUUAGAAAUAUGCAACCAAAUCAUUCAAAAUAUACAGAUGCAACGCUUCGACUCGGCCCAACCAGCCUCACGCCACUUCAAACGUGACUCAACCCAAUCCACCCUCCCGUCAUUUCGAACGUGACUUGAUUUAACUUGACCUGCUGUUGCAGAACAAAAUGCAAACACUUAUCUGUUAGCUUAAAUGGGCCAGCAUCCUGCUCUAUAGCGUAAGGCCAUGUUGAGCCGAGUCAUGUUCGAAAUGGCGUGAGCUUGGGUGGGCCAGCCAUGUUCGAAGUGGCGUGAAGCUGGUUAGGUCGAGUCACAAUCAAGACAUGUGGAUACUGUAUCUGUAUGUUUUAAGUAAAUUGAUUGUGUAUUUUUAACCGCUCGAAUUUUUGGGAUAAAUAAUUAGCGCCAACGAUCCGACAUUAUCCUCUCUUAUAGCCAUUAAACACAGUCAACUGGUGUUUAGACUUCAUAGAAUAACAGCUAAGCUGUCACUUGGGGGGUGGCCAAGGAAGUGGAUUUUGAGAAAUUUAAGUUAAAUAAAUAAAUAAUUUGGUAUCUUCUCGGAACAGUGAAGAGCUCAGUACGAAAUCCCAAGACAUGGCUUUGGGAUUGGCCCCUGUGGACUUUACUAAAUAAUAAUAGCAGGAGACCUGUACCUACCAUCCUAUUGGUCUAUUUUUUAAUUAUACUUACAUUUCAAUUACAAUAUUAAUGAAUGAGUGAUAUGUUAUAUUUAUAAGUAAAUUUUAUAGCACUUUAUAAAUUAGUAUGUGUGGUGGUAUUUAAUUGGUGGAGCAAUCUAAAUUAUAAGAAGAUAAACAUGACUUGUAUUUUCAAGAUGAUUAAACUUCAACCGUUGAGCUGUGCAAUUUAUAAGCUGUUGUGAAAUAUGUUCAUCAAUUCAAAUCGAACGCUUUAAAGUGAUUUAUCAUUUUAUUUUACCGUUAAUUGUGUAUAGACUCUAUGAUCGGAUAACAUUACUUUUCAGUAUUACUCUUUUUUAUUCUUAUAUUAGAAGCAGAUCACAUUAACUGCAUUGAGAAUAUUCGAGUUCUAUUUGUUCUCGCAAGUGAUAACACGUCACUAUAAUUUCUCUGAUUUCAUCAGUAAAUAAGAAGGCAAAUUUGUAUAUACUUUUGUCUUAACUUCCUUUGAUCCAAUAGAAUUAGACGGUCUUCGAUAUACCAAAUAAACUCUAAGCUGUUUUUGACACAAAACGUUGUAACGACACAUUCAUUACACCAUUUGUACCCGAUCUUUAUCCAAUUUUUACAUUUCACAAUUGGUUUCUUAAUGUUCAAUUAAGAAGAAAAAAAAAUUUAACAUGUUCUGACAAGGUUUAAUGGUGAAAGAACAAAAAUAAUUCAGUAUUGAUGUGAUAUCAGAAGAGAUCUGAUGAAGUAAUGUGCAAAUAUUAAGGAUCCAAUUACAAAAAAAGAAAAGUUUAGUGAUUAAUGGUGUAAUUAAUCUUAUAAAGAAACCACCCACCAUCCACAAGGACAAUUAGAUUAGCCCUUACUUGGGAGCACCUUAUACUUAUUUUAAUGAGCCUAUUUAUAGUAUCUCCUACACUGGCACGAAUAUUAAUGUAACAGAAGCCAAUCAGUGUUCUUUCGAGGUGCUUUUUUAUUGGUAUUUUUCGAAAUGGCUCUGAAUCCUAUAGAAAAAAAAAAAAGAGAAAAAAACAAAGUUCAAUUUGAGAGGGAGUUUAUAAACUCUCUUCUCGGGGAGAUGGAAUUUGUGGGUUUUAUUUCGGAUUUUGGAUCCUGUUAUGCUAAUUAUAACUCCCACGAGCUAAGGAAUGAGAGUGUUGAGUAUUUAAAUGUAGGAUUAAUAGUAAAUUCGCUUCAAGGAGUUUGACCCGGAAUUUAAUUUUGUCUUCAAGAGUUUCUUUUUGGGGGUGACCAUAAUUUUAAUUUCAUUAUCGAGAGGGCUUUAAUCUCAGUCCAAAAACUGGUUUUGGUAUCAGUUUCAUUAGUUGUCGAAAUUUCAACACAAACGAGGAUUAGAAAUUAAGUUUGAUGAUUGCGACUACAUAGAAUUUCUUUAGACGGCGAAUAAACUUUAGAAUUAAAAGAUUCAAACCAUAAAAAAUCAUGGAUUGAGUAGUGAGAAUAAAAUUUGAUCAAAACGACUCCAACGAAGGUAUUCGGAUUGGCGGGGUAGCGAUUGACGCACUCCAAAUACUCACCGAUAAGACCUAAGUCUAAAGAAACUAAUCAGGAAAUAAAAGAGACGCGCCAAAAACUCGAAACCACAUUGAAGAUGAGGUUGAAAUCCGAAAACUCGGGAGCCAAUUAAUAUUUUGAAUUUCCGAAUUCAAACACGGAGAUUAUUCGCAAGCUCGGGAGGAAUUCUCGAAAACUUAAAAGUAAGGGAGGAAAAUAGUUGAGAUGAUUAACUUAACUUGUGAUUUACUACUAGAAUAAGAAGGGCUAAUUGGACCUUAUCGGUUCGAUAAUCGUCAGAUUUCGAGAAUCGAUGCAGAUUAGUUAUGUUAUCUAGGAGGUAACCCACUUGAUCUAUCCAUAAUGCAUUUAAUUUAAUAGGGUUUAGGGUGGUUUGACUCUUGUUUAACCCAUCAUUGAGGGAUCAAACCUCUAAUAUAUCUAUUUAAAGAUGAACCUGACGUGAUAUGGCAUUAAAUCCCACGUUACAUUAUGUUGUAACCAGCACAUUAACCCAUGUAAUAAUUUACAAAUAAGGGGGAAUCAUUGACUCAUUAGCCAAGUAAGGAAUAUGCUUAACUGGUAUAGUGGGAGCUAUUUUUAUCAUGCACAGGUAACUAAAAUGUAAUCAAAUAGCAUAGUUAGCUAAGGAUUUGAUAUUUGAUAUCUGAGAUUCCAAAUUCGAAAUCUAAUUUGCUACAUUUCUUUCUAGUCAAACUAACAGGCCAGAGAUGCCUAGGUUUCCAGAAGGCGUAACUCUCUCAUCUGACGUCCAUUUCGACAGGCCAAGUGGUUUGAAAAUGUAGUGCCUAACAGUCUUUUGCUUAAGUUUCAAGCUCAAGUACCAAUUUUCUUCUUCUUCGACAAGUUCCUUUCAUCUUAUCGGAAGUAUAUGGUAAUUUACUAUUCAGACAAUACCUCAGCAAAUUCAGUCCAAGUUACCGACUUAUUAGUUGGGAUGAUCGUUUCUGUGGUCGAAUCUGACCUGACCCAGUUCAUCAGAUUGUCUCAAUUUUUGAUCUAUGAAAAUUCUGGCUCGACUCAAAUUGACCUAAGCAUGAUCUGGUUAUUUUUGACCUGGCCCUCACUUAGAGAAACAUGUAGAACAUUUUUGACCGUUGUACUUUUGGGCCUGGAAAAAGUAAACCGACUCCAAAACAGACUCAGCCAUACUCUCUAGUUUCUUCUAGAUCUCUUCCGAACUAGAUCAGACUAGUUUUAAUAUCGAUGCUACAUAAAAAAAAAUUAUUUUUUACAGAUAAUUUGUUUCAUGAUUUGUAAUAUUUUAAGAUUCCGCCGAUCUCCGUCUACUUCUCCUAGUCUUUUCUCUCUGGUUGAAGUGGCGUCCGACCCAUUAUGAUUGCUCUUUUUUUUGUUUAUUUCUAUAUGACUAUGUAAUUUGAUCGGGCACUGGCUCUACUUCUUUUCUUUUUCUCUUCUUCGGUCAUGUAUCUGGUUUCAAAUAGGAUAUAUAUUCCUGUUUAAUUAAAAAACAAAAAGAUUCCUUCGAUCUCUGUGUCUGCGUGAUAUGGUUCUUUUCUUUAUAACUUAUCCAAUCGGUGGAAUCGAAAAACCAUAGGUUCGAAUCAGUAAUCCAUUAGCAACUGGUUAGGCUCAAAUCACUGGCCCAUUACGUAUUUGUCUAAAUUUUAUUUACCUAUUGAUUUUGUAAGAGUUGUUAUGUAAAUUUGGAAUGUAAAUAGAAUAAGGGAGAAUAACAUAAGAAGUUUGGUAAGUGUAGGAAGCAAUAUGUUUAUAUGUAAAAUCAAGAACUUAUAAUUCAUCGGAAGAACAUUUUCUUUUUAAUCUUCAGUAGCUUAAUCUUUUAGGAAAAAAAAAAAUCCUUUUUAUAUUAUAGAGGAGGUCACGAGUUCAAAUUCUACCAUGUAUCUAAAAAUGAAAAAAGUUGUUUUCCUGUAAUGUAAAGGUGUCAACGAGCCAAACACGAGCGAACUGGGGUCGGCUAGCGCUCGGCUCAUUUAUAAAAAAAGUCGAAUACGAGUUGAUUCGUCAAAAUAUCGAGCCGAAAAAUUCAGUUCGUAUUCAUUUCGUUUAUUAACGAGCCGAACACGAACUCGUCAAUGAACAAUAAGUUAAAAAAAUUAAAAAUGAUAUAUAUAGCAGAACUAGGCUGGAAUAUUAUCAAUAGCACCAAACUAUUGAUGCUAUUAAUUUUUUAAUCCUUAAAUUGAGAAAUGUGUGGUUAGGAUGAUAUGGGCUCUCUAGGAUUGAGUGAGGGGGUUGGUUGAAUAGUAUAAUUUAACGGGUAAAAAUAAUUAAAGAGUUAAAACUAAUGGUGGAAAACUCGAUAGCACCAAAUUCUUGGUGCUAUCGAUAGUAUUUCAGCCGGACUCUAUAUAGCAAAUAAAUCUUUUAAAUCUUACUUAUUAGAUUUUGAUAUAAGUGCUGAAGCUUUACAUAUAAAUGAGUUUUUUAUAAUUGAGUUGAAUUUUAUAUUUAGUUUAUGCUAAAAAUCAAAUAAUAAAAAUUUACAUUAUAUAUAUAAUUAUUUAUUUAUAUGUAUAUAUAUAUAAUAUAUAAAUUAUAUAAAUAUAAAAAAUAUCUAUUUGAGCUGUUAUCGAGUCGAAUACGAGCGCGCUGACCCCAGCUUAUGUUCGGCUCGUUUAUUAAAUGAUCUAAAAAAUUCGGUUUGUGUUCGGCUCGUUUAGUAAACGAGUUGAAAAAUUUAGCUCAUGUUCGGCUCGUUUACUAAACGAGCGAUUCGAUCUCGAGCUCACUUCGAACCGAACACGAGCUGGCUUACGAACAGCAAGCUAGAUUGCCACCUCUAGUUUCAUGCUAUCCACUAAUUUUAGUUAAAAUUUAUUAUUUUGACAAAUAAUAUCAUUUGCCCAAUACUAAGGCUCUGUGUACAAUUGAGGAUACAAUAUACUAUGUAAUAAUUUCUCAAAAAAAAAUAUACUAUGUAAUGCGAGAAUUUAUUUAAAAAAAUUUGUGUGUUAAAUCCUGUGUGCAAGAAUUUUAAAAAAGAAUUCCGUGUGUUUAUAAUACAAAUAAUAGAAAUUUGUAAUACAAGCACACACACAUACACGAGCUAUAUCGAACCAAGUAUGAGAGCUGGUUCUAGCCCACGUUCGGCUAGUAAAAAAUUUGAGCUGAACAAUUUAGCCCGUGUGUUAAAUGAGCACUCGAGCUCGAGCACCUGUCGAGCCGAAUACGAGCCGGCUCCCGAGCAACGAGCUGGAUUGUCAACCCUAAUGGUAUCAGACAAAAUAAAGUUAGGAUGAAAGUAUAAAAAAAUUAUGUUUUUUCAUUCUUCGUUGUGAGUUGCAACUUGUGACUGCAAAAUAAUAUAGUGUAUGGACCCAUAUUUGUUUUGGGCCCACAAUUCUCCCCGGUCCAUUAUAAGCAAUUGGGCCAUUUGUGUGACAAACCAUGUGGGCCAAAUUGCAAAACCAAGGCCCAAACGCCACGCCCCACGUUUCAAGCGUCUCCGAAUCCACCCGUCCAUUCCCAUCCAAACGAUCGCCUUCAACGGCCGAGAUCGCCUCCGAGGUGCGCUAGUUUUCUUCUGGAGGGAGUUAUGCGCUCGUACAAUUUAACGAGCCUACACUUUCCCCCACAGGGCUUUUCCAAAGGCCAUAAAAAUUAAAAAAGCAAAAAAAAAAGAAAGAAGAAAAAACAGCAAAGAUAGAGAAAUAUAGAGAGAGAGAGAGAGAGAGAGCCCACACAGCAAAUCUUUGAGCAGAGCCCCUUCCUCCUCCUCUUUCCGUUUAAAGAUGUUAUUCGGUUUUUAAUUCGAAUAAUUUCCUCCUUAUUCCUCGUCCUAGUACUCCCACCGUUACGCCAUAUAUAUAAAUAAAAAAUAUAUAAUAUUUACAUAUAUCUUUUGCUUUGCUUAAUACAUAAGAGAGAAAUAUUAGAGACAACGCCAAAGAUAAAUCCCUUAUUCUCGCGCCGCCGCGGUUUCCCGUAUAAAUCCCCGGAAUAAGAAGCGAGGAUAACUCCGUAGAAUAGAGAGUCUUAUAUUCUUAUUAUUCCGACCAUCUCUUCCUUAUAUAGAUUUAUUGAUUAGAGAAGUUUUUUUUUUUUAAUUUUCUUUUUUUGUUUUUCUAAUUUCUAAAACGAUACCGCUCCUAACACGAAGCGGAUACGAGGUUUUAUUCUAGAGGUUUCCUUCGCUAGGGUUUUCUGAUUAGGGUUUCGCGUUUUCGCUCGCGUCGUCGUCUUCUCCUUCCUCGCUCUGCGCCUCCGUCGUGUUUGCUUGUUAUUGUGCGGGAUUCUCCUCUCCUGCGGAAUCGUUGAGGAAUUGGGGGAUUUUGAGGGGGGGUUCUUGGGCUUUUUACUCUUCUUGGUCCGCGUGGCCAACAAUGGAUGCGUAGAGAGGUUGAAUUGAUCGUCUGAUUGGUGGAGGAGAAUACCUAAUUGAUCUUUUUGGGGGAAUUUUGGUGCAUUAUAUAGGGUUCCUUGCGGGAGAGUAGGAAUUGGAGCUAUUGCAUUUGCGAGCCCCUCGGGGGCGGUUCGAUCCCUGCUUCGGGGAUCGCCUUGUGAUGAUUUUCGCGCGCUUCGUCCUUGGAUUGUUGCUUUUGUACAGGAAAUAGUAUUCGGGGUUGAUUAGGUUAUUAUAGAGGGAGAUUAGUUUCGAGGAGGAGCGAGGAACAGUAGUUGUACCUAGAUGGUGAUCUCUGUUCAUUAUGGAGAAAACUGAACUGGCAUUCAAGCCAGAGUGGCUAAAAUCGUCGAAUGCGAGUGCGGCUAACAAUGCCUCUGCAAACCAUCAUUCCACUAUUUCCUCACAUUCAGGUAUGAUUUCCGUUUCUCGCACUCGUAUGUUAAUUUUCCUCAGUGUUGCUAGUCUUAUACUUAUCUUGGUCGUAUAUAGUUUAAAGUAGAGCUUUUUAUUCUUGUAGAUGAACAUGCUGUAGCAAACUCCUCUAGGAACAGGUUGUCGGUAUUUGACCGGGAAAGAAAUUCGUCAUCCUCCUCUCGGAGGAGUUCAAGCUCGAACUUUUCUAGGAGUCUUGAUAAAGAUACAUCAGGAAAAUCACGUGCUUACAGUAGUUUUGGUAGGAGUAGUCGAGAAAGAGAACGGAAUAAAGAUAGAGAAAGUAGGCCAGUUUUGGUCGACAAUGGGUAUCAUGACCGUUCCAAUUCAUUCAUCACAAGUAGGUCUGAAAGGGAGAGAUCUUCAAGCUCUAUGGCAGCAGGGAGGCCAGUUGAUUCAUUGUAUAAUGGAUUAGGACAAAACUCGGCAAAUGGUGUACAAUCUGGGGGGAAUAUAACUGGGGCCCGCUCCUUCGAGAAGGAUUUUCCGUCCCUUGGAACUAAGGAGAAGAAUGGGUGUCCAGAUGUAGUGGGCAGGGUUCCUUCGCCUGGCAUUAGCGAUGCUAUUAGAAAGAUUUAUUCAGGUAAUGGAGCCCUAGCUGCGGCUGAGAACUGGAAUUCUGUGUUGGUGAACACACCGCAAGCUUCUCCGGACAGUCAGGCUCCUGCAAUCUUGAGCACUCCAACGGGAUUAAAUAUGGCUGAAACAGUGGCACAAGCUCCAUUACGAGAUCGAACUGCGCCCCAGGUAGUCUUUUGAUUGUAGUAUACUGCCUUCUUUCUUGUUUCUGAGUUACUUAUGCAGUCUCAUUUGCUUUUUGUUUGUUCAUGCCGUACUGUUGUUCUUUUCAGUUAACUAUUGAUACCCAGAGGAUUGAUGAACUGACGCUUAAACAAUGCAAGCAGUUAAUACCUGUAACACCUUCGACACCUAAAAGUUUGGUAGGUUCCUUAUCUUCUGUACAUUUGAGAUAAUUUCCUCCUAUGAUUCUUUUAUUAUCCUCUUUUGAUUGUUAUUAUGCAUCUGUUUCUUAAGUUUAAACAAUAUUUCCACAUUGUUUUUUUGUAGAGAAUUUCUAUUAGAUUAAUUGAUGACUUCAUAUAACUUCUUUUCGUGGACAUUUACAAAUCAUAAAUUUUGCAUAAAAUCUUCCGUGAAUGUCCACUAAAUUGUUGAGCUAAGAAUGUUAUGCGUGUUUGUUUUCUUGCUGAUAAAAUGAUUCUUAGAAGUUUUUGCCUUCUACUCAUUAAUUAGACUGAUAGCAUGAUGAAAGUUGACAUUUAGAUUGACCACAGUAAGAGAUCUUUAGGUAACCAGGCUGGAGCUUAUAUAGAACUUGACUAGACCCCAAAUAAGCACUGAUUACUUUUUUCAGCUAAGUUCUCCUUGUGCCUUUCUGCAGCAGUCGAAGGAGAAAAUUUGAGUUGGUAAUUGUUCUCUUGAGACUUAAAAGCUCAUUUCAGCUUCUUGCCAAAGCAUAAUGUUUAGAUUAUUAUUAUUAUUAUUCGGUUGCCAAUUGUCAACAGUUACUUUUUGGAGUAGAGAAGUUGCUAGAGAGGCUAAGCUAAAAAGACACUAAAUUAUUCAACAUGAUGGCAACUAAAACACUUUAUUGAUGAUAGCAAACUGUUAGGUUCAUUGAUUUAAAGGAUCAUUCACACAAAAAAAGGAAGUCUCAAACUCUAAUUUCUUAUCAUUAAACAAAAUUGGCAGUUGACUAUACAUUAUCUAUGGUCUGUAUGCAAGUUGCUUAUCUGUCCGUAUUGUGAAAAUGCUCCUAGUGCCUAUGCUUGGAGGCGGAUGAGUCGAAAAAAUAGUUAUAUAACAUGGAUAGGGAUUCUAGUUGCAAUUUAGAACAAUAGCCAUGAAACUUACACAAUUAGGUUUUGUAGUUGAUCAUCAAUUAGUCAUGCAUUAGCGAGGCAGAGCACGAGCAGUGGGAGUUACAUAAUUGGAUCUCUAUAGCAUCUUUGCAAUUUAUCGUGUGUUAAGAAGAAUUUAGACGAAAAACAGUGAUUGGUGCAUUGUGUAUAGAUUAUGCACAGAACUCAUAUUGAUGGUUCAAAGAUUGUUCCUGCCUCAACAGUGGCUCUUAACAUUUUUGUUUGCCAAGCAUUCUACUAUAUAUGGUCGCAGAUAUCAGAAGAAGCAGGGCCAAAUAAACAUUUACAAGGAUUUAAAGCUAUUGUAGUGGCCACAUGCGUACAGAGUAUUUUGGACUUGUGUUGUACAUACAAAACAAGAAAUGAACAAACAGUACAGGUACUUGUGUGUGUCAUUGUACGUACGUUGUGCCUUGUAGUGGGUAGAGCAUAAUGUACGGAACAUGCUGUGUGCUGAUCACAAUUAGCACAUGUUCUCCAGGCGGCGGUUUAAACCUUAGUAGAGGUUUAUAGGUACUGAUUUUUUUUUUGGCUAGGAGCAGUGAAAUGGCCGGAGCCCCACUAAAUGCUAAACAAUCUACCAAUGCUGCAAGUUCAGUUGGUGCAUGAUUUGUUGUAUCGAAAUCUCUCUAUUUGUCUGUUGUCUUUUCAGUAACUGAGUGAGGACGUCUUUACCUUUGUAUCCACCUAAUUAGCUUGGCGUAAAUAAGUACGACCAAGUCAUUUUUAGGGAGCUGACUGAAUCUGGUAUUUACGUUUAAAAGAUUGGACUCACGCCAUCAUCAUGUACUGGUUCCACCAUGGUAUAUGACUGAGUUAAGCAUUGGAUGUGGGUUGAGAUCCUCAUGAUAAUUAUUUUCUUUUUCGAUUGUCAUUUCGAGUGCAAUAAGCACUGGCCAAUCAUAAGCCUUGGUUUAAGUCAUAACCAUCAUCCUUAUCCAUGUUAUUUCUCGGUAUAGAGUGCAACCCAAAGAUAAGAAGGUUCAAAAAAGUGAUGGUUGACUGUUACAACCAUCUAACUGAUAUUAAUCCUCUAAGUAGGAGUCCAUUUUCUUGCCGUAGCAAAAUCAGACAAGGGAGGAGCUUGUCAAUGUAUUUGGCGAUGAGCAACUGGCAAACUUGGUUGCAGUUGAAACUCAUGCAACUCAACAUUUCUAAGUUCUUUAAACAUGGUAUAGAAAAGGAUAAGAUAAUAACAAUUUAUCUGGGGAUUUGUCUUCAUUUCAAGUGUAGGUUAGAUUAGCUGAAAAUCUAAAUGCAAAUAUAAAAGUUGAAUUGAAGAAUAGCCUACAGAAUGUUAGAAUCCCUACUUCGAAUUCCCUACUUUACAUUCAAUUUUCAUUGCGUGCGACUUAGGUGUUUCUUUUGUGACAUAGUUUCUGUGAACCCAUUGAAAACUUGAGUUGAAAGUUGGGAACUCAAUUAUUUUGUUUUAACAGCACUUGUUGUUAGGGAGUCUGCUUAUUGAAUUUUUGGUUCUGUAGGCUGCAGGCUGUGGAAGUUACCUGGUAACUUAUGUUUUUGAUCCACCGUUACCUUCUGGCAUCCUUUCUUAUUUUAGCUGAUAAAAAGAAAAUUUUUUAUAUAUAUUCUAAAAUAUGUUUAAGCUGGAUUAUGAAGUUUAAUAACUUAGUCCUGUGGAAGCAGAUACAGAUAAUUGAAUCUUUUUUUAAGUACCUGUAUUUUGGAUUUUACUUUUUUGUUCCAUGUUUCAACUAAAUCUUAACUUGAUCAUGUACUAUUAUUGGUAGAAAGCUCAUUAGUUGUUGAAUAGUUGUAAUUAGUGCAAACUGGGAAAAGUUUCUUCUUGAUUUGCUACUUCAUCAUGUUCUUAAUCUUUUUUUCUUUUUCUUUUUCUUUUUGUGAAGAGAAAAUGAUUUAUUUACUAUAAUCUUUCUAAUGAAGCUUCUUGAACAUGGCUCAGUUGUCAAGCUCUUCGGAAAAGUUGAAGAACAAAGGAGCAAGAGGUGGAGAGUCAAGUGGCGCUCCUAAAAUUGGGCGGCAGUUAUCACCUCCUCCUCUCAACCCUGCCCUCCUGCAUGUUAGGUCUGAUACUACAAAGCCGUCCCAAAUUGGGACUUUUCAAGUCCUCAACCGAGAUAAGAAUAAUGAUACCUCCCUUUCAACCAAAGAUGGGCCAACUGUUAGCAAAGUUGUGAAUGUCAGUAGUCUUUCUCCGUCCGCUUCCCAUCUCUCGCUGAAGAGUCCCACUAACCAAAAACCUAAGGUUGAAAGCAAGAAUGAGAAGAGAUUGCAUUCUCAAGCGAAGGAUAGGCAUGAAUUCUUCAAUUUCAUACGCAAUAAAUCACUGAAUAGUUCGAGUGCUACUCCGGAACAAGGCCCUGUUUCACCCUCAUCCAGUGUAGUGGAUUCGAGCGACCAGAGUGAAUUUGGUGUUACUAAUGAAAAGGAGGGCAUCUUGUCCGAUUCGGAGUUGAAGUGCUCAGAGAAUGGGAAUUGUGUUAAAGAAGAUAAAGAGGCUUGUGAGGAAUUCGAGAGUCCACUACCUGACAACGAAGAAGUUUCGGAACCUGUUGACCCAGAGGAAGAAGCCUUCCUGCGGUCACUUGGCUGGGAUGAGAAUGCAGUGGUGGAUGCCCUGACAAAGGAAGAGAUUGAUGCUUUUAAUAUGAUGGUAAUUAAUUUCUGUGUUAGGGCCUGUUUGUGUUAUAAAAUUAGAUCCAUCCAAAGAAGCAGAAAACAAUUUUUGUUAAUUUUCUUGACAAGUCCCAUUGCAGCAGAAGCAAAAGCAGAAGCAAAAGCUGAAGCUUCUGCUUUUAAGGUUUAAAAACUCAUUUCGACUUUGUGUCUAAAUAAAGCUUCAAACUCUUUGUCUGCAAAGAGCUUGGUUUCUAGAAGCUUCUGCUUUCUGAAGCACAGGAGCUUCUCCAGAAUUGAGGCUGAAACAGGCAUCUGGCUGAUUUACUGAGUAAACUAUUUCGCUGUACUACUACUAUGUUUGCAUGACUAUCAUUUUUCAUCCUUUGUACAGUACAAGGAGCGGAAGCAAUCCUCGAAGCUGCUCCAGAUGAAGAUUUGAUCAUCGAAGGAAGCGACGGCGGGAACUUUGGCAGGCAAUAUAAUUUGAUUUUGACGACACUGUUGAUUGAGCACAUCUGUUUCUGAACCUGGAGCAUGAGUUUUUGCUUUAUCUUCUCUGUUUUCAGGGCUUAGAAAUCAUUUAGUUUGACUAGGCAAGUGUUCUUCGGUCGAGAACAGAAGUGAUUUAACAUUCUUGCUAAGCUGAAAGAAAAGAAAAAGUUUGAGUUCUUUUUUUUUUUUCUUUUUUCUUUUCUCCCUCUCUCUCUCUCUCUCUCUCUCUCUCUCUCUCUUCUCCAGAGGAAUGUGAAAUUCAAAUUAGUUACAAGUUUUCCGGGCCAUAGGCCGUUGGUCUAAGAAAUUGUGUUCUCUGGGAAAUCUGGGUGUUUCUUUUCCUUUUUUCAUAACCAUCCGGGAUUAAUCCUCGAUUGAUCCUACCGACCCGCUUCGGUUCAUGACGACAGUUUUAAGAUAUAAAAAAGAUUGGAAGCCAAGUUGUACAAUUUUCGAUUGUGUCAGCAUGUAUGUGCCAACUGGAAAGUUGAAUUUGAUAACAACCUAUUAUGGUUUGGAUCACGUCCACUUCAGAGUGGGGAAUUGCAUUACAUUUACGUACAAUAUCUGCCUUUUGAAGUCCCUACACAAAUCAAAAAAAGAAAAGAAAAGAAAGAAUAUGCUAGACAUACACUCUCAUCUUAAAAUUCACGCACCCUUGAAUUUCUAAUAUUAAAAAAAAUGAUAAAAGAGUGAAAGAUUUAUACUCCAAAAUAAAAUGUAAAAAUAGUGUUGUUCAAAAAAAGAAAAAAAUCUUUACUUCAGAAGUUACGAAACGAAUCCUGCAUCUGCAAGAUACUUCAGAGAAUUCGCCUUAAAAAAAAAAAAAAAAAAAAAAAAAAAAAAAAAAAGGGUGUUCCCUUUCUUGGGCCGAUGGAUCUAUAAGGGCCCAAGGCCCAAAUUCCAAACUCUUUGAAGCGACGUGUUCUCUCUCUCGUAACACCCAACAUAGUGCGGCGUCUUCCGAAUUUCAUUUCGAAAAUAAGAAACCGCACCUAAAAUUCGGGGGCUCGUCGCUGAGCGGGAAAAUAAGAAACCAAAUCCAAUCCCCAGCAGAUCCCGCAUCCGGCCGAAUCGGAGCGAUGCGCGGCGUCGGCGGUCGGCGGCGCGUCCCGAGGGCUUCGGCUGCUCCCGCUCCGGCGGACGGCGGCCCGUCCCUCGACUUCGAGGUCGGCGGCGCCGUCGGGCGGCGCGACUCGGAUGCGAGCAGCCUCUGCAGCAGCCGGCCCUCCUUCUCAUCCGCGGCGGCCGCCAACCCUCCUCUGCUGUCGGACCGCUCGUCGCAGUCCGCCGCCCUCCGUGCCGUGAACUCGUACCUGUCCUCCCAGUCCGCCCCCUUCUCCCUCCGGCCGCCUCUCCCCUCCGCCCGCGACAUCUCCGACGNNNNNNNNNNNNNCCCGCCUCGACUUCCCCCUCCCCGACGCCCCCGGCAGCAGCAGGGCCCUCGACGACGACGUCCUCCUCCUCCUCCGCCUCCUCGGCUGCCCCUUCAAGCUCAGCCGCUCCGCCCUCAAGGCCCCCGGCACCCCCCACUCCUGGCCCCCUCUCCUCUCCGCCCUCCUCUGGCUCACCCAGCUCGCCCGCCUCUCCGACCACCUCUCCCAAACCCCCAACAACUAUGCUCCCUCCUCCUCCUCCUCCUCCUCCUCCUCCCCCAACAACUUCCUCCUCUUCGUCGCCCACAGCUACUCCCUCUUCCUCCUCGGCGACGACGACGCCGCCGCCGACCUCGACGACGAGUACAGGGCCAAGACCCGCGCCCACGUCGCCGCCGCCGCCGCCGCCGCCAACGCCCUCGAGCGCGAGGCCGCCGACCUCGACGCCAGGCUGCGCGCUCUCUCCGCCGGCCCCUCCCGCCGCCAGGCCGCCGAGGCCGAGCGCGCCCUGCUCGCCGAGGACGCCGAGAAGUUCCGCGCCGUCGUCGACAGCUGGGGCGGCAAGGUCGCCGCGCUGGAGGCCGCGCUGGCCGACUGGGAGAAGGAGCUUGAGGCCAAGGAGAGGGAGGGCGGGAGGAUCGCCGGGGAGAACGCCGAGCUCAGGCGGCGCGUCGACGCGCAGGCAGUGAACGUGCGCGACGUGGAGCGGAUGCGGCGGGAGCUGCAGGCCGUCGAGCAGGACGUCGCGGAGGCCGAGAGCAGGAGGAACGCGUUGGAGGAGAAGGCGUGGGAGCUCGAGGCGAGCUCGGCACGCAAGAUGGGCGAGCUCGAGGUUCUCGCCGAGGAGUGCAAUCAGGCGCUCAGAAAGUAAAAUGCUCUGCUUCGAUUCUUCUCUUCGUAAAAGUUCUUAUUUUUGUGCAUUAUGCAUAGCUUCGAUCGACACUACUUGCCUUGCGUAAAUUCGUUCUAUGCAAUGAUUAUUAGAAAAACAAGAAAUAAUUGGAAAACAAAAAUAGCUUUUAGUACCCUAAUUAGUAUCAACUUUGUUUUGCCUUCCAAAACUUUAGCGCUCAACUCUUUGUACAAUUUGACGACAAAGCUGUGUCAUUGAAAGAAGAAGAUUGGGGUUUUUAGUUUUCAUUCAGGUGAAUAAUUUCGACAAAGGAUUAAAUGGUAAGUCUUUGUGUGUCCAACAUGGUAGAGCAAGGAGAAAGAGAUGUCAUGUGAGUAUGUGACAGUAAGAUUUUGAAAUGAAAACUUCAGGAAUGAGCCAAAAGGAUUCAAGGAUAGUAGUAGAAUCAUAGUAGAAUAAAGGGAAAAAGAUAAACACUGGGCAGUUUGGUUCUAAAUGUAAUUUUGUAUAGGUAGACGAGGGAAAUUUAAUAGAUUCUGGGAUUCUCGAACUUAUAACGUGGCAAAUUUGCGUCUGCGAAUUACAAGGAAGAUUUUAUAGUAGGCAUCAUGGUUGUAUUGCUUGUUAUUGAGAAUUAGAAGUAAAGAGCCUUAAUCAAUUAGAGAAAUAGUUGUAUAAAGAUUAAAAUUAAAAUGGGAAUCAAGUUUGAUGGAGAAAACACAAAGCUGAACAACUGAGCGUAUUGACUAGAAAGAACUUAUGAUGUUUGUGGUUAAAAGCACGUGCAGUGUUUGCGGUUGCAUGGGUGCGAAAGCAUGCUGUUGUAAGCAAUACAUUUGUUUGGGUUCUGAACACAUGGGAACUGUCUUCUUUUCAAAUGUGCACUAGAGUACAUUUUUGGCCAAAUAUGUGUUUGGCCAGCACAAAUAGCCAAAGGUAGUGUUAUGUUCACUUAUUCAGAGCCAAAGGUAUCUCUGUAUAUCUACGAAGAUGAGGAUCUUUCUGGAAGUCAUUGCAAAAUUAUUGUGGCUGAUGACUUGUGACUGAAGAUUUCAGAACAUUGGAGCCUUCCAUCGGAGAAACUCACUUACAUAGCUUUGAUUAUGAUUUCAUGGGAUUUCGGCAUAGUAUAGCCAUAAAACCAUCGAGGUGUGGAUUAUAAGAUGUCUCAGUUAAAUUGCAAUGCGCUUGUUUGACAGUUAGCAAUGUGUGUGCUUAAUUUGUUGUGUAGGAAGUUUGACCUAUUGCCCAUAUAAUUUUUCAGGUUAAAACUUGGAGUCGAUUUUCAAUAUGUGCUGAACGCUAAAGGAUCAUCUCCAGCUGAAGUAAUAGGCAUUAACUACAAAACAGUCCUGAAACCUGCACUCUCUGCUCUUGCUGAAGAUACAAAGAAGUUAUCUGUUUCAAAGCUCGAAGAAUCUAUAGCUCGACAGCAACAGUCACGGGAGAAUACUAAAAUUUUAGAGGAGAAGAAGGUUCGACUUGCAGCUCUUCAAUCCAAAAUUGACGAGGUGGGUCACUUGUCUUUCAGUUCUAUAUCAGCUUGUACUCUCUGCUAUAUUUUUUAUUGCAGAAAAGUGGGAGCAUUGGUAAUCACAAAACUGCUGUUAUGGUUAUGGGUUUGAUUGAUAAGUCAAAAAUGUGCCGAGAGUGUCUUCCUCAAAAAUGUACUUACAUCCUACUGCUGCCUACAGAAUUAUUACAAAUAUAUAGGAAUACUCCAACUCAAUGAUAUAUGUCAGUCAAUGUUGAAUGCAUUUAGCUACCUUCAUAGAAAAGAUGGUUCUUUUGUAUCAUACAUGCUGGAAAUGGAUCAUGGAAAUUUUAGUUCUUAUAUUGUUAAAUAUAUUUUAAGUUGAAGUUAGUAUGAUUUGCAUCCCUUCCUUUACUUUUAGUUGUUUCCUCACUUUCUAAUUUGUUGGUUGCUAUUGCAUGGAAUUGUGACUACAUUAUUUAACUGAAUCUAUUGAUGUUUCACUAUAACUUCUCUUGUUUUCAAGUGUAGUUGGUUGUAGUAACUAGUAAUCUGGUGGUCAGUUGUAGAUUGCUUUUGAGUUUUGACCCAUUAAAUGGUGUUUUCAUCUUUCUGGUAUUAUUGUCCUGCUGUGUUAGGUUUCCUUCUUUUAAAGAUUGUUCCCUUUCCUGGACAGAGUUUGGGGUCUGUUUGAUGCUCUUAAUGGUAUUUAUGAAUAUUUUUAUCAUUUGCAUCCUGGAAACGAAUGGCUAUAAGUUGAAAAAUCAAAUUGUUUUGAUUGUGAAGAAUAGAGUUAACUAAAAUAUUCCUGCGAAGUAUUUGUAAAUUCCAUUAUUCCAUGAUAAAUUGGAUGAAGGUAGUGUUGACCAUAGUUAGUUAAUUUGGAUUCGGCAAAAAUUCGGUACUGAUAUAAUACGCAUAAAAUUCGUUUUCUAAUUUUUAAAUUCGUUGAAAAAUUCGGCUUAAAAAAUGGAUUCGGUAUAAAAUAUAAAAUAUAAGAUAUAAAAUAUAAAAUAAUUUAUAUUUAAAAAUAAAAUUAUAAGUUUUUUAUUCAUAUUUUCAAUAAUUCGCGAAUUAUUCGCGAAUUAUUCGCGAAUAAUUUUCUUUCUUUCGAAAAAAUUCGUAAACGGACCGUUUAAUUCGGAUUUUCAAUAAUUCGUGAAUAAUUCGCGAAUAAUUCGCGAAUUUACUAACUAGGGUGUUGACAACAAAGAUUAAUAUAUAUAUAUUUUUUGUUAGCUUAUUCCUAAACACUGUAUUUAUCCAUUUAUGUAGUGUCUUUUUUUUUUUGAAUGGUGUAUCACAUAGUUUUUUUGGAGAAAAAAAAUUGUUUGGAGAAAAAGAAAUCAUCUUCUUCAGAUGACAGAUUUACGUAUUACAUAGUUUUAGGUUGCAUGAGUAUCUAACUGCAAGCAGUUUUUGAGAUUGGACCAAAGUUAAAUUGAAGGUUAGGUUCAGUCAUUUAAUGGUUAUUUUUAGUGAGGAUCAGAAGACGUUAGUCAUCACAUUUAUAUGUGAUCAAUUGAUGGUUUUAAGCUUUAGACAGGACAUUUAGGUAGAUCACUAAACUUUUGCCUGCAAGUGGAGGAGCUCUUCUGCAUACUAAGGAGCACAUAUGACAAGCUAAUGAACAGCUCCAUUUAUAGGCGAAAAGGACAUAUAUGUAUUGACAAAUCGCAUGGUCUUACAAUAAAUUCUGCAAAUUUCACACUAGAACAUGCUUCCAGAAUGUGCAGGCUGUAAAUAUUUUGUUUGGAUACAAGGAUGGUAGUCAUAUUGUUUUUCUGUAAUUUUGAAGUCAUGGUGAUGGUGUGCUACUGCUCUUUAUAUAUAUAUAUAUAUAUAUAGAACAUAUUGCUUUGUUGCUGUAGCGUUUUUUCUUUUCUUUUUCUCUUUUGUUCUAUAUGACAGUUAACAGAACUUGCAUUUGGAAACUGAUCAUUUUUAUCUUCUUAUGAUGGAAUUGAAUAACUCAUGGUUAUCUUCAUCUGCUAUUGUUUAUCUGGCCUAUUUUUGCAUGCUUUCAUAUAAGAUUUAAUAGGUUAUAUCGUCAUUCAUGAGUUGGAAUAUCAGUAUACAUCUGGUCCAUAAGCAGCUAUAUGUUUCGUAACAUAUAAUGUUUGCUUUCAGAUAAGAAUUAAUAGGUUGUCUCUCCAUUCAUGACUUGGAAUAAAGCAUUGUACAUGUAACAUAUACUGUUUGCUUUCCUACAUGGUUGUUCCCUUUGUUUUUUAUUAUUGACUUUAUUGGUUCUUUGUAAAUUUGUUUCAGGGCAUUUGCGCUCCUGAGACAAAAGCUAUGUUUUACGUAGCAAACACCAUACAUGAGUUCUCUUUGUCCGUAUAUGCAUUUGCCCCCAAUCUAUAAUACUUAAUGACUCAUUUCUUACCAGAUUGAAUCUCAUCUGAGUUCACGAAAGAAUGAAAUGGAGGAUCAUGCAUCCAGAUGUGCAGCCGAAGCUGAAAGAAUGAAAGAGGAGAUAUCAAAAAAGGAAAAUCAGCUGAACAUUGUCGAGAAAGAAGCAGAAGUAUUUUUGAAGGUACUUUUCCUUAUUCCUUUGGUUCCUAAUCAUUUACCGGCAAUAACAUUGCAGGUAAGUUUUAGGCAUGACACAAUAGAAAACUAACAAAUGCAACAAUACAGAGCUCUGAACAAAAGCUACAAGAUGCUGUAAGGGAAAGCGACGAAGAGACGCAGCUGUGUGCUCGUGAGCUACUAGCAUUGAUCGAUGCUGUGUCAGAGUAUAAAGAAUUCAUGGAGUCUACACUUUCUGGAAUAAAGUCGGAUUUAUCUGAAGUCGCCAAUGAUGUUGCUUCUUUGUCAUCUAAAUUGGUUUCGUGUGGAUCUAACUUGGGCUCUUCUGGACUAAAAUCAGUGUGCUAGCCUUUUUCCAAAUCGAAAGUCUUAUUUCCUUGCCCUGCAAACUUAGGUAACCUGUCUACUGUUGUGUGAAGCGCCUUGUAUCAGUUUGUCUCUCGUACAAAGCUAUGAAAUUUAAAAUAUUACUCGUCUCUUAGCCAAUUAGUUAUGGCAUCACCUGAGGAGACGUAAUAUUAACCGUGAAAGUUCAUUGAACUUUGUUAAGUUUAUUAUGAAAACAAAGAUUAUAUUCAAUGUAUCUGCCUGUUAAUAGUAACUAUAUUAUAUUACUAUCAAUGCCCUUGCAUAUUAGCGGUGGGGUAGUGAAUUACAGAACCGUCAUCCUUAGUUGCUUUCUGUUUUUGGCAAUGCCCUUUUAAGUUAUUUACCUCUCAUUUUCGGAGAUGUGGUGAAAUGUAGUAACCUCAUUGCAUUUUUCCAUGUUGUUCUAAUAAUGUUUGUACAGAUUGAGUUACUGAAGUGAGUUAAAAAAUUGGUUAACCAAAAUAAUUGCGUGUUUCGUUCGCACUAUCUUUUCAAGAUUCUUAGUAAUCUAAUAGAAAUAAAAAAAAUAUGACGGUAUUUAGUUUAACGGACAAAGUAAUAUAAUUGGUAAUACUAGAUUUACUUGGGAAUGAGAUGCAUCCUAAAGUAUUAAUCUCAUUCCUUUGAGGGAGGUUGUUUAUCCUUAUAUUAAUAGAUUGGAUUAAUUAUAAUAUGUUUAAUAUUUUUCUUUCUCUCUACCCUCCGGAUAGUUAGUAUUAUUUUCUUUACACUCUAAUCUCGUAUUUUUUUCUAAAUUUUAACUCUUUUUCUCUUUCUAAAUUAAGCUAUUUGUCCCCCUCUUUUUCUAAAAUUUUAAUCCUCUCAUUCUCUCUAACCUCGACUCUGUUUCUCUUUCUAUUUCUUUAAUUAUGCUCUUUCUUUCUAACCUAUAUUCUCUCUCUUUUUUUUUCUAAAAAAAUGUUAAAAUUUUUUAUAAUAUUAUUUAAAAUUAAUUAAAUAAAUAAAUUAAUUAACUGUAUAUUUUUUGUAAUUUUUAAUAACAUGAUUAAAUAAUAUAACCGUACGAACCAAACACCGAAAUAUUAUAUUCUUAGUAAUAGGAUGAACAAGAAUAAAAUUCUCGGAUAUCUUUUUACUCCUAGUAAUUUUUUAUAGUGCGAACCAAACGAGCCCUUAAUGUUAUUUACAUUAAACGUGUUUUACUAAAACAAUAUAUAUACAAAAAUGUAGAAAAUAAAGUGCUGAUUAAAAGUAUAUGAAACAAUUGAAAUAUUUUGGUAUAGUACAGGGACUAUUCUAUAUUAAAGCUGUCAAGUCAAGGCAUAUUGAUCAGCUUAUUAAAUAGGGUAAACUUCACAUACGACUAUUGUGAUUUUGUAUUUUUUCAUUUUAAUAUCCUAUAAUUUAAAGUGUAUCACUUUACUAUUCUUUGGUUUCGUUUUUUUUAUUUUCUUUAACACAUUUGUUAACUUUUCGUUAAAUUAUGUAUAAAAAAAUUUAGAUACCCUACUUAUGAUUUAUUAAAUAUUCACUUUAGUACCUUAUGUUUUACUGAACUUUUUACUUUAGUAUUAUAUGGUUUAUAUUUUAUAAUUGAUAUAACGAAAAAAUUAACGAAGGUGAUAAUAAAAAAGAGAAUAAUGAAAACAAAAGAUACUAAAAUGAUACAUUUUAAAAUAUAGGGUACUAAAGUGGAAAGUGAUUUGAAGUUUUCUCUAUUAAAUAUGUGCAUAAAUC
Molecule: long non-coding RNA, 98815 nt
Filed under: Ananas comosus (pineapple)
Lineage: Eukaryota; Viridiplantae; Streptophyta; Magnoliopsida; Poales; Bromeliaceae
Description: long non-coding RNA (ACOM_LNC004180)
Source: RNAcentral